Molecule: long non-coding RNA, 95019 nt
Filed under: Citrus x clementina
Lineage: Eukaryota; Viridiplantae; Streptophyta; Magnoliopsida; Sapindales; Rutaceae
Description: Citrus clementina (C. clementina) long non-coding RNA (CCLE_LNC000826)
Rfam family: Plant small nucleolar RNA R71 (bases 31596-31702)
Source: RNAcentral
CAGAUGAAGGGUAAGAAUAUUAACCCCGAUGCGGUUACUUAUACCUCUUUGAUUCGCGGUUUUUGUUAUGCUAAUGAUUGGAAUAAGGCCAAGCAUUUGUUUAUUGAGAUGAUGGAUCAAGGGGUACAGCCGGAUGUUGUGACUUUCAAUGUGAUCAUGGAUGAGCUCUGCAAGAAUGGGAAGAUGGAAGAAGCAAGUAGGCUGUUAGAAUUGAUGAUUUUGAGAGGAUUGAAUCCCAACACAUCUACUUAUAACACAUUAAUUGAUGGUUAUUGCUUAAGUGGUAAAAUAGAUCGUGCGAGGGAAUUAUUUGUUUCUAUGGAGAGUAACGGGUGCAUGCAUGAUGUUGUUAGUUACAACACAUUAAUAAAUGGGUACUGCAAGACUAAGGAUGUAGAGGAAUCUUUAAAUCUAUAUAGCGAAAUGCUUUCUAAAGGAAUUAGGCCAACAGUUGUUACAUAUAACACCUUGUUUCAUGGCCUUUUUGAAAUACACCAGGUUGAGCAUGCUUUAAAACUGUUUGAUGAGAUGCAGCAUAAUUAUGUGGCAGCUGAUACCGUUACGUAUAAUAACUUUAUUGACGGGCUCUGCAAGAAUGGUUAUAUUGUAGAGGCAGUUGAACUAUUUCGUACUUUGAGAAUUCUCAAGUACGAACUUAAUAUCGUAUCCUACAACUGCCUCAUUGAUGGAUUGUGUAAAAUAGGCAAACUGGAAACUGCUUGGGAACUGUUUAGUAGUUUGCCUCAUGUAGGCCUAAUGGCAAAUGUUGUAACAUAUAACAUCAUGAUCCAUGGGCUUUGUAAUGAUGGGCAAAUGGACAAGGCACGUGGUUUAUUUCUUGAUAUGGAAGCAAAGGGUUUGGAACCCAAUUUUGUCAUAUUUAAUACGCUUAUGCUGGGUUUCAUCCGCAAUAAUGAGACAUCAAAAGUUAUUGAACUCCUUCACAGAAUGGAUAAGAGAAAUGUAAUGCCAGACGCAUCUAUACUUUCAAUUGUUGUGGACUUGCUUGUAAAGAAUGAAAUUGGUUUAAACUCGAUUCCACAAUUCAAGAGACAAGUAAGUAGACGGGUUGAAUCUUGAUUUAGUAGUGUGUCUCUUCUGCUUUAAAACCAGAUCUGGGGAAUCCCAUUCUUAUUACAACGUGUGAAGGAGUGUUGUGUAUUGUUGGCAUGUUCCCAGGUUCUGUUCAUGGAUUCUGUUUACAGACAUGGCCGACUCUUUGUCUCAUCGGAUAAGUUUCAAAUAAUUCUGGCAACUUUUUGUUGUAAAAUUACUUUUUUAUCAUUUAAUUCAUAUGUUUUCCUUCUAUAAUGCCUCUUUCUCAUUACCUGCAAGUGCAAAAUUUUUAGGCUCUUCCUCUUAGACCUCUUUUUCUUCUGUAAAAAGAUAAUUUUUUUUUUUCAUUUUUUCUUGCAAGGGUACAGGUUUAUGUUGAAACUUUCGGUUAGUUAAAUUGAUUGUCUUUGAUAUUGGAACUUCUAGUUGAACUAGUUUGCAUUUUGAAUACAUGAGAUUACCAACUGUAACGGGAAUUGGUGCCGAAUUGAUUUUGUUAUAAGGUUUUUCAGUCUGUGUUCAUCUUUUAUUUCUGUUAAUAAUUAAUAGCACAGCUUGUCUUCUCUGCUUCUUUGGUUCCUGUCAAUUGUCAAAUAUAAACUUGUAAAGACAUUUUGUUUUGGCAUGGCACAUGCUAGAUUUUGUUUUUGGUUUGAAUGAUACUACACAUCUAAGUAAUUGUCCAGAUUUUUUUCAUUCCUAGUGACAUGGCACUCAAUUGAAUGGUGACUCGUGAAUCAUGAUUGUGUGUGUUGGUAUUUUUUAUACUACGUGUUGGCAAGAGAAAGUUAAUCCUUUUUUUUUUUUUGGCUUUUGGAUUUUGUUUCCUUAUAUAUAUAUAUAUAUAUAUAUAUAUAUAUAUAUGUAUACAGUUAUUAGCUUCGACAACUUGAGCUUGCAGUCUUGUGAGUUUAGAACCUGCCAAAGUAAGCAUACACAUGACAAUGAAGAAUUGAAGAUUGUAAACGGUUAUUAGCUAUUGUUGUGAGUUUAGAACCUAUAUAUUGUAUACAGUUAUUAGCUAUUGUUGUGAGUUUAGAACCUAUAUUUUGUAUACAGUUAUUAGCUAUUGUUGGAGCCUUGAAGUGUGAACUUAUCAUCGUUGCCUACAGUUGCCUCAUUGAUGAAUUGCGUAAAAUAGGCAAACUGAAAAUUGCUUGGGAACUGUUUCAAAGUUUGCCCCGUACAGGCCUAAUGCCAAAUGUUGUAACAUAUAACAUCAUGAUUCAUGGGCUUUGUGACGAUGGGGCAAAUGGAUAAGACACAUGAUUUAUUUCUUAAUAGACCAUUCUCGGGGCACAAAGGGCGUGAUGCCCAAUUGUGCCAUAUUUACUAUGCUUAUGCGAAAGAAUGAGACAUCAAAAGUUUCUUCACUCAAUGGAUAAAAGAAACGUAAUGCCAGAUGCAUCGAUAGUUUCAAUUGGUGUGCGCUAACUGGUUAAGAAUGAAAUUAGUUUAAACUCGAUGCCAAAAUUCAAGAGACAAAAGUUAAUUAGAUGAGUUGAAUGUUGAUUUAGUAGCCUUGAAGUUUUCAAAAUGUUUCCUGCUGGAUAAAUUGAACUUGUAUGCACACAUGUGAACUAAAAGAAAAAUGAUAUACCAUUGUGGAAUCGAAAUUCUUUUAAAUGGAAAAAAGUUUGUCAGGAUCGCCUGAUUUCGAAUUGAUUUUAAUAGAAAACGUGCUUUAAGCAUGUCCUUCGGCAUGAGGUAAUACUAUAAAGUUUUUUUAAGCAAGGUUAUAAAUUCUAGCAAUUGAGUCUCAAUUUGAUAUUUAUAUUCAUCUGGUAUAGGGUAGAAUAUUAAUUUUAUCAGUUAUAAAAAUUUAUUAUCUAAAGGAUGAACAACACUUAACAAUUGAGAAUGAAGUGGUGACUCAAUUGUCAGGAGUCCAAUCACUUUUUUCUCUUUUAACUUGCUAUUUCUUUUGUCCGAAAUUAUCUGAAGUUCCAUGCAUGCUCCAAUAGAACAAAUAAUACAGGUUAUGAUCAACUUUUUUUUUUUCAAAUAAAGGAACCACCUGCAUCGAUACUCCAUAAGCAAGUUUUUCUUUUGGCUGCCCCUUAUAUUUGUCACACCCCUUGUACUAGUGCCCAAUGAAACCACAACAAAAGCAAAAAUCUGACAAUCUCUCAUAUACUACUGUAAUUAGAACAUUAUGAAGUUGUACCCAAAGGCAGCAUGAGUAAAUGAUUGUUUUGUUAUUUCCCCAAUUCCACUUGCCUCUUUUAGAACUAUCAGAGCUCGUUCAAAAAGGCACGGCCCACCUGAUAAAAUUCUCAUCUUAUCAACUUCAAAGGCAAAUUUAACAUAAAAAUCUUACUCCCAAAAUUUUCAAUUUCACCUAUUCUGCUAUUCUGCAUACUUAUUGUAAUGCUCACUUGAGACCCUCUCUAGUAACUCCUCUUAGAUGUAAGAUUUUGCCCAGCAGAGAGCCCUCAACUAGCUCUCUCCCAUUCCCUUUCAUGACAUUACCAACAACUACAUUACUUUUUUUUCCUUCUUCUAAUGUAAUAACUUUACACUUGCAGAUUAGUUCUUCUGUUUCCAUGAGGCACUAAAAUAUAAAUCCAUUAUGAUAACUCGAGUAUCUACCACUUCCUCUGUAAUUAAGACUCAACAACUCAAAUGAAAAACUUAAAACUAAAAGAGACACCCAACUUGUGAGCAACUUUCGCAGUCUUAUGGGCUACUACCCUUUCAUUCUAGAUUCUCGCUCAGAGAGAGAGAACCUGUGAAGAAAGACUUCUAUAGGUAGGAGAGCGCUUACACAGUAGAUUAUUUAUAUUUCUUUGGACUGACUUUUUUACUUUAUCAAAGACAAAAACAACAUAAACAAAGACAGAAGAUUAACAAAAGCAUCAAUUGCCAAAGAGUAGAGAGUAUUAUUAUAUUUUAAGAACAUAGGUUAUGGCCAACUUAAAAGAAGCAGUUAGGGCUUGUUGGGUACUGUUUUAGAAGCCUUAUUUUCAUUUUUGUUUUGGGAGUAUAAAUAUAAUACAUAUUCAGUGGGUUGAAUCCAAAAAAUAAGUUAUAAAACAAAGAAUUGAUAUUCACUUUUACAGUUAUAAAAUUAAGAACCGGUUGAACAUGUUCUCAAACAAAUUACAAAUUAAAUUAAAAAAUAAACCCAAAAACAAAAUCUAAAAAGUUAUCUUCCUCUUCCAAAAUCUUAUUCUCUCCCUCUCGUUAUCUGUUCACAACUCUUCCUUCUUCAUGGUUGAUACUUCUCUUUUAACCACAACCACAACCCUUCUUCAUGGUUGCAUCGAUCUCUCUCUCUCCCCUUUCCCUUUAUCUAGGUAAUCUAGUCCUUUUGGCACCAAAUUACAUAUUAAAUUAUUUUAAAUAUUAUAAAUUAUUUUUAAAUUGAGUGAGGAACCCUGGUCAUUUUAACAAUCAUGGCCAUUUAAUGUGAUCAUGAUGAAGAUGUUGCUGACAAUCCGAAUUCGCGGGCGAAUUCUCUCCACCCUGGGGGGAAUGAUGAAGAGUAGGAAUCCAUAUUAUACUAGGAUUAGUUUCCUUAUUAACUAAAGUUUAAGACUUUUAAAUUCCUUUCUAAUUUAGAAUUUUGUUUCCCUUUCAAUUUAGGAUUUUGUUUUUCCUUCAUGAAUUAGGAUAAUUACUACUACUAUAAAUAGCUCCCUCUUGUAACCUUUGAAGGAGAGAAUUUUGAGUUUAAUAAUAUUUCAAUUUUCAAAUCUCUUUGUGAGUAUUUGAACAGUUAAUUCUUGGUAUUCUACGGAAUCAACGAGUCUUAACCCCUAAAUUCACGGUAUUCUUUUGAAUCAACGUGAAUUUAGUUGUUCUUUUGUUCCGGUAUUCUCUAGAAUCAACGGAAUAUUUUGAACAUUAAACUUCCGCUGCAUCAGUUUGGUAUCAGAGCAAAACCUGGUAUCACCAAUCUAACUUCAUCUACCACAAAACCUUUCCUUUUUCCCUUUUUGAUUUUUUUCGUUUAGCUUAAAAAAAAAAAAACAUAACUUUUUCAGACAAACCACCACCACCAUCAUACUUACCAACCCAAAAUCUUUCAGAUCCACCCAUCCUUACUCGAUUUCUGACCACUGUCAUCGGAAAUCUAAAACUUUUGCUUAAUUACAGUUUCGGCCUAAAAUUUUUAUUUACUUUCAGUUUAGCCCCACUACCUUUUUAAACCCGAAUUUAAAAAAAAUGCCUCCAAGAAAAGCUCGUGAUGCUCAUACUACAACUUACAAUCAAGAAGAUGUUUCGAAAGAUGAAUCCCUGGCUAGUAUGACAGCCAAAAUUGAUAUGUUAGCUGCACAAAUGGCACGAAUGGCAGAGUUACUUGACGAACGCCAUCGUACUCCAGAACGUGAAGACAAAUCAAGUGGAAGCUUUGCUAACCCAUUCUCUGGGCGUCGACCUAGAACUGAGUCUACUGAUGACAGAAGAUGGGAAUCUGGGUUGAGAAUUGACAUUCCCGAAUUUCAAGGAAGUGGUCGACCUGAAGAAUUAUUGGAUUGGAUUAACGCCAUUGAGGAAGUUUUCGAAUACAAAGAAGUUCCUGAAAAUAAACUAGUUUCGCUUGCUGCAACUCGAUUUCGUGGAAGAGCAGCAGCUUGGUGGCAACAAACUAAGCUCACAAGGAUUAGGCAAGGCAAAAAGAAGAUUGAUUCUUGGGAAAAGUUCAAGAAGCACUUGCGUGGAGCAUUCUUGCCUCAUAAUUACGCCAAACUGUUAUACCAACAGCUACAGAAUUUAAGGCAAGGUAAUCGAUCAGUGGAUGAUUACACUACAGAAUUCCAUUGGUUGGUGGCACGCAAUGACUUGACAGAGACAGAAGAGCAACAGGUUUCCCGCUAUAUUGGAGGCCUACGAUCUCAAUUUCAAGACCAAUUAAAUUUACUUGACCCAUACUCUGUUUCAGAGGCACACCAACAAGCCUUGCAGUUGGAGAAGCAAUUUAGUCGACGUACUAAUGACUCAAGCUUUCGGGGUGCUCGAAGUGUUGUUCGUGAUAAUUCAAACCCGACUUCCCAAUUUCGUACUUUCACUCCUCCAAAUCCUCCAAAUAAAACUAGUAAGCCUAGUGAAAUCGGUCAAAGCAGCAAAACCCAAUCCUCGGGUUCGGGAUUACGCUGUUUUAAUUGCGGAGAAAAUGGGCACCGAAUGACAGAAUGUAAAAAGGGAGGAAAAUAUGGUAAAGGCUUAUUCGUAGGCACAGAGGAAAGCGAAGACUAUCAGGAGGAAGAAACUGAAGAGUUUGCUGUAGAACCAACUUUUGAUAGUAGUGGUAGCGCUCAAUCUGUUGAAGAACAUGGUGAUAGCGGACCAAUGUUGAUCGUGAACCGUGCAUUCUUCACUCUUAAAGGUCAAGACAAAGACAAGUGGCUACGACAAAAUAUCUUUCAGACUACUUGCACAAUUGGGGGUAAAGUAUGUCGUAUGGUCAUAGACUCCGGCAGUUGCGAGAAUGUCAUUUCAGAAGAAGCCAUAACAAAGCUAAAUUUAAAGACAGAACCUCAUCAAACUCCAUACAAGCUCACAUGGCUGAAGAAGGGGAAUCAAGUGACAGUAUCGAAAUGUUGUUUAGUUUCCUUAUCCAUUGGUUCAAUUUAUAAAGACAAAAUUUGGUGUGAUGUUGUGGCUAUGGAUGCUUGUCAUCUAUUACUGGGUAGACCUUGGCAAUAUGAUCGAAACGUAGUGCAUGAUGGGAAGAGAAACACCUACAGCUUUAUGUUUAACAACACCAAGAUCGUUCUCCUACCUAACAAGGAGUUUACUCUCCAGCAAGACUUGGGUAAUUAUUUGUUAAGCAAGAAGCAAUUUAUAGAUGUUGUAGCAGAGACAAAGAGAAUCUACAUUUUAUUGGGAAAAAAGAGUAACGGUAAUUCAAAGAUUCCUGAAGCUGUGACACCUAUUCUGGCGGAAUUUCAAGAUUUGUUCCCCAAGGAGCUACCACAAGGUUUACCACCUCUUCGGGAUAUACAACACCAAAUUGAUUUGGUACCAGGUUCUACACUACCAAAUCGACCUCAUUAUCGUAUGAGUCCUACAGAACAUGAGGAAUUAAGGCGCCAAGUAGAAGAGUUACUAGAAAAGGGAUUUAUCCGUGAAAGUCUUAGUCCCUGUGCAGUCCCUGCUUUAUUGACUCCAAAGAAAGAUGGUUCUUGGAGGAUGUGCGUGGACAGCCGAGCUAUCAAUAAAAUUACAGUUCGAUAUCGUUUUCCAAUCCCUCGAUUAGAUGACUUGUUAGAUCAACUCAGUGGAGCAACAAUUUUUACCAAACUUGAUUUGAAAAGUGGCUGCCAUCAAAUUCGAAUACGACCUGGAGAUGAAUGGAAAACAGCUUUUAAAAUUCACGAAGGGUUAUACGAGUGGUUGGUAAUGCCGUUUGGCUUAUCCAAUGCUCCGAGUACUUUUAUGCAAGUCAUGAAUCAAGUUCUUCGCCCUUUCAUUGGAAAGUUUGUGGUUGUUUACUUCGAUGAUAUACUUAUAUAUAGCACCAGCCACGAGUUACAUCUACAACAUUUGAGAGAAGUGCUUUCAGCCUUAAGAGCAGCAAGUUUAUACACAGCAGUAAACAAGUGUAUUUUCUUAACAGAGAAAGUAUUAUUUUUGGGAUAUGUGGUGUCGAAAGAUGGUAUAUCUGUUGACCAAUCAAAAAUGGAUGCUAUUCGAGAUUGGCCUCCGCCAACUACUUUAUCCGCCACCAGAAGUUUCCAUGGAUUGGCCUCUUUUUACAGGCGAUUCAUUCCUCAUUUCAGUACUAUUAUGGCACCAAUCACGGAUUGCAUGAAAGGAGGAAAAUUCUCUUGGACAGAGGCAGCUACUAAGGCAUUUGAGAUUAUCAAAGAAAAGUUGAUUACUGCCCCAGUACUUGCUCUACCAGAUUUUUCGCUCACUUUUGAGGUACAUUGUGAUGCUUCUAAGGUCGGCAUUGGAGCUGUUCUUAGCCAACAAGGUAAGCCUAUAGCUUAUUUUAGUGAGAAGUUGAAUGGAGCAAAGGCACACUAUAGCACUUACGACGUGGAAUUUUACGCAGUAGUCCAAGCGUUAAAACAUUGGCGACAUUAUCUAAUUCAUAAAGACUUUGUUUUAUACACUGACCAUGCCGCGUUAAAAUACCUCAAUAGUCAAGACAAACUCUCUCACAGACAUGCCACGUGGACAGCAUUCCUUCAACAAUUUACUUUUGUGGUGAAGCAUACCUCUGGUGAAUCCAACCGGGUAGCAGAUGCACUUAGUCGACGAACUUCUUUAUUGACACAGAUGCAUAAUCAAGUUCUCGGAUUUGACACAUUUCGAGAGUUAUAUGCUUCUGAUCCUUACUUUGCUCCUAUACUAGAAGACGUUGUUGCAGGAUUUCGCUCAGAUUAUCAUUUACAUGACAAAUUCCUUUUCAAGAGUAAUCAGUUGUGUGUUCCUGACUCAAGUUUGAGAUUGAAAAUCAUUGCAGAGUUACAUAAUGAAGGGCACAUGGGUCGUGACAAAACUCUGGCUCUAAUAGCCAACACUUAUUUUUGGCCUACUAUGAGGCGUGAAAUCUAUCACUAUGUCGAGACUUGUCGCAUUUGUCAAGUUUCCAAGGGCGCAGCAACUAAUGCUGGGUUAUAUAUGCCGCUACCGAUUCCAACACAACCUUGGGCUGACAUUAGCAUGGAUUUUGUUUUAGGAUUACCCCGCACUCAGAGGGGUAUGGAUUCAAUAUUUGUUGUUGUUGAUCGAUUCUCGAAAAUGGCUCACUUCAUUGCUUGCAAGAAGACUACAGACGCUUUGACUGUUGCUCGCCUAUUCUUCAAGGAAGUCUAUAGAUUGCAUGGUUUACCAAGUUCUAUAGUAUCUGACCGGGAUACACGAUUUCUUAGCCAUUUUUGGAAGACAUUAUGGAAAUUGACUAACACUCGCCUGAAUUUUAGUAGUGCUUACCACCCACAAACAGAUGGUCAAACUGAAGUUGUCAACCGCUCUUUAGGAAACCAUCUACGUAGUCUAGUUGGCGAUAACUUGAAGAUGUGGGAUCAAAAGUUAUAUCAAGUCGAGUUUACUUAUAACCGUGCAGUUAAGCGUAGUACUGGUUUAAGCCCUUUUCAGGUAAAUUACGGAUAUAAUCCACGAGCUCCCAUUGACCUGGCUCCAGUUCCAAAUUUAGUUCGCAAAAGCGGUAAAGCAAAAGACUUUAUUGAGCAGCUUCAGAAGAUUCAUGAAACUACGCAAGAGUCUUUGAAGCAGACGACCGAAGGUUAUAAAAUUAUGGCAGACAAAAAACGUCGAGCUUUGGAAUUUCAAGUGGGAGAUUUUGUUUGGGUUAUCCUAACUAAAGAUAGAUUCUAAGUUGGUGAGUAUAAUAAACUUUCUGCCAGGAAAAUCGGCCCUUUAGAGAUUAUAGAGAAGAUAAAUCCUAAUGCCUACAGAUUAAAGCUUCCUAGUCAUAUCCGCACUGCAGAUGUAUUUAAUGUUAAGCAUCUUAUUCCUUACAGAGGUGAUCAUGAUGAAGAUGUUGCUGACAAUCCGAAUUCGCGGGCGAAUUCUCUCCACCCUGGGGGGAAUGAUGAAGAGUAGGAAUCCAUAUUAUACUAGGAUUAGUUUCCUUAUUAACUAAAGUUUAAGACUUUUAAAUUCCUUUCUAAUUUAGAAUUUUGUUUCCCUUUCAAUUUAGGAUUUUGUUUUUCCUUCAUGAAUUAGGAUAAUUACUACUACUAUAAAUAGCUCCCUCUUGUAACCUUUGAAGGAGAGAAUUUUGAGUUUAAUAAUAUUUCAAUUUUCAAAUCUCUUUGUGAGUAUUUGAACAGUUAAUUCUUGGUAUUCUACGGAAUCAACGAGUCUUAACCCCUAAAUUCACGGUAUUCUUUUGAAUCAACGUGAAUUUAGUUGUUCUUUUGUUCCGGUAUUCUCUAGAAUCAACGGAAUAUUUUGAACAUUAAACUUCCGCUGCAUCAGUUUGGUAUCAGAGCAAAACCUGGUAUCACCAAUCUAACUUCAUCUACCACAAAACCUUUCCUUUUUCCCUUUUUGAUUUUUUUCGUUUAGCUUAAAAAAAAAAAACAUAACUUUUUCAGACAAACCACCACCACCAUCAUACUUACCAACCCAAAAUCUUUCAGAUCCACCCAUCCUUACUCGAUUUCUGACCACUGUCAUCGGAAAUCUAAAACUUUUGCUUAAUUACAGUUUCGGCCUAAAAUUUUUAUUUACUUUCAGUUUAGCCCCACUACCUUUUUAAACCCGAAUUUAAAAAAAAAUGCCUCCAAGAAAAGCUCGUGAUGCUCAUACUACAACUUACAAUCAAGAAGAUGUUUCGAAAGAUGAAUCCCUGGCUAGUAUGACAGCCAAAAUUGAUAUGUUAGCUGCACAAAUGGCACGAAUGGCAGAGUUACUUGACGAACGCCAUCGUACUCCAGAACGUGAAGACAAAUCAAGUGGAAGCUUUGCUAACCCAUUCUCUGGGCGUCGACCUAGAACUGAGUCUACUGAUGACAGAAGAUGGGAAUCUGGGUUGAGAAUUGACAUUCCCGAAUUUCAAGGAAGUGGUCGACCUGAAGAAUUAUUGGAUUGGAUUAACGCCAUUGAGGAAGUUUUCGAAUACAAAGAAGUUCCUGAAAAUAAACUAGUUUCGCUUGCUGCAACUCGAUUUCGUGGAAGAGCAGCAGCUUGGUGGCAACAAACUAAGCUCACAAGGAUUAGGCAAGGCAAAAAGAAGAUUGAUUCUUGGGAAAAGUUCAAGAAGCACUUGCGUGGAGCAUUCUUGCCUCAUAAUUACGCCAAACUGUUAUACCAACAGCUACAGAAUUUAAGGCAAGGUAAUCGAUCAGUGGAUGAUUACACUACAGAAUUCCAUUGGUUGGUGGCACGCAAUGACUUGACAGAGACAGAAGAGCAACAGGUUUCCCGCUAUAUUGGAGGCCUACGAUCUCAAUUUCAAGACCAAUUAAAUUUACUUGACCCAUACUCUGUUUCAGAGGCACACCAACAAGCCUUGCAGUUGGAGAAGCAAUUUAGUCGACGUACUAAUGACUCAAGCUUUCGGGGUGCUCGAAGUGUUGUUCGUGAUAAUUCAAACCCGACUUCCCAAUUUCGUACUUUCACUCCUCCAAAUCCUCCAAAUAAAACUAGUAAGCCUAGUGAAAUCGGUCAAAGCAGCAAAACCCAAUCCUCGGGUUCGGGAUUACGCUGUUUUAAUUGCGGAGAAAAUGGGCACCGAAUGACAGAAUGUAAAAAGGGAGGAAAAUAUGGUAAAGGCUUAUUCGUAGGCACAGAGGAAAGCGAAGACUAUCAGGAGGAAGAAACUGAAGAGUUUGCUGUAGAACCAACUUUUGAUAGUAGUGGUAGCGCUCAAUCUGUUGAAGAACAUGGUGAUAGCGGACCAAUGUUGAUCGUGAACCGUGCAUUCUUCACUCUUAAAGGUCAAGACAAAGACAAGUGGCUACGACAAAAUAUCUUUCAGACUACUUGCACAAUUGGGGGUAAAGUAUGUCGUAUGGUCAUAGACUCCGGCAGUUGCGAGAAUGUCAUUUCAGAAGAAGCCAUAACAAAGCUAAAUUUAAAGACAGAACCUCAUCAAACUCCAUACAAGCUCACAUGGCUGAAGAAGGGGAAUCAAGUGACAGUAUCGAAAUGUUGUUUAGUUUCCUUAUCCAUUGGUUCAAUUUAUAAAGACAAAAUUUGGUGUGAUGUUGUGGCUAUGGAUGCUUGUCAUCUAUUACUGGGUAGACCUUGGCAAUAUGAUCGAAACGUAGUGCAUGAUGGGAAGAGAAACACCUACAGCUUUAUGUUUAACAACACCAAGAUCGUUCUCCUACCUAACAAGGAGUUUACUCUCCAGCAAGACUUGGGUAAUUAUUUGUUAAGCAAGAAGCAAUUUAUAGAUGUUGUAGCAGAGACAAAGAGAAUCUACAUUUUAUUGGGAAAAAAGAGUAACGGUAAUUCAAAGAUUCCUGAAGCUGUGACACCUAUUCUGGCGGAAUUUCAAGAUUUGUUCCCCAAGGAGCUACCACAGGGUUUACCACCUCUUCGGGAUAUACAACACCAAAUUGAUUUGGUACCAGGUUCUACACUACCAAAUCGACCUCAUUAUCGUAUGAGUCCUACAGAACAUGAGGAAUUAAGGCGCCAAGUAGAAGAGUUACUAGAAAAGGGAUUUAUCCGUGAAAGUCUUAGUCCCUGUGCAGUCCCUGCUUUAUUGACUCCAAAGAAAGAUGGUUCUUGGAGGAUGUGCGUGGACAGCCGAGCUAUCAAUAAAAUUACAGUUCGAUAUCGUUUUCCAAUCCCUCGAUUAGAUGACUUGUUAGAUCAACUCAGUGGAGCAACAAUUUUUACCAAACUUGAUUUGAAAAGUGGCUGCCAUCAAAUUCGAAUACGACCUGGAGAUGAAUGGAAAACAGCUUUUAAAAUUCACGAAGGGUUAUACGAGUGGUUGGUAAUGCCGUUUGGCUUAUCCAAUGCUCCGAGUACUUUUAUGCAAGUCAUGAAUCAAGUUCUUCGCCCUUUCAUUGGAAAGUUUGUGGUUGUUUACUUCGAUGAUAUACUUAUAUAUAGCACCAGCCACGAGUUACAUCUACAACAUUUGAGAGAAGUGCUUUCAGCCUUAAGAGCAGCAAGUUUAUACACAGCAGUAAACAAGUGUAUUUUCUUAACAGAGAAAGUAUUAUUUUUGGGAUAUGUGGUGUCGAAAGAUGGUAUAUCUGUUGACCAAUCAAAAAUGGAUGCUAUUCGAGAUUGGCCUCCGCCAACUACUUUAUCCGCCACCAGAAGUUUCCAUGGAUUGGCCUCUUUUUACAGGCGAUUCAUUCCUCAUUUCAGUACUAUUAUGGCACCAAUCACGGAUUGCAUGAAAGGAGGAAAAUUCUCUUGGACAGAGGCAGCUACUAAGGCAUUUGAGAUUAUCAAAGAAAAGUUGAUUACUGCCCCAGUACUUGCUCUACCAGAUUUUUCGCUCACUUUUGAGGUACAUUGUGAUGCUUCUAAGGUCGGCAUUGGAGCUGUUCUUAGCCAACAAGGUAAGCCUAUAGCUUAUUUUAGUGAGAAGUUGAAUGGAGCAAAGGCACACUAUAGCACUUACGACGUGGAAUUUUACGCAGUAGUCCAAGCGUUAAAACAUUGGCGACAUUAUCUAAUUCAUAAAGACUUUGUUUUAUACACUGACCAUGCCGCGUUAAAAUACCUCAAUAGUCAAGACAAACUCUCUCACAGACAUGCCACGUGGACAGCAUUCCUUCCACAAUUUACUUUUGUGGUGAAGCAUACCUCUGGUGAAUCCAACCGGGUAGCAGAUGCACUUAGUCGACGAACUUCUUUAUUGACACAGAUGCAUAAUCAAGUUCUCGGAUUUGACACAUUUCGAGAGUUAUAUGCUUCUGAUCCUUACUUUGCUCCUAUACUAGAAGACGUUGUUGCAGGAUUUCGCUCAGAUUAUCAUUUACAUGACAAAUUCCUUUUCAAGAGUAAUCAGUUGUGUGUUCCUGACUCAAGUUUGAGAUUGAAAAUCAUUGCAGAGUUACAUAAUGAAGGGCACAUGGGUCGUGACAAAACUCUGGCUCUAAUAGCCAACACUUAUUUUUGGCCUACUAUGAGGCGUGAAAUCUAUCACUAUGUCGAGACUUGUCGCAUUUGUCAAGUUUCCAAGGGCGCAGCAACUAAUGCUGGGUUAUAUAUGCCGCUACCGAUUCCAACACAACCUUGGGCUGACAUUAGCAUGGAUUUUGUUUUAGGAUUACCCCGCACUCAGAGGGGUAUGGAUUCAAUAUUUGUUGUUGUUGAUCGAUUCUCGAAAAUGGCUCACUUCAUUGCUUGCAAGAAGACUACAGACGCUUUGACUGUUGCUCGCCUAUUCUUCAAGGAAGUCUAUAGAUUGCAUGGUUUACCAAGUUCUAUAGUAUCUGACCGGGAUACACGAUUUCUUAGCCAUUUUUGGAAGACAUUAUGGAAAUUGACUAACACUCGCCUGAAUUUUAGUAGUGCUUACCACCCACAAACAGAUGGUCAAACUGAAGUUGUCAACCGCUCUUUAGGAAACCAUCUACGUAGUCUAGUUGGCGAUAACUUGAAGAUGUGGGAUCAAAAGUUAUAUCAAGUCGAGUUUACUUAUAACCGUGCAGUUAAGCGUAGUACUGGUUUAAGCCCUUUUCAGGUAAAUUACGGAUAUAAUCCACGAGCUCCCAUUGACCUGGCUCCAGUUCCAAAUUUAGUUCGCAAAAGCGGUAAAGCAAAAGACUUUAUUGAGCAGCUUCAGAAGAUUCAUGAAACUACGCAAGAGUCUUUGAAGCAGACGACCGAAGGUUAUAAAAUUAUGGCAGACAAAAAACGUCGAGCUUUGGAAUUUCAAGUGGGAGAUUUUGUUUGGGUUAUCCUAACUAAAGAUAGAUUCUCAGUUGGUGAGUAUAAUAAACUUUCUGCCAGGAAAAUCGGCCCUUUAGAGAUUAUAGAGAAGAUAAAUCCUAAUGCCUACAGAUUAAAGCUUCCUAGUCAUAUCCGCACUGCAGAUGUAUUUAAUGUUAAGCAUCUUAUUCCUUACAGAGGUGAUCAUGAUGAAGAUGUUGCUGACAAUCCGAAUUCGCGGGCGAAUUCUCUCCACCCUGGGGGGAAUGAUGAAGAGUAGGAAUCCAUAUUAUACUAGGAUUAGUUUCCUUAUUAACUAAAGUUUAAGACUUUUAAAUUCCUUUCUAAUUUAGAAUUUUGUUUCCCUUUCAAUUUAGGAUUUUGUUUUUCCUUCAUGAAUUAGGAUAAUUACUACUACUAUAAAUAGCUCCCUCUUGUAACCUUUGAAGGAGAGAAUUUUGAGUUUAAUAAUAUUUCAAUUUUCAAAUCUCUUUGUGAGUAUUUGAACAGUUAAUUCUUGGUAUUCUACGGAAUCAACGAGUCUUAACCCCUAAAUUCACGGUAUUCUUUUGAAUCAACGUGAAUUUAGUUGUUCUUUUGUUCCGGUAUUCUCUAGAAUCAACGGAAUAUUUUGAACAUUAAACUUCCGCUGCAUCACUUUUAUUCUACUGAAUAAAUUUCACAAUUUAAAUUAGAAAAGGAUACAAUUUAAUAAUUAACUAUUUUCUGAACUAUUUGAAUUAUCAUUUGUAUCGGUCCCAAAAGCAUAACAUUAUUGUGAGUAAUGUAUCCUACUUGCAAAAUAAACGGCGAAAUGCGGUUUGGGGACGGAUUAUCGAGGUAUUUGUUAAUAUUCGGAAAUGAGAAGAAAAGGUCAAAUAAAAUUUUAACUUAUUAUUAUUAUUAUUUUUAAAGAUUGUAACUCAGAUGAUUAGACAAAUAAAGGAGCUAAAGGCCACUUGGCGGCUUCACUAGGAGCUGUUUGAGUUUAAACCGUACCCAUCGCAAGUACUAGGGCCUAAACUCUCCAAUUGAUCACCAACCCAGCAAUGCAUGUGCACAUAAAAUUCUAUUUUGGUAAUUCUUUUCUUCUUCUUUAACCCCAAAUAAUCAAAAGCUCUCCAAUGGCUUUCGUAUCCACAACUCGUUCACUUCAUUUUACUUCAAUUUCAAUAUCAGCUCUUAGAUUUAAUUUCUCAUCUUCGUUCCCUCAUACCGGAAAACCCAAAUCUUCAAUUUCGGAAAAUGAACCCUCGUAUCCGACCACAACAGCUAAACUGAAGGAGUCGCUACGACUGACGGUCAAAGACCGAGCCUCACUCAAAAAAUUCCUCAGAGAAAGGUUCAAAUCAUCCGGUGAAGGUGAUAUUACUACUAUUACUCCUAAUGAAGCCUUUUGUAUCUUUGAUUACAUGCUCAAUAUGCGCCCUUCUCCGCCUCCUCUCACUUCCUUCAAUAGUUUGUUUGGUUGUCUUGCUAAGACUAAACAUUAUGAUACUCUCGUUUCACUCUUCAAGAGACUCAAUUCAACUGGGUUGUUUCCAGAUCGUUAUACUUACAAUAUCUUGAUUAACUGCUUUUGCAAAAUGGGUCGAGUUUCUCAUGGUUUUGUUGUUCUUGGGAGGAUCCUCAGGUCUUGUUUUACUCCAGAUGCUGUGACCUUUAAUUCUUUGAUUAAAGGUUUGUGUGCGGAGAGUAGAAUAAUGGAGGCUGCCGCAUUGUUUACGAAACUUAGAGUGUUUGGUUGUGAGCCUAAUGUUUUUACAUACAAUACUUUGAUUGAUGGAUUGUGUCGAACUGGCCAUACAAUUGUUGCUCUAAAUUUAUUUGAAGAGAUGACUAAUGGAAAUGGGGAAUUUGGUGUUGUUUGUGAGCCAAACACUGUUACAUGCACUACUAUUAUAGAUGUUAGAAUUGAUGAUUCAGAUUGGUGUGCGUCCAGAUGCUUCUGUCUAUAACACAUUAAUGGACGGGUUUUGCUUGACAGGUAGAGUUAAUCGUGCGAAGGAACUAUUUGUUUCUAUGGAGAGUAUGGGUUGCAAACAUACUGUUUUUAGUUACAGUAUUUUGAUAAAUGGUUACUGCAAGAAUAAGGAAAUAGAGGGAGCGUUAACCCUUUAUAGUGAAAUGCUCUCUAAAGGAAUUAAGCCAGAUGUUGUUAUAUAUAACACCUUGUUUAUUGGCCUUUUUGAAAUACACCUGGUUGAGCGUGCUUUCAAGCUGUUUGAUGAGAUGCAAUGUGAUGGCGUGGCAGCUGAUACCUGGGCAUAUAGAACCUUUAUUGAUGGGCUCUGCAAGAAUGGUUAUAUUGUAGAGGCAGUUGAACUAUUUCGUACUUUGAGAAUUCUCAAGUGUGAACUUGAUAUUCGAGCCUACAACUGCCUCAUUGAUGGAUUAUGUAAAUCCGGCAGACUCGAAAUUGCAUGGGAACUAUUUCGUAGUUUGCCUCGUGUAGGCCUAAUGGCAGAUGUUGUAACAUAUAACAUCAUGAUCCAUGGGCUUUGUAAUGAUGGGCAAAUGGACAAGGCACAUGGUUUAUUUCUUGAUGUGGAAGCAAAGGGUUUGGAACCCAAUUUUGUCAUAUUUAAUACACUUAUGCUGGGUUUCAUCCGCUGUAAUGAGACAUCAAAAGUUAUUGAACUCCUUCACAGAAUGGAUAAGAGAAAUAUAAUGCCAGACGCAUCUAUACUCUCAAUUGUUGUGGACUUGCUUGUUAAGAAUGAAAUUAGUUUAAACUCGAUUCCACAAUUCCAGAGACACAAGUAAGUCAAUGAGCUGAAUGCUGAUUUACUUGCAUGUAUUUUCUGCCUAAAAUCUGGAUCUGGAGAAUCCCAUUCUUAUUACAACACGUGAAGUAUUGUUGCGUAGUGAUGGCAUGUCCCAGGUUCUGUUCAUAGAUUCUGUUUGCAGAUAUGGAUGACUCAUCAGAUAAGUUUCAAAGUCUGGCAACUUUUUGUUGUAAAAUUACUUUUUAUUAUUCAGGUCAUAUGUUUUCCGUCUAUAAUGCAUCUUUUUCAUUAGCUGGAAGUGCAAAGUUUUUAUGCUCUUUCUGUGUGACCACUUUUUCUUCUCUAAAUAGAUAAAAUGGCAUCUAGUUUUUCAUUUGUGAGGCUACUAGGUCUAUGCUGAAACUUUCUGUUAGUUAAAUUGAUUGUCUUUGAUAUCUAGAACUUCUAGUUGAACUAAUUUGUACUUUGAGUAUAUGAGAUUGCUGGCUGUAAUGGGAAUUGAUGCCAAAUUAAUUAUGCAUCAAGUUUUUCAACGUGUUCAUCUUUUAUUUCUGUUCACAUUUUGGCUCUGGACAUGCUGGAUUGUUUUUGGUUUCAGUGAUACAAAACAUCUAACUAAUUGUCCAAAGUUUUUCAUUCCUUGUGACAUAGCAUUCAAUUGAAUGGUGACUCAUGAAUCAUGAUUGUGUGUUUUGGUAUUUGUAUACUAUGUAUUGGCAAGACAAAGUUUGUUGAAACUGAGAAACUUUUUUCCGCCUUCCAUUCUUGUUUCAUAUUCUUAUGCUAACAAAUCUUGAUCCUGAUGAGUCUCCUCUUUUCUUUACAACCCCCAUAUAAAGUCUUGGCCAUAAGCCUCAAGGCCUAUUGGCUAUUGCAGCAGUGAGUUCACUCUCUGGAAUCAAAUCUUUCAAAUACGAGGAAAUUUGAAAAAAUUGCAAAUGUCUACAAAGCAAAUGAUCGAAAGGUCCUUUUUGUUAUCACUCACACAACAUUACUCAGACUUUGUCAGAGUAUCCAUGUUUUACAGUUGGUCCUGUUGUGCAAACAGCAUUUCUGAUUAUUCCAGAAGACAAUUCUUCGGAGCAUGUAUUUGAGAUGCAUGUAGAGCGUUGGAAUUAUAUGAUUAAUUCUCUUUAAUUUCCAGCCAUAGUUCUAUGCAGGCCAGUUAAUCCCCUUUUUUGUACCCCCCCCCCCCCCCUUCCUUUUUUGCUAUGGACUGUAUUUCCUUUUUUUUCUAGUUUUUACUUGCGUUGACAAUUUGAGCUUGCUGUCUUGUGGUUUUAGAACCUGCUAAAGUAAGCGUACUAGUGACAAUGAAGAAGGGGAAGGGUUUACUCGUCAUUUUCUUUUUGAAAGCAAAGCGUUUAAUGUGGUGAUUUUUUUUUUAUCUACGUUGUGAAAAAAUUUGACUGAUUUUGAAGAUCCUUAAAGAUCGUCCAUCUUGGUUCUGGCAUUGUUGCAGCCUUGAAGUUUGCAAAACGAUUCCUGCUGGAUAAAUUGAACAGCUGCCUCUUUGAUGGAUUAUGUAAAUCUGGCAGACUUGAGUUUGCAUGUGAAUUGUUUCGUAGUUUGCCUCGUCCAGUCCUAAUGGCAGAUGCUGUAACAUAUAACAUCAUGAUCCAUGGGCAUUGUGACGACGGCCGAAUGGAUAAGGCACAUGAUUUAUUUAUUGAAAUGGAAGAAAAUGCUGUGGCACCCAAUGUGAUCACAUUUGGUACGUUUAUCCAUGGUUUUAGCCAAAUCAAUGAGCCAUCAAAAGUUAUUGACCUUCUUCACAAGAUGAGGGAGAAAAAAGUGAUGCCAGAUGCAUCUUUAGUUUCAAUUGAUGUGGACUUACUUGUAAAGAAUGAAAUUAGUCUGAACCCGCUUCCGUCAUUUCCUGUCCAAGAGCGACAGGGGGAAAUUGAUGGGUCAAAUGUCAAGUUGUAGCAGCAUGUGCUUUCAGCCCAAACUCCUGAUCUGCAGCAUCUCAUUCAUGUUACAAAAUGACAUGUCGCCUGGUGACAGCAUGUUCUCUACGGUGCUGUUAAUGGAUUCUGAUUGUUCUUGUGAUCUGGAGAGUUUCAUUCAUAUUACAGAUCCUGAUCAGGACGAGCUAGCAUAUGUGAUCACCAACUGUACAUGGUUGUUAAUCCCCUUUUUUGUAACCAACCCCCCCUCCCUCUUCAUCAUUUAUUUCUGUUAACAAUUAAUAGCACAGCUUGUCUUCGCAGCUUCAUUGGUUCCUCUCAAAAAUAAUCUUGUAAAGGCAAUUUUUUUUUGGCAUGGUAAAUGCUAGAUUGUUUGUGGUCUGAAUGAUACUACACAUCUAAGUAAUUGCCCAAAUUUUUUGUUCCUUGUUACAUGGCAUUCAAUUGAAUGAGGACUCGUGAUUGUGUGUAUUGGUAUUUCCGUAUUUGUUAUACUAUGUAUUGGCAAGACAAAGUUUCUUGAAACUGACAAACUUUUCUCUAUGAAGAUUGAAGACAAUAUGGUAAGAUAAAAUUUAUCAAAAGCAUAUAUGCUUGCCAGGGAUGGACCUUUGAUUAUUAGUCCUCGCCUUUCGUUCUUGUUUCAUAUUCUUCUGCUAACAAAUCUUGAUCACGAUGAGUCUUCUUUUUUUAUAAAAAUAAAAACCCACACGUAAAGUCUUGGCCAUAAGCCUCUAGACCUAUUGGCUGUUGCAGUGGUGAGUUCACUCUCAGGAAUCAUAUCUUUCAAAUUCGAGCGAAUUUGAAGAAGCUCGAAUUUGAAGAAAUUUCAAAUGCCUACAAAGCAAAUUGCGUAAAGGUCCUUUCACUUAUUAUUGGAGAAGACCAUUUGUUGAAGCAUGUAUUUGAGAUGCGCGGAGAACCUUUGGAAUUAUAUGAUUAAUUCACUUUAAUCUCCAGCCAUAGUUCCAUACAGCCCAGUUAAUCUUUUUUUUUUUUUUUUUGGCUUUUGGAUUUUGUUUCCUUUAUAUAUAAAGGAAAUCGGGACUCAAUUGUUGGGAGUCCAAUCACUUUUUUCUCUUUUAACUUGCUAUUUUUGUUGUCCGAAAUUAUCUGAAGUUCCAUGCAUGCUCCAAUAGAACAAAUAAUACAGGUUAUGAUCGACUUUUUUUUUUUUUUAUUUUCCAAAUAAAGGAACCACCUGCAUCAAUACUCCAUAAGCAAGUUUUUUUUUUGGCUGCACCUUAUAUUUGUCACACUCCUUGUACUAGUGCCCAAUGAAACCACAAUAGAAGCAAAAAUCUGACAAUCACUCAUAUACUACUGUAAUUGGAACAUCAUCUUCACCUUCAAGUUCUAAAUAAAUAAUUUUCUUCAGUGGUUGUGUGAUAUCAAUUGAGAUGCUUACUCUGGCAUACUGACCAAUGCACUCUUCUUCCUCGUCCGCAUCAACUUCUUCAACUAUACCAAUUGCCUCUCCCAACGCUCUGAUUAUUUGCUGGUCUAUACACCCAACUGGGAUACUAUGAAGUUGUACCCAAAGGCAGCAUGAGUAAAUGAUUGUUUUGUUAUUUCCCCAAUUCCAUUUGCCUUUUUUAGAUAGGGCUGGGCAAAUAACCCGACCCGAUCCGAUCCGAAAACAAUCGGGUUCGGAUCGGAUCGAGUUUUUAACAUAACCCGAUCGGAUUUAAUUUCGUCAACCCGAUCCGAUUCGAAAAUCCGAUCGGAUUUGGCUAUUGAAAAAAAAAAUAAAAUAAAACACCCACACACAAAGGGGUGAAAAACACAACACUGACACUCAAACUCACUGACACACACCCACCCCUCAUCCACACACACACACUGACACACCCACCACCCACCCCCCACCCCCCAUCCACAAAAAAUCGCAAUAGAUAGCCUUUUACUCACAUUUCAGAUUUCACAGCCUCACGCUUCACUCUUUUCUUUGGUUCUUCUCCAGUUUUCACCCUUAAAUCUUCACAGCCUCGCUUUCUUCUUUUUAAGUCUUCACUCUUCAGUUUUCACAAAUCGAUUUCUCACACAAUCGGGUUUCACAGAUCGGGUUUCAGUCACAAAAGCAAACCGAUGGUCACUCAAAGACGCAGCGCAAGAACCGAAGAUCAUUUGCAGACACAGCCACCGGAUCUGUGGUUCCGUCCGUCACCAAGUUUCUCGCCUCCAAGCUCCACUUUAACCCAGCAACCUGACUUCUCCAACCCGCAACCCGAGCCUUGUGUUUUGAAAUUUUGAUGGUUUUUCUUGAUGUUGUGAUUAUUAUCAUAUAUAAAUUGUAAAAUUUUAAUGUUCACCAGCCAAUGAUAAAGAAAAUCAGUUAUAAAGAAAGCUGUAAUGUAUUUUUUUUCCAAUGAUGGGCAUAAAUUUUUUCACUUUCUAGUCCAAACUAAUUUUAAUCCGAAUCCGAUCCGAACUGAACUCAACCCGAUUUUUUGACCCGAUCCAAAUAUAUAUUCGGAUCGGAUCGGAUCGGAUUACAAGUUCGGAUUGAAUUCGAAUGAAUUUCUGCCCAACCCGAAAUUCGAUCGGGUCGAACCGAACCCAAUCCGAAUUCGAUUUUGCCCAGCGCUACUUUUAGAACUAUCAGAGGUCGUUCAAAAUGUCAUGGCCCACUUGAUAAAUUUCUCAUCUUAUCAACUUCAAAGGCAAAUUUAACUUAUUCUGCUAUUCUGCAUACUUGUUGUAAUGCUCACUUAAGACCCUCUCUAGUAACUCCUCUUAGAUGUAAGACUUUGCCCAGCAGACAACCCUCAACUAGCUCUCUCGCAUUCCCUUCCAUGACAUUACCAACAACUACUUUGCUCUCUUUUCCUUCUUCUAAUGUAAUAACUUUACACUUGCGGAUUAGUUCUUCUGUUUCCAUGAGGCACUAAAAUAUAAAUCCACUGUGAUAACUCUUGAGUAUCUACCACUUCCUCUGUAAUUAAGACUCAACAACUUAGAUGAAAAACUUAAAACUAAAAGAGACACCCAACACGUGAGCGACUUUUGCAAUCUUAUAGGCUACUACCCUUUCAUUCUAGAUUCUCACUCAAAGAGAGAGAACCUGUGAAGAAAGACUUCUACAGGUAGGAGAGCACUUACACAGUAGAUUAUUUAUAUUUCUUUGGACUGACUUUUUUACUUUAUUAAAGACAAAAACAACAUAAACAAAGACAAAAGAUUAACAAAAGCAUCAAUUGCCAAAGAGUUGAGAGUAUUAUUAUAUUUUAGGAACUUAGGUUAUGACCAACUUAAAAGAAGCAGUUAGGGCUUGUUCGGUACCGUUUUAAAAGCCUUAUUUUCAUUUUUGUUUUGGGAGUAUAAAUAUAAUACAUAUUCAGCAGGUUGAAUCCAAAAAAAUAAAUUAUAAAACAAAUAAUUGAUAUUCACUUUUACAGUUAUAAAAUUAAGAACCUGUUGAACAUGUUCUCAAACAAAUUACAAAUUAAAUUAAAAAAAUAAACCCCAAAACAAAAUCUAAAAAGUUAUCUUUCUCUCCCAAAAUCUUAUCCCCUCCCUCUCGUUAUCUCUUCACAACACUUCCUUCUUCAUGGUUGAUACUUCUCCUUUAACCACAACCCACAUGAACUGUGCACCGAUCUCUCUCUCCCCUUCCUAUUUAUCUAGGUCUACUUCAAUGCUCUCUUCCUCUCGGUGGAUGUUACUUGUUCAUCAACUGCAAUCCAUUGUCGCAAGGUACUACGUCUGAAUAUUUGACCAAAAACAUGUCAGGACAAAGUGAUGUCUAUCAUGGUUUAUUGCUGCAAGUGCAUUAUUUUCUUUGUACUAAAGUGAAUCUUUGAUGUAUUUAUUAAAUUUGGUGGAGCAAUCUUAGUUAAUUUUGAUUAUUUAUAUAUGCAUUUAAUUUCAUUUUUAAUAAUUCAUGUGCAGGAAAUAUGGAUUCUUGGCUUUGCUUGGACUGAUGGUUUGCGCAAUUUCAUUUGGAAUCAAUCAGCUUCGAGGAUAAACUCUUGAAGUUCAUCCUUUCUUGUGCAUGGGACUUGCUUUUCUUCCAUCCAACUUUUUUGUUCUCUUUUUCUAUGGUAGCAGUUUUUUGUUUUGUGUUGGUGGGAAACUUCAUGCUGCAUUUUUGUCAAACUCUGUUGACAUACCCUAAUCAGUACUGACUUUGCUGCAUGGCGAAAGCAUAAGCUCAUAGUUGACAUUGUUGUUAUUAGAGCUUGUUUCCAUAAAAUAAGUGUAAUUUGAAAGUACAUUGUACCCUAUUGAAUUUGAAUUAUCCCCAACAAGUGUUGAUGCAUGAUGUCUAUCAUGUAAUUUUUUUUAUAAUUAUUUUGUUUAAAUUAUAUGUGUUGUAAUAUAUAACUUAAUUAUAGUGUAAAAACAAUGGCAAUGUAAUUUUUUGUAUUAAUGCUAAUACUAAAACUUUAUCAUCAUGAAAUUUUUUAUAAUUAUUUUAUUUAAAUUAUUUAUGAUAUGUUUGCGUAUUAAUUAAAUAAACAAUUAGUUUUUACUAAAAACUAUGACUUACAUGUUUAGUAAAAAUUGUUCAUGAAAAUAGUACUACAAAACACAUUUUCUCUGAUUUUAUCUUUUUCAAUUGUGUUUAUCAAACACAUGUUACUGUUUUCAAUUUUAAAAUACAAGCUAUAGAAAAUGAUAUCAGAUGCCUAUUUAAUUCAAAAUGAUGCAACUGCAAAACACUAUUUUUAUUCUCAUUUUUGUUUUCAGAAAAUACUAAUUCAGAAACGAUAACAAACAAGAACUUAGUUUUAGUACGAAUAAUGUUGUGUUAGUUUUACAUGCUUACAUGCACCCUUAGAUUUAUUAGAAGUAUCAACCCAACCCCCUAGUUACCGUUGACUGAUAUUUAACCCGUUGACUGAUGUUAACUCUUGAAAGUAACUAUAACAUUUAUAUUGUAAUCUCACUUUAUUAACUAAUAAAUUUUAAAAAUAUAAACAGAUCAAUAACAACAAAAUAAUUAAAGUUGAAAUCCAAGAAAUUACCUAAAAACCAUACAUGAAAACCAAAAUGCAUAAAAUUUCAUUAAUUUAAGUUGUGACAAUGAGUAGUCCACAUUAUAUGCAAAAACUUGUUGUGAAAAUUUUAAUAUACUCGCAAGCGCACGAAUCUAGAGAUAGAAAAGUGGUAACGAGGUCGAUCCUACAGGGAUUGUUAUAAAUUGAAAAGUCUAAUUUAAAUCUAAAAUUAAUAUUAAUUCUAACCUAGUUGAGCAAAUUGAGUUUUAAGAGAAAUUAAACUAAUUAAACUAAGAAAACAAUUAAAGUAAAUGAGAAUUUAAUGAGAUAAAAAUUACCAAGGUUUCGGAAUCCACCACUAUUCAAUUAGUAAUUAUCUAAAUAUUAAUUAAUCCCCAAUUUUAGAGUGACAACUCGAAAUCAAUCUAUGUCAUCUCAUGGAUAUAACAAUUAAGCCCAAGUAAUUAAAUCUAAUGUAGGUUCUUUUUCUACUUAAUAAUACGAUAUCUAAGUAUCCCAUGUAAACAUAUUGAAUAACAAAGAGUCAAAGUUUACUAAGCACUCUAUGUAAACAAUUUAAUGAAAGACAUAGAGUCAAAAAUAAUCAUGUAUAAACUUUAUAGAUCCAAGCAUAGAAUUAAUCGAAUAUUAAUCCUAACAAUCAAUAAUGCAUGACAGAAUUGAUGAAAAGAUUUUAUUAACAUCCAAUUAAUCAUGUGAAAUAAAAACCAUAAUCAUCAAAGAACAUAUAUAGGGAAUUAAUUAAAUAAAAAGAUAAUUAUUUCAUUGAAUAGGGUUUCAUCCUUAACCUCAGUAUAAGAAAAUUAGCUAGACAUACUUGAAUUGUGAGCAACAAAAAAAAUAAAAUCAGCCAUGGAAGCCGAAAUAUUGCUACUGCCGAUUGCUCUCUUCCAGCCUUUUGUUUCUGUCCUCUGGCCGCCUCGCUCUCCAAAAGCCAAAACUCCCUUUUAUAAUCUUUGAAAUGGGCCCCAUCUCUUAAAUCCUAAAGCCAAAAGGCUUGCCUUUUAUUUCCUUUAGCUCUCACACGUGACCACCUUUGGAAUUGCUUUAAGAUUCCUUUUCCAAUUAUGAAAGCCAAGUGCGGGUCCCAUUUAAAUUGCUUUCCAAAUAUUACAAAGCCAUGCACGUGUAACUUAACUAAGCUAAAGCCAAUGUUAUGCUUAAAUUCUUCUUCAUGUGCUAGAUCAAUUAAUUUACUAGCUUCGGUUUCCUCGGCUUCACUUCCACAUGCAUGUAUGUCUAAUUGCUUCUAAAAUCAAUUAAUUAACGCUUCCAAAAUUGAGCUCCCUUAUAUCCUUUUUUAUCCAUAAUCUUCAAUUAAUCCCCUAUUCAAUAAAAUAAUUUAAUUAAUUAAAAAUAACAAAUAAAAAUAACUAGUAAUUAUAUAAUUAAGGGUAAAAUAUGUAUAUAAAUUAUGCUCAUCAAAUACCCCCAAACUUAGAUUUUGCUAGUCCUCGAGCAAAACUAAAAUUUAAAACAAAAAUAAAAAUAACAACACAAAAAGUAAAUCCUAACUAAACCACUUUCGCAGGUAAUCGAGAUUGCAUUUAGCACAUGCAACAAGCCUUUAAACCCCUAGGCGGCCCUAGUGGACGAGUUAUAGUCUCGUGAGGGCUUCAGUGAUGAUACCCACAAACAUCAUUUUAAAAAAAUAAAUAAAUUAAAUUAAAUCAAAAGAACGAAAAACUUUAAAUAAACCAUGAAAAAUAGCCCCAAAGAUUGCAAAAAUUAUAUAGCUCAAAGAAAAUUUCAAAUAUUAGCAAAGUUCUAACUUUAAUUCAAUAGUCAAUCCCACCUCUCUUUCAAUUCUUGUAGUGUGUGUGUGAAAUCAAUUCAAUCAAAUCCAUUCCCAAAAUCCUCAACAUCAACAGCCUUCGCCUCAAACAAAGAACAGAGUAGGUCAAACUAAUCUUAUCAUCUUGAUCUCCAAUUUUUUUCUCUCACAGGCUUUUAUGUGCAUUUUCUUUUGAUUUUUUUUUCAGCACAUGCACUUGAUUUUUUUUUUUCUUCUCUUUUUUUUUUUCAACCAUAGCCAGGAGCUUUCACUCUACCCCUUAAGGUAGCCUUCUUCUCAUGGUAGAUUAUCUUCUACAUACUUGUGGUACAUAGGCCCAAAUUACUCAAGGAUAGCUUCACUCUUAAGGGUUAUAGGUAGCUAUUUCUGACUUUGGUGCCCGUGUAUACUAUUUUGUAUUGUGGAGAUAAGAAUCAAGACAAACAGUCAUUUACUCUAUCUAAAAUUCUCAACUCAGGCUGCGUCAAUAUCAAAUUUCAAGUCAAAAUUACGAAAGAAUUGAUAUUAGUGCUCAUGGUUUAAAGAAUCUCAAUCAAGAGGAACUAACACAAGAAUCAAGUAUAAACUAAGACAAUAUUCAACCCUUUCUAAAAACCAUAUUCAUUGUCAAUCAAAUUUUUAUCAUUGGCUUUUCACAUAAAAACAAAAAACAACAAAUUUUUUUUUUAAUUUUUAUUUAAAAUUUUCAAUUUUUUUUUGUUUUUUUUUUUUAACAAACAAAACACACACUAUUCCCACCCCCAAACUUAUUUGGAAAAUUGUCCUCAAUGUUGCACAAACAAAAGAUAUGCAUGCAAACAAAUGAAAGAAAUAAUAAUAAUAAUAAUAAUAAUAAUAAUAAACAUAAAUAAUAAAAAGAAAGUUGGAGAGAACACACCUGGAUGGGCUGGGAAAGCUUUAAAAAAAAAGAACAACUAAAAAGAAAACAUUAGAAAAGAAAAAUACUAGAAAAGAAGAAAACAUUAGAAAAGAAAAAUACUAGAAAAGAAAAACAAACAAAGAGAAGAAAACCUACUAUUAAAAUAAAACAAGAGUGCAUCUAAAAGUAUCUCCUCAACUUCUGGUGUUCUUAACUCUAAAAAUGAUUUCAAUCUUUGCCCAUUGACCUUAAAUAAAUCACCGCCCAUUGACCUUAAAUAAAUCACCAUUUUUAGGGUUUUCAAUCUCAAUUGCUCCAUAAGGGAAAACAGUACGAACUAUAAAAGGACCAGACCAUCGAGAACGUAACUUACCUGGAAAGAGAUGCAAUCGGGAAUUAUAUAAAAGUACUUUCUGACCUGGUGUAAAGGCUUUUCUCAAAAUGUGUUUGUCAUGAAAGACUUUCAUUCGCUGUUUAUAAAUCUUGGCAUUCUCAUAUGCAUCAUUCCUGAUCUCUUCAAGUUCUGCUAGUUGUAAUCUUCUCUUGGAACCAGCCUGCUGCAUGUCAAAAUUGAAUUUCUUGAUCGCCCAAUAUGCACGAUGCUCCAACUCUACUGGCAGAUGACAUGCUUUUCCAUACACAAGUCGAUAAGGUGACAUCCCAAUUGGUGUUUUAAAAGUAGUCCUAUAUGCCCACAAUGCAUCAUCAAGUCUCAAAGACCAAUCCUUUCUAUCUAGCCUAACUGUUUUCUCUAGAAUCUGCUUGAUCUCUCUAUUAGAAAUCUCUACUUGGCCACUGGUUUGAGGAUGAUAUGGGGUGGCAACCUUAUGUGUAAUGGAAUAUUUGUCCAAAAGAGUUUUGAAAGGUUUAUUGCAAAAAUGGGUGCCACCAUCACUAAUGAUUGUUCUAGGGAAACCAAAACGAGACAGAAUAUUACUCUUCAAGAAUUUCACUACAACCCUAUGAUCAUUGGUUUUGCAUGGAAUAGCUUCAACCCACUUCGACACAUAGUCCACUGCAACCAAUAUAUACUGAUAACCAAAAGAUGGAGGAAAAGGUCCCAUGAAAUCAAUACCCCAUACAUCGAAGAUCUCAACCACAAGAAUAGGAUUGAGUGGCAUCAUGUUCCGCUUUGAAAUGCUACCCAUACGUUGGCACCUAUCACACAAAGAACAGAAAAUAUAAGCGUCAUGAAAAAGAGUAGGCCAAUAAAAACCACACUGUAAAAUUUUUGUUGCUGUCUUUUUAGCACUAAAGUGGCCUCCACAAGCUUGUUCAUGGCAAAAUGAGAUAACACUUUGAAUUUCAUUAUCGGGAACACAUCGCCUAAUAAUCUGAUCAGCACAAUAUUUAAAUAAAUAGGGAUCAUCCCAAAAGAAAUCUUUCACUUUAGAUAAGAACUUUGUUCUAUCUUGCUUAGUCCAGUGCUCUGGGAUUUGACCUGUAGCAAGGUAAUUAACUAUAUCAGCAAACCAUGGUACGACAUUUACACUCAUAAGUUGCUCAUCUGGGAAAGACUCAUUCAAAGGUAAAGAUUCUGGAAUAAAUUUAAGAUCAAGGCGAGAUAAAUGAUCUGCUACAACAUUUUCAGAACCUUUUUUAUCUCUAAAUUCAAUGUCAAAUUCUUGUAAAAGCAACACCCAACGAAUCAAUCUUGCCUUGGCAUCUUUCUUAGUAAACAAAUAUUUUAAAGCAGCAUGAUCAGUAAAAAUAAUCACUUUACAACCUAUAAGAUAAGAUCUGAAUUUAUCAAGUGCAAACACCACAGCUAGCAUUUCUUUUUCUGUAGUUGAAUAGUUCAACUGUGCAUCAUUGAGUGUCAUACUAGCAUAAUAAAUCACAUAAGGCACACGAUCUAAUCUUUGUCCUAAAACUGCUCCUACAGCAUAAUCAGAUGCAUCACACAUAAUUUCAAACGGCAAAUCCCAAUUAGGUGGCUGAAUGAUAGGUGAAGAAGUCAACAAUUUCUUAAGCUUUGCAAAACCAUCAAGACAAGAUUCAUCAAAGAUAAAAGGUGCAUCCUUAACAAGUAAAUUGCAUAAAGGUCUAGAAAUUUUACUAAAAUCUUUAAUGAAUCUUCUAUAAAAACCAGCAUGUCCAAGGAAAGAUCUUACUUCUUUUACAGAUUUGGGAUGUGGAAGAUUAGAAAUUAAAUCCACCUUAGCUUUGUCGACUUCUAUUCCUUUGCUGGAAAUUAUAUGACCAAGAACAAUACCUUGUUUUACCAUGAAGUGACAUUUUUUCCAAUUUAGAACCAAGUUCUUUUCUUUACAUCUCUGCAAAACUAAUGUUAGAUGCUGCAAACAUUCAUCAAAAGAAUCUCCAUAAACAGAAAAAUCAUCCAUGAAUAUUUCAAGAAAUCUCUCAACCAUAUCAGAAAAAAUACUAAGCAUGCAUCUUUGAAAGGUAACAGGUGCAUUGCAUAAACCAAAUGGCAUUCUCCUAUAUGCAAAAGUUCCAAAUGGACAAGUAAAAGUAGUUUUCUCCUGGUCCUCUGGAGCUAUAGGGAUCUGAUUAUAACCUGAAUAUCCAUCUAGAAAACAAUAAAAAUCAUGACCUGCAAGUCUAUCAAGCAUUUGAUCAAUAAAUGGAAGAGGAAAAUGAUCUUUUCUUGUAAAUGAAUUCAAUUUUCUAUAAUCAAUACAAACACGCCAACCUGUAGUUACUCUAGUGGGAAUUAAUUCAUUAUUAGCAUUAGUAACUACUGUAAUACCAGAUUUCUUAGGAACUACUUGCACAGGGCUAACCCAAGAGCUAUCUGAAAUAGGAUAAAUAAUUCCUGCAUCUAAUAAUUUGAUUACUUCAGCUCUUACCACUUCUUUCAUGUUAGGAUUUAGCCUACGUUGCAUCUCCCUAAUAGGUUUAGCAUUUUCUUCAAGAUGAAUACGAUGCAUGCAAUCUACUGGAUUAAUACCUUUAAUAUCAGCAAUGGUCCAUCCUAUUGCCUCCUUAUGCUCUUUUAGAAUACCUAACAACUGACCUUUUUGCUCAAGAUCGAGGGAAGAAGAAAUAAUAACAGGUAGAGUGUCAGAUUCUCCCAAGAAUGCAUAUUCCAAAGUGUCGGGCAGUGCUUUGAGUUCCAAUUUUGGUGGUGCCUCCGCAGGUGGGCCAAUUUUCUUCUCAGAAUGAGGCAGUAAUUCUAACCUUGCCUUCCAUUUAGUUGUGUCCGUAAUUAGAGGUGCAUCAAGUAAAGCGCUGACUUCUGCAAUUGCACUGUCAUCAUUAAAAGAUAAAUCAGGAUGAGUUAGACAUGCCUCUAAUGGAUCAUCAUUAUGAUUUGAAAUGAAUGAAUCUUCUACUAAUUCCUCUAUCAUAUUCGCGUCAACAAAUUCAUCUUCUUCUUGUGGCUGCUUGGUAACAUUAAAAAUAUUCAAUUCCAUGGUCAUAUUACCAAAAGAUAGCUGCAUGUUUCCAUUCCUGCAAUUAAUAAGAGCAUCAGCUGUAGCUAAGAAAGGACGACCUAGAAUAACUGGAGUGUGUUUCUUAGGAUCAUGUACAUGCUGAGUAUCAAUAACGAUAAAAUCAACAGGAUAAUAAAAUUUAUCAAUCUGUAUCAACACAUCCUCUAUAAUACCACGAGGUAUUUUCAUUGACCUAUCAGCAAGUUGCAAAAUAAUAGAAGUUGGCUUUAAUUCCCCUAGUCCAAGUUGCAUGUAAACAGAGUAAGGCAAGAGAUUAACACUAGCGCCUAAAUCCAAUAAUGCUUUAUCAAAACAUUGGUUCCCUAUAACACAUGAGAUAGUAGGAGAACCAGGGUCCUUAAAUUUUGGUGGCAUUUUACAUUGAAGUAAAUUGCUAGUUUGUUCAGUUAAAAACGCCUUUUUAGUGACAUGCAAAUUUCUCUUUUUAGUGCAUAAAUCUUUCAAAAACUUUGCAUAUGAAGGAACUUGCUUAAUAGCAUCGAGUAAAGGGAUGUUUAUACUUACCUGUCUGAAGAUUUCCAUAAUCUCACCUGUUGAAGUCCCUUUCUUUACCUUUGUUAACCUUUGAGGAAAAGGAGCCUUGGGAAUGUAAGCUGGCGGGCCACUCUCUUCAGGAUCAUUUGGUGAUGAGUCUUGUGAUGGAACUGAAUCUGAAGAAGUAGGCUCAGAUAUCUUCCUUAUUUGAACCUCUACUUUGUUGUCAAAUAAUUUUCCUCUUCUCAAGGUCAUAACAGAUUUUGCUUCUUCAUGUUGAUGGCUUGAACUCGAUCCAACUUCGUGCACUCCUUUGAGAUUAGGAAUUGGUUGACUUGGAAAUUUUCCUUUUUCUCUCUCAGCUACAGUAGUUGCUAAUUGACCCAAUUGAUGUUCAAGCUUUAGAAUAGCUUGAGUGUUUGACUGAAAAGCUUGUUGGGUUGACUGAAUGAAACUUUGAAGUGUAUCCUCUAAAGAAGGCUUUCUUUGUUGGGGUGCAACAAAUUGAGACAUAGGUUGUUGGGCAGGAGGAUAUACUUGGUUAGGAUGGACAAAUUGUUGAUUGGGCAUGUUAAAUUGUUGUCCUCCUUGGUUUGACAAAGGUUGAUUUUGUUUCCAAGAAAAAUUAGGGUGAUUCCUCCAAUUAGGAUUAUAUGUGGAUGAAUAUGGAUUAUUGGAGGUUUUCUCAUAUGAUUGUAAGGCAUGUACCUGCUCAGAAUAAGCCUCUUGAUAGGCUGGUAAUGAUGGACAAUUCUGUGCUGUAUGAGACACGUUAGAACAAAUAGCACAAACCUCAUUAGCUACACUAGGAUGAUGAUUCAUUGAUUGGUUCAGAGCUAAGGCAUCUACUUUCCUAAAAAGUGUAGCUAGAGUGGAUUUCACAUCAAAAUCAUCCUUAACUUCAUAUAACCCCUUUCUAGAAACUUGAGAUGAUUUUUCUCUUUGAUUUGAAAAAUCCCACUGUUGAGAAUUCUCAGAAAGUGAAUUAAAGAAAUCCCAUGCAGCCCCUUCAUGUAAGUUCAAAAAUCUCCCACCAUUCAUAGACUCUACCAUAUGACGAUUUGACAUGGUUAAACCGUUAUAAAAGCAUUGUAUAAGUCUCCAUUUUUCAAAACCAUGGUGGGGACACUUGAGGAGUAAAUCAUUGAAUCUUUCCCAACACUCGUAAAAUUGCUCACCCUCUCUUUGAUAAAAAUCACUUAUCUCUCUCCUAAGGGCAUUUGUUUUAGACAUAGGGAAAAACUUGGUGAGAAACUUAUUACUCAAUUCAUCCCAUGUACUAAUAGAUCCAGCAGGAAGUGAAUUCAACCAAGCUUUUGCUUUGUCUUUUAAUGAGAAAGGGAACAUACGAAGCUUAAUUGACUCAUCAUUAAAAUUUUGAAAACGGAAUGUAGAGCAUAUGUCAAGAAAUUCCUUAAUGUGCAAAUAUGGAUCCUCUCUCUCUAACCCAUGGAAAGAUGGUAAAAGUUGAAUGACAGAGGGCUUGAGUUCAAAGUGUGUUGCUGUGGUUUGUGGCAACACAAUACAAGAUGGUUGGUUGGCUGCAAGUGGUGAAAAAUAUUCUCUAAGGGUUUUCUCUGCUUGCAUUGGUGGAAGUAUUGGCAAUAGUCUAUUUGGGUCAUCCAUCACUUCUAAAGAACUAGUUUGACUACUAUCAAUUUUUGACUCUCUUUUAACCAAACGAUUUGUUAAAUCACGUUCCCAAACACUCAUAAACUAACUAGACAAGGAAAGAAAGAAAAAAAAAAUAAAAUAAAACAAAUCAACAAUAAUAAAAAUUAAAUAAAAGAAAUCAAACAACCAAACAAUGAAUUUAAAGACAAAUAAAUUUUAUUUUUUUUUUUAAUUAAAAAAUAAAAAAUAAAAAAUAAAAGACAACCUAAAUUAUAACUAGUGGAAGAAUCAAAUCAACCUAGAUUAAACUGACUUUCUAGCACAAUCCCCGGCAACGGCGCCAAAAACUUGUUGUGAAAAUUUUAAUAUACUCGCAAGCGCACGAAUCUAGAGAUAGAAAAGUGGUAACGAGGUCGAUCCACAGGGAUUGUUAUAAAUUGAAAAGUCUAAUUUAAAUCUAAAAUUAAUAUUAAUUCUAACCUAGUUGAGCAAAUUGAGUUUUAAGAGAAAUUAAACUAAUUAAACUAAGAAAACAAUUAAAGUAAAUGAGAAUUUAAUGAGAUAAAAAUUACCAAGGUUUCGGAAUCCACCACUAUUCAAUUAGUAAUUAUCUAAAUAUUAAUUAAUCCCCAAUUUUAGAGUGACAACUCGAAAUCAAUCUAUGUCAUCUCAUGGAUAUAACAAUUAAGCCCAAGUAAUUAAAUCUAAUGUAGGUUCUUUUUCUACUUAAUAAUACGAUAUCUAAGUAUCCCAUGUAAACAUAUUGAAUAACAAAGAGUCAAAGUUUACUAAGCACUCUAUGUAAACAAUUUAAUGAAAGACAUAGAGUCAAAGAUAAUCAUGUAUAAACUUUAUAGAUCCAAGCAUAGAAUUAAUCGAAUAUUAAUCCUAACAAUCAAUAAUGCAUGACAGAAUUGAUGAAAAGAUUUUAUUAACAUCCAAUUAAUCAUGUGAAAUAAAAACCAUAAUCAUCAAAGAACAUAUAUAGGGAAUUAAUUAAAUAAAAAGAUAAUUAUUUCAUUGAAUAGGGUUUCAUCCUUAACCUCAGUAUAAGAAAAUUAGCUAGACAUACUUGAAUUGUGAGCAACAAAAAAAAUAAAAUCAGCCAUGGAAGCCGAAAUAUUGCUACUGCCGAUUGCUCUCUUCCAGCCUUUUGUUUCUGUCCUCUGGCCGCCUCGCUCUCCAAAAGCCAAAACUCCCUUUUAUAAUCUUUGAAAUGGGCCCCAUCUCUUAAAUCCUAAAGCCAAAAGGCUUGCCUUUUAUUUCCUUUAGCUCUCACACGUGACCACCUUUGGAAUUGCUUUAAGAUUCCUUUUCCAAUUAUGAAAGCCAAGUGCGGGUCCCAUUUAAAUUGCUUUCCAAAUAUUACAAAGCCAUGCACGUGUAACUUAACUAAGCUAAAGCCAAUGUUAUGCUUAAAUUCUUCUUCAUGUGCUAGAUCAAUUAAUUUACUAGCUUCGGUUUCCUCGGCUUCACUUCCACAUGCAUGUAUGUCUAAUUGCUUCUAAAAUCAAUUAAUUAACGCUUCCAAAAUUGAGCUCCCUUAUAUCCUUUUUUAUCCAUAAUCUUCAAUUAAUCCCCUAUUCAAUAAAAUAAUUUAAUUAAUUAAAAAUAACAAAUAAAAAUAACUAGUAAUUAUAUAAUUAAGGGUAAAAUAUGUAUAUAAAUUAUGCUCAUCAAUGAAGGAACAACUUCUAUCAUUUUACCAAGUUAUUAAUGUUAUGUUUACUUACUGGAGUGGCCGUGAGAAGUAUAGAUUCCUCCCACUCUAAAGUUUACUUGCAUAUUCUAAGAGGUGUGGGAAUCCCACUCCGUUGAUCCCACCCAAUUUUGAAGUAGGGAGUGUGAUUCCCACUCCCACGAGGGAAGGUCCACUCCCACAACUUUCUUUUUUUACCUUUCUUUUAUUAAAUUUAAUACAAUCAUAUUUAGUAAAAUAAAACAAAUAACAUCAUAUUUAUUUAAUAAAUAUUAUUAUUUUAUUUUAUAAAAUUCUAUUUAUUAAAAAGAAUAAUAUUAAUCUUAUUUAGAUAAAAUUAUUAUUAUAUUUAUUUAAAAAUAAUAGUAUUAUAUUUAUUUAAUAUUAAUAAUAAAUAGUUUAUUCUAAGAAACUAUUAAUUUUGCACUAUAUUAUUAAUAAUAAUGUUUCAUUUGUAUUGCUCUUAUCAAUAAUUUUUAUUUUACAUAAUUAAAAUUAAAACUAAUACAAAAUUUUGAUUUACAUAAUUAAUAAUAUUAAUAAUUAUUGUUAAUUUACAAAUAUAGUGAAAUAAAUAUUUUAUUUCAAAUAUAUUUUUUAUUAAUUUUGUAAUUAAAAGCUACAAUUCUUUAAAUAAGGGUAAAACCGUAAUUUGAAACCAUUUACUCCCCUUCUCAUUCUAGUGAGCAAAAACAACUUGCUCCCACUCCACACUCUCAAUCACAAGGUUCCCACUUCUCAAGAUUUCCACUAUAAUCUAAAAUGUAAACACCAUCUAAAACGUCAAAUAAAAUUCUUAAUUAAGUAAACCAUAAGGUGAUUGCGUAUAAAAAAAAUUAAUAAUCUUAAUUUUCAUAAGAAUUUAUGCUUGUAGUAUUACUUUACUUUUUUAUUAACCGUUGCUUCAACUUAUGGUAGAUAUUAAGAGAACAAUAAUAAUAGAGCUAUAAAUGUUUGCGUACUAUCAAUCAACUUAACAGUAUAAUUACCAACAAAUCCUUAAUACCAUAAAUAAUUAAAUUAUUGGGGUUUUAAAAUGACUCUCUAGACUUUGCAUGAUUUCUUUAUAUGUAGGUGCCAUGGUUCCUAUAAGUAAUAUCAGCCACACUUUUUGUUAUUGUUAAAAAAAUUUUAUAGGUACAAUUUGUGAAUUUGUACAAAAUGUGGUAUUAUACAUUUGAAACAUGAACCGACAAGACAAUGUUGUGUCAAUAAUAAAGAAACAAAAAAAAAUUGUAUAAAAUACAGAUGUUGUAGUGUAACUUGGAUUCUUUUUCUUUAUAAUUGCACCUAUCAUGUGAUUAUCAAAAAAAAAAAAAAGAACUCCUGAGAUUUUAAAAUUUUGUAAUUGCACUAUUUUUGGAUUAUCAGAAGACUUCCUCUCCUUAAAGAUGCUCUUAAUCCAUAAAUGGUGGAAAACAUAAUUCAUGAAAUGAAUUUAUUAUUUUAGAUAAGUUUCAAGUAUGCAUACCUUUUAUAGCUCCAUAUUGCAUAACUCCUCAUUUCAAUCAAUGGAUGCAUUUGUUUACUUUUUCUUUCUUGUAAAUUUUUGAAUGGCCGUAAUUCUAUAAAUAAUUAAUUAAGUGUUAUUGUUAUCAUUAUUUUGUAGAUGCAUAUGUGGGGUGGGGACGUUGGGGGGCAUGGAUCUCAAUAUAGCAGAGGGCUAGAAUAUUUAUUCUUUAAGAGGAACCAGAACCAACAACAAUGCUUUAAGUUCCAUUCCAUUUUACUUUUGUGCACCAGAUUGCAUAAACAACAUUGAUUAUCCAAGGUCAAAGUCUCUCAAAUACUCUAGUUACAAGACAAAGCAUGGGUUAGUAGCGGCCAAAAUUUUCUUGCAACGAAAGGCUGGUAAACUGAUGACAGCUGCUGGAUUGUUUUGGGCCUUAAUGGUUUUAAUAUUAUUCUCUUAAAAACAUAUAUGUUGAUUAGAGACGAGAGGAAGAAGAUGAUCUGAUUCAGCCAGUUGCAGAAGAAAGAGCACACAGUGGAGUUCAGAUUUUGAAUUCUCUUGUUAAAUUGUUUUUAAUUUACUACAAGGUAGAAUAUGUUGCAUUGUUAAAAAAUACUUUGAACAUCCUAUUUUUGUAUUACAAAUAUACCAAAAAUUAAAUUAAUUUUUUUUUCUUUAUUAGUAUAAACUAAAUUUUGCAUGAAUCCUCAUCCUUGUAAGUGGAAUUCUAUUGUGAAACUAAUAGUCCUUCCUAGUUGAACUAACCAUCACUUGGAACAUAUGUGUCAUCUCUAACAACACCUUCCAAACCUGCAGCUACCUGCUUCUUAGCAUUAGAAGCAGUAUAUGCAUUGGCUUUCAACCAGCCAUAAUUAGGAGGAGGGCACCAUUGUUUCUGUUUGUCAAUUUCCUUUCUUGAAUCAUAAGCCAUAAUUAGGAGGAGGGCAAACUUCCACAUAACAUUCCAAAUGGUAUUGUGAAAAAUUUUCACCCUUUUGGUAAUAAAAAAGAACCUUAUUUCUAGUUCUCUAUUAACAAUCUUACUAGGGAUGGCAAUUUGGUCCAUUUAAAUUGGAUAUCCAUACAUCCAAUCUAAUUGGAUUGGAUAAUAUCCAUCAAAAAUUUUUUGGACAUGGAUAUGGAUAUUUUAAAAAAAUAUCCAAGUAAAAGUUGGAUGGGUAUGGAUUCCCGAUGGAUAUCCAAUAUCCAAUUAAUAUCUUAUUUGAAAUUAAAAAAUUAAAAUCGUAAAACUAAAAUGAAAAAAACAAAAACAAAUGUCUAGAAUCUAGAUAGCAAAAACCUAAGAUUAUCACAUCACUUGCCGGCCGGUCUUCGCUUACCGACGCUCUUCCCCGACUCCGACGCCGCUGUCCAGGGGUUCCAUUUAGGUGCACCGGCGCUGUACCAAUGGUUGAUCAGCCGUAACUGCAGCUUCCAGCUGUUCUUGACCGCUUUUCUGCCUCGUUCCAGCUGCCAUCGUCUCUGUCGUCGCUGCCACCACCGUCGUCCGUCCGCCUGUUCGUUGUCUCCCGCGCAAGGUAAGUUUUGAUUGCUGAAGCUUAAUAGUGUAAUAAGCUGGAUUUAAAGUUAUGGCUGCGUCUGCUUUUCCUUUGCAAGGUAGUAGUAACAAAAACUUGUCUCAACUUAGCCGUCAUUCUAGUCCGCGUGAAGUCAUUGUUGGGUUAAAUUUUCAGCACCAAAUGUACUGCCACCUUCUUUACGGUCUAAGGAAUUAUGAAUUUAUCGAUGGAAUUAUUUCUCCUUAUGCUAUAGGAUUAAUUAGAGCAUUUAGUUUUUUUGAAUCUAAGUGGAAGUAGCUAUGUGAUGAUCUUGAAAAUGGGUACCCGUGUUUGGAUAUUACUGAGGUUGCAAUGCGAGAUUUUGUUACUGAACCAGAUUUGAAAAUGGGUACCCGUGUUGCAACCAGAUUUAUCAAAAAGGAUCCAAUCAAUUUGUGGAGAAAGUAAUUUGACCCUAGGUUCCUAGAGCGUAGAGACAAUCCAUCUGCUUGAUUAAAUAAUGUAACUUGGCAGCACCCUAUAUCAGAUGUGUAAUUGAUCUCUAUAUGGUUCAUGUUAAGCACUACUACUACUUCCAAACAAACGAGCUAGCUAGUUCUAGAAGUUUAGGGAUUGUUAAUAAUUGCUCUGUAAUGUCUUUUUUUCAGGUUAAUUAUGUCUAAUUUUGAUUCCGAUCCUGCUGUUCAAUUAAACCCUCAAGCCUCAAGUAAUGUUAAUGCUGAAAAUCCACAAACUCAUUCAAUUAGUGGAGGUACAAAACGAGACUCGGAAGGACAACCUAGAAGCUCAUUGAGACAAACAUCUAGAGCUUGGGACCACUUCACAAGGAGAACAAUUAAUGGAGAAAUGAAGGCAGUGUGUAAUCAUUGUGGCAAAGGUUUUGCUGGACAGCAAUCAAGUGGAACUUCACAUUUGUUAAACCAUAUUGAUAGGUGUCCCAAACGGAUACAAGAAUCAGCUCUAGCUCCAGCUUCUAGCCCUAGUCAAGCAUCUAAGGUCUACAAGAAAAAAGAUGCUGAAACUUCAACAAUUUCAGCAUUUGAUUCCACUGCAUUUGAUAAAGCACUUGCUAGACAGAAAAUAGCAAGAAUGAUAAUCAUGCAUGAGCUUCCUUUGAGAUUUGUUGAGUAUGAAGGGUUUAGGGAUUUGAUGAGUUUUGUUCAGCCUUUGCUUGGUAAAAUUUGUAGGAACACUGUGAAAAGAGAAGUUUUUAAGCUGUUUGAUUUUUAAAAGGCUAAGACAAUGGCUUUGUUGGAGGAUAUUACUAGUAAAGUUUCCAUUACUACGGAUAUGUGGACAUCUAGCCAUCAAAAAAAGGGAUAUAUGGUCGUGACAGUGCAUUUUAUUGACAAUUCGUGGACUCUACGAAAUCGAAUCUUAAGGUAUCAGUUUAAAAGUUUAAUAAAUUUAUUUAUAUUUUAUUAUAUGAACUUUAUUUUUAUUUAUUCUCAUAGCUGUAAUUCUGUUUUAUUUUUUAUGAAUUGUGUAGAUUUAUAUAUGUGCCUUCUCCACAUACUGCUGAAGCACUUUCUAAUGAGUUGGCUAAGUGUAUGUUGGAUUGGAAUGUAGAUCGAAGGUUAUCUACAAUAACAAUUGAUAAUUGUUCUACUAAUGAUGCUAUGAUUCCGCUUUUGUUGGCUAAGUUUCCUCCUGGUUCAUUCUUAUUAAAUGGAAAAUUAUUGCAUGUGAGAUGUUGUGCUCACAUUUUAAAUUUAAUUGUUAAGGAUGGGUUAGAUGCGAUAGGAGAUGGGAUUGAAAAAGUUAGAAACAGUGUUAAUUACUGGACAUCAUCACCUAAAAGGAUAGAGCUGUUUGAGGAUACGGCUAAUCGCCAAUUGAAGUUAAAUUGUUCUAAGAGUUUAGUGCUUGAUUGUAAAACUAGGUGGAAUUCGACAUAUUUAAUGCUUGAAGUUGCUUUGAUUUAUAAAGAUGUUUUUACUCGUUUGAAGCAUCGUGAUAACCAAUAUAAGCACUUGCCUACUGAAGUAGAGUGGGAGUUGGCGAGAGUAGUAUGUGAGCAUUUGAAACCCUUCUAUACUAUGGCUGAGAUGUUUUUUGGCACUAAAUACCCAACAGCUAACUUAUUUUUUCCAAUAAUUUGUGAAAUUAGAUUAUCAUUGAAUGCUUGGCUUAAUUCUUCAUGUGAUGUGAUAAAAAAUAUGGCGAAAAGUAUGUUAGAAAAGUUUGGAAAAUAUUGGGAUGAAAUCCAUGGUGUAAUGGUUGUUGCUGUUGUAUUGGAUCCUAGAUACAAAAUGGUUCUAGUGGAUUAUUUCUUUCCUCAGAUUUAUGGUAGUGAUGCAUCAACUCAUAUUGAUAGAAUCCGUACUCUCUGUUCUGACUUAUAUUCAGAAUAUAAAAAAAAGAGUAUGGUUGGAUCGAAUUUGGCUGAAGGAUUUGGUGAGUCUAGUGUUGUUUGUAAUUCUAAUUCUAGUUCAGUUGUGAUGGGUAUGUGGGAUGUGAAAAAAUUUAAUGCAUUCAAAAGCCAACAUAUUCAUAAACGAGUUAAGUCGAAGUUAGAUACUUACUUGGAAGAAGAGGAUAAGACUACUCCAGACUUCGAUAUUUUAAUGUGGUGGAAGGUGAAUAGAAGUAGAUAUCCGAUAUUAUCUGAGAUUGCUAGAGAUUUGCUGGCUGUUCCGGUCUCCACAGUUGCUUCCGAAUCUGCUUUUAGUGCGGGAGGUCGAUGUUUAAGCCCACAUCGUAGUAGACUUCAUCCGAGUACAGUAGAUGCCUUAAUGUGUACUCAGAAUUGGAUAUGGGCUCAAUUAAAAGGUAUCAAAUUCAGCUCACUUCUGCACUUAUUUGAUUUUGAUAGUAUUUGUUUUUUUUUUAUUUUACAAUUUUUUUAAAAUUAGGUGAGAUUCCUAAAGAUAAAGUGAUGAAUGGGGAAAAAAUAAAUGGAGAAGUGACUGAUAAUGAUGAUGAAGAGGAGACCCAACCAUGUUCUGAAUAGUGUUUAUUUUUCUUUUUUUGGUAUGUGCUUGAUGCUUAUUGUGAUGCUCAAUUAUUAAUAUCAAAUUCAGCUCACUUCUGCACUUAUUUGAUUUUGAUAGUAUUUGUUUUUUUUAUAUUUUACAAUUUUUUUUUAAAUUAGGUGAGAUUCCUAAAGAUAAAGUGAUGAAUGGGGAAAAAAUAAAUGGAGAAGUGACUGAUAAUGAUGAUGAAGAGGAGACCCAACCAUGUUCUGAAUAGUGUUUAUUUUUCUUUUUUUGGUAUGUGCUUGAUGCUUAUUGUGAUGCUCAAUUAUUAAUAUCAUGGUUAUACUUAUUUAUUUAUUGCAUCAGUGGAAGCAGCUAGUAAUAUUUUCAAUUUUUUUUCUAUUAUUGUUGUGCCUAAUUGAAGAGUAUAUUUUUAGGAAAGGACCUCAAUGUUACAGAUCCCUGGUGUUCUGUUCUGUGGCCCUGUCUUCUAUUACCUAAUCUUUUGUCCUGUGUUAUUCAUCUUAAGUUUCACUUGAUUUGAAAAUCUAUCCGGCUGCCAAAGAUAUUUCAUUUGUUAUGGCCAUGGUGGCAAAUUAUAUGGUUUAAGCUGAAUAUUACAGAAAAUGUAACUGCCUUGGUUGAUGCUUAAAAUACUUUGAUCACUUCUGAGAUUAAGAAAUAAUAAGCAUGUGAGCCCUUUGCACAAUAGACUGCCUACUAUCUAUAUUAUAUAUUUAUUUAGUUAGGAAGUAAAGUGCUGAGAAACAUACAAUUGGAGGCUCUGUUUCAGAAUUUCCUGUUUAGUUCAUAUCUGCUCUAUUCAUGCAUCAAAUGGCAGGUCUGGCUUUUUUCUGUCAUUUUCUCAUUCACUUCUUGUUAUCAGUUGGUUGCAGUUCGAAAAAUUCCUUGGGCAAACGCAAACCUGAAUUAUACUGGUCAAGCACUCAUCAUAUCCGUAGGUAACUGUCACAACUGGCAUUUCUAAUUUUUUGUAAUGUGGAAAGAAGAUAUACUGACUAGUAUACUAUUUUUGGUAUCAAAAAUUCAUACGACAUGGCCUCGAGGCUUUCUGUAAAAUUUGUUCAUGAUAUUGCUUAUUUAUUCUUGAAUACAGACUUUUUGUAAUGCGGAAAAAAAUCUAGUGUAAUACUCUCGUAUCAGUACAAAAAAUUAUGAUAUCACCACUGCUUUCAAAUACUUUUUUUUUUUUUCUGUGAGACUACCUCUGUUCAACACCUAUCUUUAAGUCAUAAAUAUUUAGUUUUGCUCAGGGGCGGACCUAAGAAUUUAUAUUAUCCCGGGCUAAAUGUGUAAUCAAUAUUUUUUGUAAUACAAAUGUGUAUUACAAAAAAUUAGUGUACUAAAUUUACACUAUGGGACCUAAGAAUUUAGAAUUAAACUCAAACAGCUCCUAGUGAAGCCGUCAAGUGGCUUUUAGCGUCUUUAUUUGUCUAAUCAUCUGAGUUACAAUCUUUAAAAAUAAUAAUAAUAAUAAGUUAAAAUUUUAUUUGACCUUUUCUUCUCAUUUCCGAAUAUUAACAAAUACCUCGAUAAUCGGUCCCCAAACCGCAUUCUGCCGUGUAUUUUGUAAGUAGGAUACAUUACUCACAAUAAUGUUAUGCUUUUGGGACCGCUACAGCCUACAAAUAAUGGCUCCCGAUUGAAUUAGUUCAAAAAAUAGUUAAUUAUUAAAUUUUAUCCUUUUCUAAUUUAAAUUGUGAAAUAUAUUCAGUUGUGAAAAAAAGAAUUACCGAUACAGAAGGUAUUAACAAUACCUUGAUAAUCCCGUUAAUUUUACGAGUAGGUAUUAACAAUAUGAUGUCUCACUGUUUGUCUGAUGGGCUCAUAAUUAUUAGAUUUUAUUGUUUCUAAUUUGGGUGGGGAAAUUUAUUCAGUUGGCUAAAAACCUAAGCUCUUGCGAGGCUUGUUUUAUUAUCAAAAACAAAAAAACAAACAAAAAUUAUUCAGUUGGCCUACAAAUUGUAAAUUAAUGUGUCAAUUUUCUCACGUUAUCCUCCUGCUUAAACAUAAGUCUACACAAGAUUUCAUGUUUAAAUAGGUUAAAUGUGCCAUGAUUAUUAAAUAAUUUUAAAUCAUAAACAUUUAGGUGGCAUAUGUUUCUUGUCUAAAAUCUAAAUAUGUGUGAAUUAGUCUGAAUUUUGAGUAGAGCUGAAUGUCUAAAUCUUAAUUAUAUGUUUGUUUUUUUAUCUGAAUCGUUAAAAAUAAAUAUUAAGUUGUUUAUCUUUUAACUUAAAAAAAAUCUAAAAAUUAGUAUUUCUACAUUUGUGCCCUAAUAUAUUGUAAAUGUUAAUCAAAUAAUCAACAUUUCAAAGAACAUAUAAAAGAUAAUAUAUCAUCAUAAAAUAAAUCAUUUUCAAUUGAACACAACCUUUUAAUAUUCUAAAUUAGUAUAUGUCAAUCAAUUUUAUUAUAAUUUAUGAUGUUUUUAUACUAAGAAUAGUCAUUAAAAAAUUAUGAAGAUAAAUAAUUCUAAUAUGAAGAAAAUAAGAUGGUAAAAAUAGUAAUAGUCUACCACUAUAUUAUCAUAAGUUAUAGAGAUGAGUAAUAAUACUAAUUAUUAAAUUUUAUUCGGGUAACGAUGAAAAUUAAUUAAUUAGAUAGAGAUAUUUUGGAAAAUAUCUUUUAAUGAUAUUAUUCAUACUUUUUAGAUUAAGUAAAAAGCUAAAAAGUUUGGGAUAAUAAUUUAAUGAAUGAAAAUUUUUCGUUAAGUUGAAAAAACAAACAUCUACUUAGUUUUUAUUUAUAUUAACAACAAAUUAAUAUAUAUGACGUUCUACUUAAUAAAGAGAGAACCUGAGGUAAUAAAACUGUUAAGAGAGAACUAUAAAUAAGGUGCUUUUGGAUUAUCAAAAAAGGUGAAAAACCAUCACCAAACCAUUUGGAUGUUAUUUGGAAGCUUGCCUUAUCAAAAAAAGUUUUAGAUGAAAAUUUUCUCUUGGUGAGCAGCUAAAGACCUAUUUUCAACAGCUGAAGAUUUGAAAAUUAAAAAAAAAAAUGUUUCAGUAUCCUAGAUGUUAAAUUUGCUAUAGUAACGUGGAUGACAUAUUUCAGAGAGUAAGAUGGGGUGGAAAUUUUGGCGAAAUUCCCAGUUCGCAGUCAAAUUUAAAGAGGAAAUUUAGUAGACAAGGCCAUUCUAAAAUUUAGAGAAAGGAAACAAAUGUAUUUAAGUAGGGAAUUAUGCAAUACGGAGUUAUAAGAGGUAUGCAUAUUUGAGACUUGUCUAAAGUAAUAAAUUCAUUUUAUGAACUAAUUAUUGGACCAUUUACGGAUUAAAGGCAUCAUUAAGAAGAAGAACAUUAUCAAGAGUCUUUUGAUAAUUCAAGGAUAGUGCAAUUACAAAAUUUAAAAAUCUCAAGAAGUUUUUUGAUAAUCACAUGAUAUGGAAUUAUAAAGAAAAGGAUCCGAGUUGCCUACGACAUAUGUAUUUUAUACAAUUUUUUUUAAUUAUUGAUUAGAUUACUGUCUGUGCAUGUUUCAAAUGUUUAAUACCGCACGUUAUACAAAUUCACAAAUUGUACCCAAAAAGUUUUUUUUCACCAAUAACAAAAAGUGCAGCUGAUGGUACCUAUAGGAACCAACAUGAUCACCCAGCACCUACACAUAAAGAAAUCAUGCAAAGUCCGGAGAGUCCUUUUAAAACCCCAUUAAUUUAGUUAUUUAUGAUUUUAAGAAUUUAUUUGGAGAUGUAGUAGAGGAGCUAUGAUUUUAAAAUGUUUGGUAAAUACAUAGUUUAAAAUUUUAUUUAUUUGAUAAAGAACUUAUAUUAUUUUAAGUACUUAAAAUAGUUUAAUAUGCAAUUCGAUGCUAAAAAGAUAGAAUUACCCUUACAAAAUGACCAUAGUUUUUAUUUGUAUUUGUUUCUAUGUUGUCAUUUAGUAAGGAUAAUUCUAUCUUUUUAGUAGACAACUAAUACAAAUUAUAAAAUUAAAGUAAAAAACUAAACAAAUUAAAUCUUCCUAGUAUUUUUUAAUAUAAAAUAAACUUAGGGUAGAUGGCUGAUAAUUGACUACACUAUAAUAAAAAAAAAACCUUGUUUUCAUAUAGGACCCACUCACUAUAAAAUUUAUAAUUGGUCGAUUUAGAUCUCAUUUCUAAUUUUUGUAAUGUGGAAAGAAGAUCUAGUAGAGACUUUCUUAUAUAACAAAUUUGUAUGACAUGUCCCAGAAGCUUUUUGUAAAACUUGUUCCUAAUAUUGCUAAUUUAUUCUUGAAAUUACUUAGAUCUUAUUUUCAAUUUUUUGUAAUGCAAAAAAAAAAAAACUAGUGUGAUACUCUUAUAUCACUACAAAAAAUUAUUUAAUAUUACAAUACCACAUUCUUUUUAAAUACUUUUUUGUGUGAAACGAUCUCCAUUCAACAACUAUCUUUCAGGUCAUAAAUAUUUAGUGUUUGUUAUAUUAACAAAAAUAUAAUUUAUACAAGGAUUUUACUUAAAAAUCAUCCUAAAGUGAUAGAACUCUUAAGAGAGAAUCGAAUUAAAGUGCUUCUAAGUUACUGGAAUAGAUGAAAGCUUUUUCACCAAAUCAUUUGCAAUGUUAUUUGGAAGCUUGCCUUGCCCCAAAAGUAUUGGGUGAUUUCUUUCUCUUUUUUUUUUGGAGAGCAACCAAAACGUACUUCGGUGAAAAUCUAUGGAAUAAACAGAACGCUGACUGCAAGUAGAUAAGGGUGUAGAACCCAAGUCGCGUUGGGAAAUUAGAAGAUAAGGUGCGUAGGUGAAAUUUAAUCUAUCUAAAUUUCGAGUAGACUUGUGUUUGAGUAGGAGGAUAAUGUAAGAAAAUUUGGCACUUUUAUUCAACUGAAGAAAUUUUACAAUUUAAAUUAGAAACGAUAAAAUUUAAUAAUUAAUUAUUAUUUGAACUAAUUGAAUCGUGCGCCAUCAUUUGUGUAAUGUAUCCUAUUUGCAAAAUAAACGGCAGGAUGCGGUUUGCGGACAGAUUAUCCUAUUUUGGUAAUUCUCUUCUUCUUCUUCAACCCCAAAUAAUCAAAAGCUCUCCAAUGGCUUUCGUAUCCUCAACUCGUUCAUUUAAUUUUACUUCAAUUUUAGUAUCAGCUCUUAGAUGUAAUUUCUCAUCUUCGUUCCCUCAUACCGGAAAACCCACAUCUUCAAUUUCGGAAAAUGAACCCUCGUAUCCGACCACAACAGCUAAACUGAAGGAGUCGCUACGACUGACGGUCAAAGACUGAGCCUCACUCGAAAAAUUCCUCAAAGAAAGGUGCAAAUCAUCAGGUCAAGGUGAUAUUAAUCUUAUUACUCCUAAUGAAGCCUUGUGUAUCUUUGAUUACAUGUUCCGUAUGCACCCUUCUCCGCCUCCUGUCUCUUCCUUCAAUAUUUUGUUUGGUUGUCUUGCUAAGAAUAAACAUUAUAUACUGUCCUUUCACUCUUCAAGCGACUCAAUUCAACUGGGUUGUUUCCAGAUCUUUAUACUUACAAUAUCUUGAUUAACUGCUUUUGCAAAAUGGGUCGAGUUUCUCAUGGUUUUGUUGUUCUUGGGAGAAUCCUCAGGUCUUGUUUUACUCCAGAUGCUGUGACCUUUACUUCUUUGAUUAAAGGUUUGUGUGCGGAGAGUAGAAUCAUGGAGGCCGCCGCAUUGUUAACGAAACUUAAAGCGUUUGGUUGUGAGCCUAAUGUCAUCACAUACACCACUUUGAUUAAUGGAUUGUGUCGAACAGGCCAUACAAUUGUUGCUCUAAAUUUAUUUGAAGAGAUGGCUAAUGGAAAUGGGGAAUUUGCUGUUGUUUGUAAGCCAGACACUGCUACAUACAGUACUAUUAUCGAUGGUCUUUGUAAGGAAGGUUUUGUGGACAAGGCCAAGGAACUGUUUCCGAAGAUGAAGGAUGAGAAUAUUAACCCCAAUGUGGUUACUUAUACUUCUUUGAUUCACGGUUUUUGUUACGCUAAUGAUUGGAAUGAGGCGAAGUGUUUGUUUAUUGAGAUGAUGGACCAAGGGGUACAACCUAAUGUUGUGACUUUCAAUGUGAUCAUGGAUGAGCUCUGCAAGAAUGGAAAGAUGGAUAAAGCAAGUCGGUUGCUGGACCUGAUGAUUCAGAUUGGUGUGCGUCCAGAUGCUUCUGUCUAUAACACAUUAAUGGAUGGGUUUUGCUUGACGAGUAGAGUUAACCGUGCGAAGGAACUAUUUGUUUCUAUGGAGAGUAUGGGUUGCAAACAUAAUGUUUUUAGUUACAGUAUUUUGAUAAAUGGUUACUGCAAGAAUAAGGAAAUAGAGGAAGCGUUAAGCCUUUAUAGCGAAAUGCUCUCUAAAGGAAUUAAGCCAACAGUUGUUACAUAUAGCACCUUGUUUCUUGGACUUUUUGAAAUACACCAGGUUCAGCAUGCUUUAAAACUGUUUGAUGAUAUGCAGCGUAAUCAUGUGGCAGCUAAUACAUAUAGAUACACUACCUUUAUUGACGGGCUCUGCAAGAAUGGUUUUGUUCUAGAGGCACUGGAAUUAUUCCGUGCUAUAAGAAAUAGCAAGUAUGAGCUUAAUAUCGUAUCCUACAACUGCCUCAUUGAUGGAUUGUGUAAAAUAGGCAAACUGGAAACUGCUUGGGAAAUGUUUCAAAGUUUGCCUCGUGUAGGCCUAAUGGCAGAUGUUGUAACUUACAACAUCAUGAUCCAUGGGCUUUGUAAUGAUGGGCAAAUGGACAAGGCACAUGAUUUGUUUCUUGAUAUGGAAGCAAAAGCUGUGGAACCCGAUUGUGUCAUAUUUAAUACGAUUAUGCUGGGUUUCAUCCGCAAUAAUGAGACAUCAAAAGUUAUUGAACUCCUUCACAGAAUGGAUAAGAGAAAUGUAAUGCCAGACGCAUCUAUACUUUCAAUUGUUGUGGACUUGCUUGUAAAGAAUGAAAUUAGCUUAAAAUCGAUUCCACAAUUCAAGAGUCAAAGGUAAGUGAGUUUAAUACUGAUUUAGCCACAUGUUUCUUCUGCCUGAAAACCCAACCUGGAGGAUCCCAUUCUUAUUACAACAUGUAAAGGAGUGUUGUCUAAUAUAGGCAUGUUCCUAGGUUCUGUCCAUGGAUUCUGUUUGCACACAUGGCUAACUUCCUGUUCAACAGAAAGUUUUAAAGUCUUUCAACUUUAUGUUGUAAAAUAACUUUUUUAUUAUUCAAUUCAUGAGUUUUUCUUCUAUAACACAUCCUUCUCAUUAGCUGGAAGUGCAAAUUUUUUAGGCUUUUCCCGUAUGGCCUCUUUUUCUGCUCUAAAUAAAAUGGCAUUUUAUUUCCCUCUUGUGAGGGUACAAGGUUUAUGUUUAAACUUUCUGUUAGUUAAAUUGGUUGUCUUUGAUAUAGGGAACUUCCAGUUGAACUGAUUUGUAAUUCGACUAUAUGAGAUUACCAACUGUAUUGGGAAUCGAUGCCAAAUUAAUAAUGUCAUCAGGUUUUUCAAUCAGUGUUCAUCAUUUAUUUCUGUUAACAAUUAAUAGCACAGUUUGUCUUCUCAGCUUCAUUGGUUCCUCUCAAAAAUAAUCUUGUAAAGACAAUCUUUCUUGGGCAUGGAAAAUGCUAGAUUGUUUGUGGUCUGAAUGAUACUACACAUCUAAGUAAUUGCCCAAAGUUUUUGUUCCUAGUUACAUGGCAUUCAAUUGAAUGAGGACUCAUGUUUGUGUGUAUUGGUAUUUGUUAUACUAUGUAUUGGCAAGACAAAGUUUCUUGAAAUUGACAAACUUUUCUCUAUGAAGAUUGAAGACAAUAUGAUAAGAUAAAAUUUAUCAAAAGCCUAUAUAUGCUUGCCAGGGCCGGACCUUUGAUUAUUAGUCCUCGCCUUUCGUUCUUGUUUCAUAUUCUUCUGCUAACAAAUCUUGAUCAUGAAUCUCAUCACAUUUGGUACGCUUAUCCAUGGUUUUAUCCGAACCAAUGAGCCAUCAAAAGUUAUUGACCUUCUUCACAAGAUGAGGGAGAAAAAAGUAAUGCCGGAUGCAUCUAUAGUUUCAAUCGUCGUGGACUUGUAAAGAAUGAAAUUAGUCUGAACUCACUUCCGUCAUUUCCUGUUCAAGAGCAACAGGGGGAAGUUGAUGAGUCAAAUGUCAAGUUGUAGCAGCAUGUGCUUUCAGCCUAAAAACCUGAUCUGCAGCAUCUCAAUCAUGUUACAAAGUGACACGUCGCCUAGUGACAGCAAGUUCUCUACGGUGCUGUUAAUGGAUCCUGAUUGUUCUUGUGAUCUGGAGAGUCUUAUUCACAUUACAGAUCCUGGUCUGGACGAGCUAGCUUAUGUGAUCACCAACUCUACAUUGCCGUUGAUGCCAAAUUAAAUAUGGUAUCAUGUUUUUCAACUUGUUACUUACUACAGUCCUUCCAUUGAAUGGCCACAAGAAACUGUAAAAUCACCCUUUGUCUUGUUCCCUCUUAAUGAUCCAUCACUUUGGGAGCUAAUGAAUUAGUUACACCUUGUCACUUUAUUGGUACUUGAUUGUCAUUUGUGCUUUGAAUUCACAGCAUAUUUUAUCCUUGCUGUACUCUUUGCAUAAUCACCUUUGAGGGCUGCUAGUAUGUAUAAUUGAAAAACCUUAUAUAAAUUAUAAGCAUUUAUAUUUAACUUCUUGUAAACGUCCAGUAUAUGUCUCUUCUGUGAAAUGAUUCAUUCUCCAUGCUGCUAGGACCUGGGCUUAUGACUCUUCUGUGAAAUGAUUUACCCUCACCUGCAGACAGAAAUUUAUCACAUUCGAGAAAUCUUCAAACAAAGUGAAAAAAAUGCCACAAACACGACAUAAACUUAACUGUUUACAUGAAAAGUGGCAGCAACUUGGUGAAAUUACCGAUUAAAAUGUCCCUACUGUGAGGAAGGAUGCUAUACAACUGACUCGGAAAAUGUAAAAUGGAUAACUUACGUCCAAAAUGUCCCUGUAUUGUUGGCAUGUUCCCAGGUUCUGUUCAUGGAUUCUGUUUGCAGACAUGGCCGACUCUCUGUUUCAUUGGAUAAGUUUCAAAUAAUUCUGGCAACUUUUUGUUGUAAAAUUACUUUUUUAUCAUUUAAUCCAUAUGCCUCUUUCUCAUUACCUGCAAGUGCAAAAUUUUUAGGCUCGUCCUCUUAGACCUCUUUUUCUUCUCUAAAUAGAUAAAAUGGCAUUUCAUUUUUCUCUUGCGAGGGUGCAGGUUUAUGCUGAAACUUUCGGUUAGUUAAAUUGAUUGUCUUUGAAAUUGGAACUUGUACUUGAACUAGUUUGCAUUUUGAAUAUAUGAGAUUACCAACUGUAACGGGGAAUUGGUGCCGAAUUGAUUAUGUUAUCAGGUUUUUCAGUCUGUGUUCAUCUUUUAUUUCUGUUAAUAAUUAACAGCACAGCUUGUCUUCUCUACUUCUUUGGUUCCUGUCAAUUGUCAAAUAUAAACUUGUAGAGACAUUUUGUUUUGGCAUGGCACAUGCUAGAUUUUGUUUUUUGUUUGAAUGAUACUACACAUCUAAGUGAUUGUCCAGAAUUUUUUUCAUUCCUAGUGACAUGGCACUCAAUUGAAUGGUGACUCGUGAAUCAUGAUUGUGUGUGUUGGUCUUUGUUAUACUACGUGUUGGCAAGACAAAGUCUUUUGAAACUGACAAACUUUUCUCUAUGAAUAUUGAAGACAAUAUGAUAAGAUAAAAUUAAUCAAAAACAUCUAUUCUUGACAGGGCUGGAACGUCUGUUAUUAGUCCUCGCCUUCCAUUCUUGUUUCAUAUUCUUCUGCUAACAAAUCUUGAUCAUGAUAGUCUUCUCUUUUCUUUUGCAAUGGUGAGUUCACUCUCAGGAAUCAGAUCGAAUUUGAAGAAACUGCAAGGGACUCCAAAGCAAAUGGUGUAGAGCAACCUUCACUUAUCACGGGCACAGGAUUACUCUGACUUUCUGCAUUUUACUGUUGGCUAUGGUUUGAUGCAUUAUUUAUUGUUCUAAAAUACCAUCCUCGUUGGAAGUUCAAUCAUUACUGUUUUUAUUCCCCCUCUUUUUACUUGCUCUUGCUAUUUUUGUUGUCUGAAAUUAUCAGAAGUUCCAUGCAUGCUCCAAUAGAACGAGUAAUGUAAUGUAGGUGCUGACCAACUCCAAAUAAGUAGUUAGUUGCCUAGUAGUUGCUUUCCAUGAAAUUUGUUUUUGGUAUGAAUAAUGUUGUCUUAAUUUUACAAGCUUCCGUGCAACCCCUAAUUUAUUGGAUGUAUUAACCCAACCCCUCAUUUAAUAUUAGAUUUACCCAUUGAUUGAUGUUGACUCUUGAAAGUAAUGUACUAUUUAUUUAUUUGAUAUUAAUGAUUAUAUCAUUUAAAUAGUCUAUUCUAAGAUAUUAUUAAUUUUCUCAUUUAAAUAAAAUAUUAUUAUAUUUAUUUGAUAUUAAUGAUUAAUUAUAAUGAAUAGUCUAUUCUAAGAAAAUAUUAAUUUUCUACUAUGUUAUUAAUAAUAAUGUUUCAUUUCUAUUACUUUCAUCAAUAAUUUUUAAUUUAGAUAACUAAAAUUAAAACUAACAAAAAAUUAUGAUUUACAUAAUUAAUAAUAUUAAUAAUUAUUGUUAAUUUACAAAUAUAAUGAAAUAAAUAUUUCUUUUUUCAAAUAUAUUUUUUUAUUAAAUUUUUAAUUAAAAACUAUAUUUUUUAAAUAAGGAUAAAAUUAUAAUUUGAAACUAUUUACUCCCGCUCCGAGACAAAGUAAACACAUAAAUUGAAUUUUAAUUCUAAUUCCAUACUCCUAUUAUAGUGUAAGUAAAUAAUCUACUCUCACUCCACAUUCUCAAUCUCAGGAUUCUUACUUCUUAGGAUACCUCUCUAUUCCAAAAUGUAAACGCUAACAAAAUAUAAACCAUAUAGAGGCAUAUAUAUAUAGAAUCAUAUCAUAUCUCAAACGUCAAAUAAAAUUCUUAAUUAAGUAAACCAUAAGGUGAUUGCGUAUAAAAAAAAUUAAUAAUAUUAAUUUUCAUAAGCAUUUAUGCUUGUAGUAUUACUUUACUUUUUAUUAACCGUUGCUUCAACUUAUGGUGGAUAUUAAGAGAACAAUAAUAAUAGAGCUAUACACGUUUGCAUACUACCAAUUAAAUUAACACUAUAAUUUGGUUUACCAAACAGAUCCUUAAUAUCAUAAAUAAUUAAAUUAUUGGGGUUUUAAAAUGUAGACUUUGCAUGAUUUCUUUAUAUUUAGGUGCCAUGGCUCCUAUAAGUAAUGGCAGCCACACCUUUUGUUAUUGGUAAAAAACUUUUCUAGGUACAAUUUGUGAAUUUGUACAACGAGUGGUAUUAAACAUUUGAAGAAUGAACCGACAAUGUCAUAUCAAUAAUAAAGAAAAGAAAACGAAUUGUAUAAUACCCAGGUGUUCUAGUGUAACUUGGAUUCUUUUUCUUUAUAGGUGCACCUAUCAUGUGAUUUUUUUUUUUGAAAAAAGAAAACAAAAAAAAAAAGAACUCUUGAGAUUUUAAAAUUUUGUAAUUGCACUAUCUUUAAAUUACUAGGAGACUUCCUCUCCUCGAAGACACCUUUAAUCCAUAAAAGGUCCAAAAAAUAAUUCAUGAAAUGAAUUGAUUGUUUUAGAUAAGUUUCAAGUAUGCAUACCUUUUAUAACUCCAUAUUGCAUAACUCCUCAUUUCACUCAAUGGGUGCAUUUGUUCACUUUUUCUUUCUUGUAAAAUUUUGAAUGGCCCUAAUUCUAUAGAUUAUUAAUUAAGUGUUAUUAUUAUCAUUAUUGGCCGUAGAUGCAUAUGUGGGGUGGGGCCGUUUGGGGGGCAUGGAUCUCAAUACACCAGAGGGCCAUAAUAUUUAUUCUUUAAGAGGAACCACAACCAACAACAAUACUUUAAGUUCCAUUCCAUUUCACUUCUAUGCACUAGAUUGCAUAAACAACAUUGAUCAUCCAAGGUCAAAGCCUCUCAAAGACGUUAGUUGCAAGAAAAAGCAUGGGAUUGUGGUCAAAAUUUUCUUGCGGUGAAAGGCUCAUACAUUGAUGACAAUUACUAGAUUGUUUUGGGCCUCAAUGGUUUUAAUAUUAUUCUCUUAAAAACAUAUGUUGAUUAGAGACGAGAGGAAGAAGAUGAUCUGAUUCAGCCAACUGCAGAAGAUAGAGCACGCGGUGGAGUUCAGAUUUUGAAUUCUCUUGUUAAGUUGUUUUUAAUUUAUUGCAAGGUAGAAUACGUUGCUUUCUUAAAAAAAUACUUUGAACAUCAUAUUUUUGUAUUACAAAUAUACCAAAAUUAAACUAUUUUUUUCUUUAUUAGUAUAAACUAAAUUUUGCCAGAAUGGUUGUCCUUGUAGGUGGAAUUCUAUUAUGAAACUAAUAGUCCUUCCUAGUGCUAACUAUCACUUUGAACAAAUGUGGCAUCUCUAACAACAACUUCCAAACUUGCAACUACCUGCUUCUCAGCAUUAGAAGCGAUAUCCACCUUGGCUUUCAACUAGCUGUAAUUAGGAGGAGGGUACCAUUGUUUCUGUUUGUCAAUUUCCUUCCUUGAAGCAUAAGCCUUAAUUAGGAGGAGGGCAAGCUUCCAAAUAACAUUCCAAAUAGUAUUGUGAAAAUUUUUCACCCUUUUGGUCAUAAAAAAGAACCUUAUUUCUAGUUCUCUAUUAACAAUUUUAUCACUUUAAGAUCUCUCUUUACUAGAAAUAUCAUAUAUAUUAAUUUGUUGUUAAUAUAAAUACGACUAAAUAUUUAUAAUUUAAAGAUAACUGUUGAAUGGAGGUUGUCUCACACACACACACACACACAAAAGUAUUUAAAAGCAACGGUGAUAUCAUAAUUUUUUGUACUGAUAUGAGAAUAUCAGUAUUACAAUAUCAAAAGUAUUACAAUAGAUUUUUUUUCCGCAUCACAAAAAGUUUGAAUUCAAGAAUAAAUAAGCAAUAUCGGGAGCAAAUUUUACAAAAAGUCUCCGGGACAUGUCAUAUGAAUUUGUGAUACGAAAAAUAGUAUACUAGUCAAUAGAUCUUCUUUCCACAUUACAAAAAAUUAGAAAUGCGAUCUAAAUCGAUAUCAAUUACUAAUUUUAUAGUGAAUGGGUCCUUCAUGAAAACAAUGAAUAUUUUUAUAAUUUAAGAAAUUAUUAGCCAUUUACCCUAAGUUUACUUUGUGUCCAAAAAUACUACGGAAACUUUAACUUGUUUAGUUUUUUACCUUAAUUUAUAAUUUAUAUUAGUCGCUCAUUAAAAAAAAUAGAAUUACCUCAUAAAAUGAUAAAAUAAAAACAAACACAAAUGACAAUACUAGUUGCUUUAUAAGGAUAAUCCAGUCCUUUCGGCACCAAAUUACUGGUUAAAUUAUUUUAAAUAUUAUAAAUUAUUUUUAGAUUGAGUGACGAAGGAUCAUUUUAAUACUCAUGGCCAUUUAAUCUAUCUAAACAUGAUAUUUUGAGUAGACUUAUGUUUGCUUAGGAGGCUGAUGUAAAAAAAGUGGCACUUUUAUUCAACUGAAUAAAUUUCACAAUUUAAAUUAGAAAACGAUAAAAUUCCAUAAUUAACUAUUAUUUGAACUAAUUGAAUCGGGAGCCAUCAUUUGUAGCGGCCCCAAAAGCAUAACAUUAUUGUGAGUAAUGUAUCCUACUUGCAAAAUAAACGGCAGAAGGCGGUUUGGGGACGGAUUAUCGAGGUAUUUGUUAAUAUCCGGAAAUGGAAAGAAAAGGGCAAAUAAAAUUUUAACUUAUUAUUAUUAUUAAAGAUUAGACAAAUAAAGGAGCUGUUUGAGUGUAAAUCUCAAAUCAAACCGUACCCAUCGCAAGUAAUGCAUGUGCACAUAAAAUUCUAUUUUGGUAAUUCUUUUCUUCUUCUUUAACCCCAAAUAAUCAAAAGCUCUCCAAUGGCUUUCGUAUCCACAACUCGUUCACUUCAUUUUACUUCAAUUUCAAUAUCAGCUCUUAGAUUUAAUUUCUCAUCUUCGUUCCCUCAUACCGGAAAACCCAAAUCUUCAAUUUCGGAAAAUGAACCCUCGUAUCCGACCACAACAGCUAAACUGAAGGAGUCGCUACGACGGACGGUCAAAGACCGAGCCUCACUCGAAAAAUUCCUCAGAGAAAGGUUCAAAUCAUCCGGUGAAGGUGAUAUUACUACUAUUACUCCUAAUGAAGCCUUUUGUAUCUUUGAUUACUUGCUCAAUAUGCGCCCUUCUCCCCCUCCUCUCACUUCCUUCAAUAUUUUGUUUGGUUGUCUUGCUAAGACUAAACAUUAUGAUACUCUCCUUUCACUCUUCAAGAGACUCAAUUCAACUGGGUUGUUUCCAGAUCUUUAUACUUAUAAUAUCUUGAUUAACUGCUUUUGCAAAAUGGGUCGAGUUUCUCAUGGUUUUGUUGUUCUUGGGAGGAUCCUCAGGUCUUGUUUUACUCCAGAUGCUGUGACCUUUAAUUCUUUGAUUAAAGGUUUGUGUGCGGAGAGUAGCAUAAUGGAGGCUGCCGCAUUGUUUACGAAACUUAGAGUGUUUGGUUGUGAGCCUAAUGUCAUUACGUACAGUACUUUAAUUAAUGGAUUGUGUCGAACUGGCCAUACAAUUGUUGCUCUAAAUUUAUUUGAAGAGAUGGCUAAUGGAAAUGGGGAAUUUGGUGUUGUUUGUGAGCCAAACACUGUUACAUACACUACUAUUAUAGAUGGUCUUUGUAAGGAAGGUUUUGUGGACAAGGCCAAGGAACUGUUUCUGCAGAUGAAGGAUAACAAUAUUAACCCUAACGUGGUUACCUAUACCUCUGUGAUUCGUGGUUUUUGUUAUGCUAAUGAUUGGAAUGAGACCAAGUGUUUGCUAAUUGAGAUGAUGGACCAAGGGGUACAGCCUAAUGUUGUGACUUUCAAUGUCAUCAUGGAUGAGCUCUGCAAGAAUGGAAAGAUGGAUGAGGCAAGUCGGUUGUUGGACCUGAUGAUUCAGUUUGGUGUGCGUCCAAAUGCUUUUGUCUAUAACACAUUAAUGGACGGGUUUUGCUUGACAGGUAGAGUUAAUCGUGCGGAGGAACUAUUUGUUUCUAUGGAGAGUAUGGGUUGCAAACAUACUGUUUUUAGUUACAGUAUUUUGAUAAAUGGUUACUGCAAGAAUAAGGAAAUAGAGGGAGCGUUAACCCUUUAUAGCGAAAUGCUCUCUAAAGGAAUUAAGCCAGAUGUUGUUAUAUAUAACACCUUGUUUAUUGGCCUUUUUGAAAUACACCAGGUUGAGCGUGCUUUCAAGCUGUUUGAUGAGAUGCAAUGUGAUGGCGUGGCAGCUGAUACCUGGGCAUAUAGAACCUUUAUUGAUGGGCUCUGCAAGAAUGGUUAUAUUGUAGAGGCAGUUGAACUAUUUCGUACUUUGAGAAUUCUCAAGUGUGAACUUGAUAUUCGAGCCUACAACUGCCUCAUUGAUGGAUUAUGUAAAUCCGGCAGACUCGAAAUUGCAUGGGAACUAUUUCGUAGUUUGCCUCGUGUAGGCCUAAUGGCAGAUGUUGUAACAUAUAACAUCAUGAUCCAUGGGCUUUGUAAUGAUGGGCAAAUGGACAAGGCACGUGGUUUAUUUCUUGAUAUGGAAGCAAAGGGUUUGGAACCCAAUUUUGUCAUAUUUAAUACGCUUAUGCUGGGUUUCAUCCGCUGUAAUGAGACAUCAAAAGUUAUUGAACUCCUUCACAGAAUGGAUAAGAGAAAUGUAAUGCCAGACGCAUCUAUACUCUCAAUUGUUGUGGACUUGCUUGUUAAGAAUGAAAUUAGUUUAAACUCGAUUCCACAAUUCCAGAGACACAAGUCAAUGAGCUGAAUGCUGAUUUACUUGCAUGUUUUUUCUGCCUAAAAUCUGGAUCUGGAGAAUCCCAUUCUUAUUACAACACGUGAAGUAUUGUUGCGUAGUGAUGGCAUGUCCCAGGUUCUGUUCAUGGAUUCUGUUUGCAGAUAUGGAUGACUCAUCAGUUAAGUUUCAAAGUCUGGCAACUUUUUGUUGUAAAAUUGCUUUUUAUUAUUCAGGUCAUAUGUUUUCCUUCUAUAAUGCAUCUUUUUCAUUAGCUGGAAGUGCAAAGUUUUUAUGCUCUUUCUGUAUGACCACUUUUUCUUCUCUAAAUAGAUAAAAUGGCAUUUAGUUUUUCGUUUGUGAGGCUACUAGGUUUAUGCUCAAACUUUCUGUUAGUUAAAUUGAUUGUCUUUGAUAUCUAGCACUUCUAGUUGUACUAAUUUGUACUUCUGAGUAUAUGGGAUUGCCGACUGUAAUGGGAAUUGAUGCCAAAUUAAUUAUGCAUCAAGUUUUUCAGCGUGUUCAUCUUUUAUUUCUGUUAACAUUUUGGCUUUGGACAUGCUGGAUUGUUUUUGGUUUCAGUGAUACAAAACAUCUAACUAAUUGUCCAAAGUUCUUCAUUCCUUGUGACAUAGCAUUCAAUUGAAUGGUGACUCAUGAAUCAUGAUUGUGUGUUUUGGUAUUUGUAUACUAUGUAUUGGCAAGACAAAGUUUGUUGAAACUGAGAAACUUUUCUCCGCCUUCCAUUCUUGUUUCAUAUUCUUAUGCUAACAAAUCUUGAUCAUGAUGAGUCUCCUCUUUUCUUUACAACCCACAUAUAAAGUCUUGGCCAUAAGCCUCAAGGCCUAUUGGCUAUUACAGCAGUGAGUUCACUCUCAGGAAUCAGAUCUUUCAAAUUCGAGGAAAUUUGAAAAAAUUGCAAAUGUCUACAAAGCAAAUGGUCUAAAGGUCCUUUUUGUUAUCACUCACACAACAUUACUCGAGUAUCUACGUUUUACAGUUGGUUCUGUUGUGAAACAGCAUUUCUGAUUAUUAUAGAAGACAAUUCUUCGAAGCAUGUAUUUGAGAUGCGUGUAGAGCCUUUGGAAUUAAAUGAUUAAUUCGCUUUAAUUUCCAGCCAUAGUUCUAUGCAGGCUAGUUAAUCCCCUUUUUUGUUACCCCCCUCUUUUUCCUUUUUGCUAUGGAUUGUGUUUCCUUGUUUUUCUACUUUUACUUGCGUUGACAACUUGAGCUUGCUGUCUUGUGGUUUUAGAACCUUCCUAAGUAAGCGUGCAAAUGACAAUGAAGAAUUGAAGAUGGUGAAGGGUUUACUAGUCAUUUUCUUUUUUAAAGCAAUGCGUUUUAUGCGGCAAUCUUAUUGAUCUACGUUGGGAAAAAAUUUAACUGAUUUUGAAGGUCCUUAAAGAUCGUCCAUCUUGGUUCUGGCAUUGUUACAGCCUUGAAGUUUGCAAAACGUUUCCUGCUGGAUAAAUUGAACUUGUACACACACAUGUGAACCAAAAGAAAAAUGAUAUAUGUAUCGAAACACUUUUAAAUAGAGAAAAGUUUGUCUGGAUAGCCUGGUUUUGAAUCGAUUUUAACAGAAAACGAGCUUCAAGCAUGUGCUCCAACUACUCUGGCAUGACAUUGGCGAUUGCCCUACAUUUUUUUUAACUACUUUUGGUAAUCUUUUUUGGUUUAUGCUUUGCAGUAAUAAAAUGUUAAUCCUUUCUUCUCAUGAAUGUUUUCUUGAACUGAAAUGUUAAUCAUUUCUUCACGUUGAAGCAUAAAACUACCAUAGGCCCAGGGCCGCAAUAUAUGGAAGAAAAUGCUUGUUUAGUAGGACCCUUUAAUUAGGAUAUUAGCCACUCAAUUUGGAGAUCUUAUGGACCAACAAUCUAUCUGAAACGUCACAUUCACAUGUUUGAUUGAAAGGGGAAUUAAGGAAUUCAAGUGGCUCAGAAAGGCAACCGACUCUACCCAACAAUGGCAGAAAGAACAUGAAAGAAAGAAGAUCACAUGAAUCAAUCAAAACCAAAUGAUAAAAUUACUGAUGCCCCUCCAUGUCAUUCAAGAAAUGGAUAAAAUAGGAAUACAAGUUCAUGUUAGGAUUAUGUAUUAAAAAUAAAAAUAAGAAUGCAUCAUUAUAUAUAUGUGUAAGUAGACAAAGCAUUGAUCUCUGGGGAUUAGCUAGCCUUUAACAAUCAGUGGUGUUCCCAGUACCGGGGUGACAGAUUGUGUAUUUGUCUCUGAAUCUGGGGCAUAUCUAAAAAGCUAAAAGAUUUACUUUCUAUCUUCAAGAACAAGAGCAUACCAUUAUGAUCUGAUUUAAUCUAGUCCACUAACUUGGCUUUUUUUUUUUUUUAAUUUAUAUACCAUUUUGUGCUAUCCAUCUACAUUGACAAGACAUAUUGCACAGUUUAUCCUGAAAAUCAUCCAACACCAAGUUUCAAUAUCUUGGAGGAUAAUCACCUUCUUUUACCUAUAUACUUAGCUUUAAAGAAAAUUAUGUUAUUUCAUUAGAGUUAUUUUCAUGAUUAGCAUUACCAUUUCAAGUCAAAUGUAGCUCAAUAAUCUAUAAUAGUAUAUCGGUUCCUUGUUUAUCAAUUCUCUCUCUCCAUUUCAGGUUUCAUUCGGACCAAGUAUUCCCUUUCUCAUGUGUACGAGAUGUCAAGCUUGGCAAGUUAAAAAGAAAAUGAAUAGUCAUUUUCAAUCAGUCUAGAACUUUCUCUAGGGGCAACUGGACCCCCAACUUCUCAAUCUAUUUUGUGUUUGGUGUGUGUAGAACUUUCUUGGCAUGUUUUAUCAGCCCUUCCUCUGGGUCAUUUUGUAAGACGGGUUACACCAGCUAAACACAUGGGAAGGUCAUGUAGACUGGAUGAAUAAAGCUGCCCUGAGAGACCGUCAUGGCGGCAUGCUUUGCUGCUUGUUUUGUCUUGGGUUGGUCUAUUUUUUCCAUUACUAAAGCACAUUUUUCACCGUUUUCUCACAUGCUUACCAUAAUGUAAAAACCUUAGCUGCUGCGACAUGACAUGAGAGUAUCACACUAGAUGUUUGGGGGAAAAAUAAGAAAGAUAGCAGAACGCCACGUGUCGACGAAUGGAAGAACUUCAGUGCAAUCCGAGGUACCCGACAUGAUUAGAGGUACCCCGCACGAUUAGAGGUACCUGCCAUGAUUUGAGGUACCCGGCACGGUCAGAGGUACCCCACAUAACUCCAGAAUAACUCGAGGUAUCUCGCAUAGACUGGGCUACCCCGUAUAAUUCAAGGUACCCGGAAUAACUCCAGCAUAAUUCAAGGUACCCGACCUGAUUAGAGGUACCCGGCGUGAUUAGAGGUACCCGGCCUGAUUAGAGGUACCCCGCAUGAUUAGAGGUACUCGGCGUAAUUAGAGGUACCCGGCUUGAGUAGAGGUACCCCGCAUAAUUAGAGGUACCCUGCGUGAUUAGAGGUACCCCGCAUGAUUAGAGGUACCCGGUGUAAUUAGAGGUACCCGGCUUGAUUAGAGGUACCCCGCAUGAUUAGAGGUACCCUGCGUGAUUAGAGGUAUCCGACCUGAUUAGAGGUACCCCGCAUGAUUAGAAGUACCCGGCGUGAUUAGAGGUACCCCGCAUGAUUAGAGGUACCCGGCGUAAUUAGAGGUCCCCGGCUUGAUUAGAGGUACCCCGCCCAAUUAGAGGUACCCGGCGUAAUUAGAAGUAUCCUGCUUAAUUAGAGGUACCCCGCGUAAUUAAAGAUACCCCACACAAAUAGAGGUACCCCACACAAAUAGAGGUACCCCGCACAAUUAGAGGUACCCCACAUAAAUUGAGGUACCCCACGUAACUCGAGGUACCUGGCAGAUCAGAUGCAAGAGAAUCCUCCGAAAAUAUCCGCCAUGAGAAACGUCUCCACCUCUUAAAAGAUAUUAUUCGAUUUUGUCAGAAUUAGGAAUCAAGAACGUCGUACAAAAAGGGGGGGACAGCCGACCUGCUACCUCUGCCAAAAGUGAAGGACAUUGUCUCAAGGACAGUGGUCCUCAGCCGCCUACCCGACAGUUACAGCAGAGGUACCCUGGACCACUCUCUAGCGCGCGCCACGUUUCUAAAGGAUGAGAUACACCGCGAACAUGCACAUAACUGCCCAAAAAUCAUAAAAAUGUAAAAAGACGUUAGCCAAAAAGGGUACGCCACGUGGCAGCUGAGGUACUCCAUAUAUAAAGGUGCCUAGGUUUCAUUCUCCACCAUGUUCUCACUCACCAUGAACACUCACACUCUAAAAAAUAGGUUUUCUUCAACCUUAAACCAUAAUUUACAGAGGGCUAGCUAGCUCUCUUUGCCAUAAAAGCUUGAGUUUGCUAACUUGAGCGUCGGAGUGUGAACACCGGGGUACCCCGGCUUCACUUCUAACCUCUAUUUCACUGUUUUGCAGGCGUGAUUUGGAAGGACACCUCUCUUGUUUUUUACCUUCCACCAUUGUUACCACUCUCUCUCCCCUUCUCACCUCCCCCGAAUUUCAGAUACACCGCACCGCACACAACAAACUAGUGAGGUACCCCAUCUCCCCCAAAAACAUAAAUUCAUUGUUUAAGAUAGAUUUUGGAUUUUCCUACCCCAAAAUCAGUUGAAAACAAUUGGCGCCGUCUGUGGGGAGUCGCACAAAAAGCCUCCACCACGGUUACCAAACUAGUUGUUGUGUGUACUCUAAUACAUGGCACCCGACGUACCUCCCGAAGGUUUAAUGGGGGAUCCUAUAAGGAUGAGAGAUGACAGCAGCAGUGAAGGUAGUGAUCCUGCAAGAAGGGUAGCCCGCAUCAGCAAGGGUAAGGGUAUCAAGCAAUCGACGGGUGUUCGCCAAGAAGAAAAACCUAUUUCGCACAAGCGUUUUGAGGAUCUUGCCCACGCAAUACUUAGGGCGGUCGGAUCUCGGGCACCCGAAAGUUCACUAACACCAGUGACGCUAGAAGCUCCACCGCCUCAAACGGACGACCAAGCUAUGGUCAGAAGAGGGGUACCCGAGGCCAGCAAGCCAAAGCAUAGGCCAUCGGGUACCCGUUCUAAGUUUCAAACCGUGGGCUCCCGCGACGAGCGUUCCACCGCCUCUUGCAAUUCCCGCAGCAACCAGGGUAUGAGGCGUGCAAAGCGUACCCACGAGGAUCUCCGUGAGAAGUUAAACGCCAAAAAGGCUUCUCAAAUGGCGGCGACAUCAUCGGGUACCCCGAGGGUACCCCUCGAACUUGUGGAAAAAAUGGAGAACCUGGAAGCCCAAGUGAAGCUCCUCUCCGAGAAGCAAAACAUCACAGCUGCUCCAACGCCAAUGACCUACCAAUCGCCAUUUACUAUGGAGAUUCGGAAGGCAGCUCUCCCCGAGGCGUUCGCCAUGCCUCAGAUACCCCAAUACUCGGGUACCACUGAUCCCUCGGAGCAUACUGAGUUAUACCGCGACCAAAUGCUUAUCAAGGGUGUAGAUGAGAGCGCUAUGUGUAGGAUGUUUACACACACUCACGGGCCCCGCGAAGUCAUGGUUUCGCUCUUUGAAAGCGGGUAGCAUAUCUUUCUUACACCAAUUGCUAUCCAAAUUUACUAAAGAGUUUUCCUACGCCUCCACUCAAGAUAGGGUAGCCUCCAAACUUGCCUUUAUCAAGCAAGGGGAAGCCGAGACUUUGGCGUAGUAUGUGAGUCGUUUCCACCAAGAGGUGCUGCAAACCGGAGCAUUCGGAAACCAAUACACAUUGACCCAUUUUGAGAAAAAUUUACGGUUGGGCAAGUUAUGGCGUUCUUUUCAAAAGAAGCGCCCACUUUCAUAUGGGGAAGCCCGUUCCCGGGCGUUGCAGCAAGUGGAGAUGGAUGAGAAAUGUCAUUUGAAGCGCCAAGAAGAUAAAGUCGAGGUCACAAAGAAUAAGGAGAAGCCAAAGAGGACGGAAGCCCCAAUACCAAGGGUACCCCAAAUGCGGAGCCCUCCACAGGUUGCCUCGCGGGGAUGAGUGUUUAACACUCAGAGUAUCUCACGGGUACCCCAACCUCCAAGAUCGUCACCACAAGAGCAGCAAGAGCCACCACCGAGGCCUCGGUGGUAGGGUACCCCAUAACUAGUUACUCUAGAGUUAUGCGGGGUACCCCAUGGGGACCAGAUUAAGCCCGUUCUCGGGCGUUGCAGCAAGUGGAGAUGGAUGAGAAAUGUCAUUUGAAGCACCAAGAAGAUAAGGUCGAGGUCACAACGAAUAAGAAGAAGCCGAAGAGGACGAAAGCCCCAAUACCAAGGGUAUCCCAAAUGCGGAGCCCUCCACGGGUUGCCCCGCGGGGACGAGUGUUUAACACUUAGGGUAUCUCACGGGUACCCCAACCUCCAAGAUCGCCACCACCAGAGCAACAAGAGCCACUACCGAGGCCUCGGUGGUAGGGUACCCCAUAACUAGUUACUCUAGAGUUAUGCGGGGGUACCCUACGGGGAACAAAUUAAGCCCAAAUGUGAAUUGGAGGCACCUUUGGAUCCUCGAAUACCCAAAGAUGAAAAACGGGGUACCCCGGUUGAAGACUCGGUUUUAGUCUCGAUUUGGGCCACCAAUCCAACAAAGAAAAGUCAUACUACUAGUAAAAGUAUUGUUUAUUAUGAUGCAAGAGGGUAUCCAGAGAUCACCUUACUCCAGGGUACCCGAGGUACCUGACCUAUCUCCAAUUAUGAUAAUCUACUCAACAUCAGAGUUGCCUUUAUCAUUAUUUGUUCGCCAUAUUUGAUUCCAGCGAAUGGUGGAUCAUGAGGUUUUCGACUAUAUCGCAUAAGGGUAGGCGAGUAGCUACCUUUAUCUCAAUCUAUGUUGUCUAUUUGAUUCCAGCGAAUGGUGGAUCAUGAGGUUUUCGACCAUAUCGCAUAAGGGUAGGCGAGCAGCCACCUUCAUAUUUAUUUAUGUUGUUUAUUUUAUUCCAUGCGAAUGGUGGAUCAUGAGUUUUCGACCAUCUCGCAUAAGAGUAGACGAGUAGCUACCUUCAUCUCAAUCUAUAUUGUCUAUUUGAUUCCAGCGAAUGGUGGAUCAUGAGGUUUUCGACCAUCUCGCAUAAGGGUAGGCGAGCAGCUACCUUCAUCUCAAUCUAUGUUGUCUAUUUGAUUCCAGCGAAUGGUGGAUCAUGAGGUUUUCGACCAUAUCGCAUAAGGGUAGGUGAGCAGCCACCUUUAUCUUUAUUUAUGUUGUCUAUUUUAUUCCAUGCGAAUGGUGGAUCAUGAGUUUUCGACCAUCUCGCAUAAGGGUAGGCGAGCAGCUACCUUCAUCUCAAUUUAUAUUGUCUAUUUGAUUCCAUGCGAAUGGUGGAUCAUGAGGUUUUCGACCAUCUUGCAUAAGGGUAGGCGAGCAGCUACCUUCAUCUCAAUCUAUGUUGUCUAUUUGAUUCUAGCGAAUGGUGGAUCAUGAGGUUUUCGACCAUCUUGCAUAAGGGUAGGCGAGCAGCUACCUUCAUCUCAAUCUAUGUUGUCUAUUUGAUUCUAGCGAAGGGUGGAUCAUGAGGUUUUCGACCAUAUCGCAUAAGGGUAGGUGAGCAGCCACCUUUAUCUUUAUUUAUGUUGUCUAUUUUAUUCCAUGCGAAUGGUGGAUCAUGAGUUUUCGACCAUCUCGCAUAAGGGUAGGCGAGCAGCUACCUUCAUCUCAAUUUAUAUUGUCUAUUUGAUUCCAUGCGAAUGGUGGAUCAUGAGGUUUUCGACCAUCUUGCAUAAGGGUAGGCGAGCAGCUACCUUCAUCUCAAUCUAUGUUGUCUAUUUGAUUCUAGCGAAUGGUGGAUCAUGAGGUUUUCGACCAUCUUGCAUAAGGGUAGGCGAGCAGCUACCUUCAUCUCAAUCUAUGUUGUCUAUUUGAUUCUAGCGAAUGGUGGAUCAUGAGGUUUUCGACCAUCUUGCAUAAGGGUAGGCGAGCAGCUACCUUCAUCUCAAUCUAUGUUGUUUAUUUGGUUCUAGCGAAUGAUGGAUCAUGAGGUUUUCGACCAUAUCGCAUAAGGGUAGGCGAGCAGCCACCUUUAUCUCAUGGACCAACAAUUUAUCUAGAAUGUCACAUUCACAUAUUUGAUUGAAAAAGGAAUUAAGGAAUUUCAUGUGGCCCGGAAAGGCAACCAAUUAUACCCGGCAAUGGCAGAAGACAUUAUAGAUUAUCGAUUAUUGAGUUAAAUAUGAAUGGUGGGAUUUCAUGUGGCCUAAAAAGUUAAACAUGAAUGUUCUACAUAAGGUGAUCUGUAACUCGAAGUUCAACAAAAAGUUUUAAAACUAGAUAUUAUAAUGGUGGGAUUUUGUCUUUUAUCUCUUGUUUCUCUUCCCUUAAUCGUUUCUUGGCAUGUUUUAUCAGCUCUUCCUUUGGGUCAUUUUGUAGGACGGGCUACACCAGCUAAACACAUGGAAAGGUUAUGUAGACUGGACUCUGGAGGAAUAAACCUGCCUUGAGAGGCCGUCAUGGUGGCAUGCUUUGCUGCUUGUUUUGUCUUGGGUCAGUCUAUUUUUCAUAUUACUAAGGCAUAUUUCCACCGUUUUCUCACAUGCUUACCAGAAUGUAAAAACCUUAACUGCUGCAAAUGAUUAAACAUUUACACUUUAUAGUAAAAAAAAUUACAUAUUAAGAGAAAUAUUAUAUUUGCAUGUUGAUGUGAAUUAGCACUAGAAACAUGAGGCUUGCUAAUUAGAAUUGUUAUAUUGUCGAACUCAACUGUGGAGGUACUGGAGAAUCCAGUAUAUCUGGCCAAUGCAAGCAACCUUGUGUUGUAUCUUUCAAAGUUUAUGCGUUUUUCACCAUCCAGCUCUGCAAACAUAGUUACCAAUUUCAUGGGUUCCUCUUUGCUCUACUUGGUGGCUUUUUACUCUUUACUCUUUCAUUCGCAAGGAGCUGGAUGAUGGCUGGAAAUAAGGAAAUUCUUUUUUUUUGUUUCACCCCAAUUGUUCUUGUAUUUGUAUAUUGCCAUAUAUCAUAAAAUACAAAUUUAUGUAUGUCAAAAUGAAAUCGAUCUUAAAAAAAGAAAAAAAAAUAUCUCGCGUUACUGCCGCUUACACACCCCCAUGCCGCAGCUGCUAUUAAUUCCGUUUGGCGCACCAGCAUUACAUCUUCUAGCUGUUCUUUCUUCCUUGAGUUGAUUUGGUUCCUCGUUCUAGGCUUCAAGUUAAUGUCGUCUUCAGCCAUUCUAGAGUCGCUUACUUCUGAUCUGGCUGUUGCUGUCUCUAUCUCCUUCUUCAUUAAUUGCCAUCAGCCGCAUAAGGGAAUGAUGUAAGUUUAUGUUUACGAUUCCUAAUGGUGAUGAAUAAGACAUGGCGUAAGAGAUGUUGUUAACUGAAUUUAUUAUGUUUUCUAGGAUCAUAUGCAAUACAAAUAUAUUUCUUGUAUAAUUGUUGUUUGUAUAUUGUAUUUCAAUCGGGCAUGGCUAUCUUUGUCUUACUCUUGUACAUUUCUAUUACUUUAGAUAAUUAUUAAGGCGUAGAUGGCUUUCACGGAUAAAUAAUAAGCCAUUUUAGGAGCUUUUCGUGUAAAAAUAUAGAACCUAUAUUGUUGAAAUGUCGAGUAUAUUUAGUAGUUGAUAUUUGUUUAUAUUUUUACAUUAAUCUGGGAUGAGAUUUGAACUUUAUAACCGAAAUUGAAUCUAAACCAAAAUUAAGAUAAGAAUAUUCAAACUAAAUCGAUCCAAAAUGCAAACCUAAACCAAAUUGAGCUAAAUUAAAUUUGAUUUAGUUUGGUUUGGGUUUACUCUCUAAACCUGAUUGGAUUGACUUCUCCAACCCAAUUAAGUUUUAGCCCAAAUUGAAACCUAAACAACUUGAACCGAAACCCGAUUUUCCCACCCUUAUGAUACAAACCCAUCCAAAAACUAACGCAAGCCUAAUCAAUUUAAUCUCCAAGAUUAAAUAGAAGCGCUACCCAAUGCUCAAUGAAAACAUGAACCUUAGUAUGUGAGGACGCUACAAUCAGUUAUGGAUGAUUUGAUUAUAAGUUAAGAGUUUGAAUGACACGGAAAUUUGAUAAAUUCAAAGAGUUUGUUUAAGAAUAAAAAAGAAUUAACUCUCUCACCAAUUGCAUCAAAAUUUAUUUGUCUUUGUUUAUUAGAUGCGAGUACAUUAUAUAGGAUUGGUUACAAAAAUUUUUAGAAAUAAAUCCUAAACCGAAAUCAAAUCGGAAUCCUAAUCUAAUGCAAAUUAGAAAAGAAUUUUAAUUAAAUCAGAAUCCUAAUCAAAGCAGGUAGGAAAGAAUCUAAAUCGAGUCAAAAUUAUAAUCUAAGUAAAUAGGAAAGAAUCUAAAUAAAAUCAUAAUCCUAAUCGGUUUAAAUAAAUUACACCAAUUAAAAUAAAAACUCAACAAUUAAAAGAGAAAUAACUUAUUGUUUCUCCACCAGCCUCAUCCAGAAACGGGAAAGUAUUCAAAAAGAAAAGUAGUAUAUUUUUCAAAUGGAAAAGUAUCUGAAAAAGAAAAAUAAGAUAUUUUCCCACCGUAAUGUGCAAGCCAACUUCCUAUUUUAUGGAAGUGAUUAUUUGGAAACUUUAAGAGCCGUAAUCAUGCAUUUAUCACGUGCAAUUCCUCCAAUAGGCCUCCAUAAAUUUGAUUGAGCCUCAAUUACUUGAAUAAACCCAUUAAACGCUUCUUUAAAUUUGUUUGUUCGAGCUCUAGUGACAGGUCCGACGAUAACUUGAAUAGGAUCUAAAUAUAUCUCAUCCCACGUGCUUGUGAAAGUUUUGUCCUCAAUCUCAUCAUUUUACUUCCUUAAUCUCGACCCAAUCUUUAACAUUUUUUCAUGCUAGCUUGACUUUACUAUGACUGCCUUGAGAUUUUCAACUGGUUUUUAUCUCCCUUUCUUGAAAUCUCUUUAAGUGCCAAGUUAUCUACGUGGCUUUUUUAGUCGCGAACACAUAAUAGCACCUAACAAUUCUCUAGUGACCCUUUACAACUUUCGCCACACUAUUUACUCAUUCUUUGAGUGCCAUGUAAUGGUUAGACAUCAUGGACUUGCAAAUCCUCAUAAAGGGUCUUCCAAAAAUUAUUUGAUAUGGGCUGUCUUCCUCGACUAUUAUAAAAAAUCCGGCAUGAUGGUCUUAUUAAAUGGUCUGGAGCCGAUCGUUACUAGCAGCUCUAGGCAUUAAAUUUCCUCUUCUAUAUCCUUUCAAAGAACUGUUGGUGUGCUUGUUGGGUAAAAAUUCAAAUUCUAUAGGUGUCAAUGUGUAAGUGUACACAACAAGUAAUAGAAUGAUAAGUAUUCAAGAUCAUCUCCACAGGGGUUGAAGUUACGGAAAUUACUACAACAACCUUAACAAUUCUACUUGAAGUGAAAGUAGAUUGAUCAAUUAAACUAAUAAGCUACCUAAUAAAAUGCAAUAAGUAAAUAUGCAGAAAAGCAAACUCUCAGGUCAAACACAAAAAUAAAAUCAAUAGGAAUGAAGUAGUUGAGUGACUAAACUCUCUUAAUGAAAUUGAUUAUUUCUUGCAAAUUUCGAUUCAGUUGCUGCAGCAUCUGCUACAGCACUGGGCAGAAUCCUCAUGCAUCAUCAGCUGUCGCAUGUUGGAUGUCUUAUAUCUAUAUGUAACCUAACAAUGACCAAUUGUUAUGCCAACAUAAUAUAUAACAUUACACAUUUGGGUUCUAUUUACCCUAUAAGGUGAAUCCCUACAUCUAGUUCAUCACUAAUUUUAGAUUAAGUAUGACCCUUUUUGGAAUCAAGUUGAACUCAAUCUAGGAACUCAAUCUAAAACUAAAUAUUGUUCUGAUAUGUUCUACUAAGAUAUGUCAUUUUGUGGCUCUUUCCUAGCUUGUACUAUUAAAUGGGUGGUCAGCCAAAAUAAUGACUUUAAAUAAAUACUAUCACAACAAAAUGUUAUAGCAAACAUGCAGCCAGGGACGUAGCCAUGAUUUUGAUCAAGUUGGGGCACAUUUAAAAUAAAAAAUGACUUGAAUGCGCGAUUGCUCGUGUGGUAAGUGUGGGCCCCACAAACUCCAAAUGGGAGCUUGCCACAUGUAUAAUCGUGCUCCUUAUAGAGUGUCUCUGCAUGCAUCUAAUUAAAACGCUAUUAAAAUAUAAUACACUUCUAAAAAUUUAGAUGGCAAUAUAUAACAUUACAACUAUAAUAUUCAUUGAUAAUAAAUUUACUUAGUAUAAUUGUUCUCAGUGAAAACUCCUCAAUGAGAUUUUAUGAGUUGAAAAUAAUGCAUUAUCAAUAUAAGCAAAAAUAUAUUUUUCAAUAUACAAGACUAGAUUAUAACUUAAUUUGCUCUUAAAAUCUUUUAAUAAUAACAAAAAAUAUUUAUAUAUUGCAACACACAAAACAAAAUGAAUGCUAGAUAAAAUUCUAGAUUUUAGAACUAGACAAAAGAUUAAUCAGAAAAUUAAAAAUUAGAAUUGAUUAGACUUACAACUUAUGGUUCAAUAUCGAAAGACCAACUAUUUGAUUUUGCUUGAAUAGAAAACAAAACGAUUAAAGACUGGUCCAUUAACCAUUUUACUAACAUUUUGUUGUGAUUGUUUUUCAUUUUAAUAUUUGUUCUUGUGUCUUUAAUCGAGUUUCAUGAAAUGUUAAUAACUAAUUAAAUUAUUUAUAAUUAGAAAUUUAAACUAGGGACAAUAUGAAAUAUUUUAAAAUUACUAGAGCCAGUUUCAAAUUUUACAAUUCAGCUGGGGUAUUUUUCAUAAAUAACAAAUAAAAUAAAAUUUUUUAGUACAAUUAUAAAAAAAAAAUUGAAAAGCCAGCAGGGGCAUGUGCCCCAACUCGUCCCAUGCUGGCUCCGUCUCUACAUGCAGCAACAUAUAAAUUCAGUUAAGGAGCCAUUAAAGUUGUUUAUCACUCAACCACAAGGAAUAUUAGUUCAUGAUUUUCAAAACGAAACUAAACAACAAAGUUUCAGCCGGCAAAUACAUUCUCAUGUCAAAGAAUAAAAAUAAAUCAAAAUAAGAAUAAGAAAGACUGAAUUCCAAUUGAUUCCAGCAAACUUCUCCACUGAUGCAGUCUUGAUUCUUGCUCUUGAAAUCUAUUUUUCCUUGUUUCUUAUCUAUUUAUGAUCUUGGUUGACGGCCUCCUUUUUUCUUUUGUACAUGUGCCUCUGUUAUAGUCCAAAAUUAGGGUAAACGGAAGUUCAGAGCGCGUAUCUUCCCGAUUAGGAAAUUGCAGAUUGCAAUCCGUUAAGUAUCUUGCGCGAAAUCUUCUCCGUUAUUGUUCCCGGAUUGCUACAUCACGGUUUGCUACAGCAAUAGCUACAGUAUAUGCACUGUUCCAAAUUUACUCCAAUUCUUCUAUAGCUGUAUUCUUUUAUCCUUUUUGCAAACCCAUUGCUACAACAUCAUUCCCAUGAAAAUUUAGCUUCGGAUUACCUACAAUUAUGCAUAUGUUUUAAAGACACAAUUAUUAGAAAUCAAGCAAAUUUUAUUAAACUUAAACUAAAAUGAAUGUUAAUGUAAGCUAUCAUUAAAUGCACUAAAACACAUCAAUUACCCUCUAAGUAAUCUUGAUUUAAGUCUAAAAGUAUUAUGAUAAUCUUAUUUCAUAGAGUUAUCAAUGCUCUAACUUCAAGUUGCACAAAUCUAUAAGGAUUCUUAUGAAUUCUUUGCUCAUUAUAUUAGCUUUUAACACUAAAACAUCUUCAUGCAAGUAUAGUAUCCCUUCCACAUCGUAUUAUGUCCAAAUGAUUGGAACUUGCUUGGUUCUUGCUCAUUUUGUCAAUGAAGCAUUGAAGAGAAUAUCAUGACUUGUUAUUGCAUACCUUUUGUAGUACUUCUAGGCUUUGUUAGAGUUAUUUACUAGAGUUGGCCCUCUUACAAUAACUCUAGCUACUGGUUCUUCAAAACUCAUAUCACUAGUAUUCUUUUUUGUUGUAUGCACUGUUGAUCUGUCAUUGGAUAAGAACUGUCAAUAUACUUAUUCAAAUAAUAAUUUCUUACCAGAACUUCUACUUGUUUUUUUAAGUCGUGACACUGUGGUUUGGUGUCGCCAUGGGUGUUAUUCAUCAGCAUUAUCCUAUCUCUUAGGAAAUUUUGGCAAGUAAGGACUAAUGAAGGUAGGUUUUGGUUUUGGUUUAGUUGACCUUGUAUUUUGAGUUGGGUUAACUUGGUUCAUUAUAGUGAGGAUGGCUAUCAACUAGUUAUAUCAUUUCAAGUAGCUCUAUUUAGAGGGGGAUGGGGUUAAUUUCUUUUUACAUAGUAUGAGAGAUAAGAGUGGCCAAAAUCGAAUUUAGAUUGGAUUUGGAUCAAUUUGAUCAGAUAUUAAAUUUUUCGGAUUGACUAAAAAAACUCAUCUGAAUGUACUCGAACUUGAAUCUAAUAUGAAUAUAUUUGGAUCGGAAGAAUAAUUUGGCUUCAGUUAGAUUUGGAUCGGUUUGGUAAAUCUAAAAUUUAAUUUUAAUUUACAGGUCACUAUACUCAAUGGAUAAGACAUAAUUUGUAUAUCUUUGUAAUAAACAUUCAAUUUUGAUAUUCAACUACAUAGAUAGAAGAAAAAUAAGUCAUUUACAUUACAAUUAUGGUGCAUAUCACUGAAAAUUAUCAUGAUAAUUCAUAUUUUUCCAAACAAAAUGAAAAGAAACCAUAAUUUAAACAACAUAAUAAGCAAAUAGAAUUUCUAAAGAAAAGGAAAAAAAGUAGAUGUAAGCUAGAAAAAGAGAAAUCAUGUAUUAGAGAAGAAAAGAGCAUUUUUACACAAAAACAACUAACACCAUAACUAAUAAAAAAAUCUCAUAUUCAUUUUCCAAUUUUCUCAUAAGCUUACGCAACUCUUCCUCUUCUACUCUUCAAAAUCAUUUGCCAAUUUUCUCAUAAGGUGAUCUCUGGUCUUUUGAUGAGAAAAUUACUUGAGUAACUUACGACUGCUUAGGUUUGGGAUUUUGGGGAAAACAAGUUAGGUUUACACAUUACAAACUUCACUAGUCAAAUAGUCGAAUUACAUCCGAAUUAGAUUUGAUCCGAUUAUAAUCUCAUCGGAUUGGGUUGUUUCUAUUUAAUCAAAUUACAACAAUAGUCCAUAUUCAAUUUGAAUAUGUUUGGAUUGAAUCAAAUCCAAUCAAUCUAAAUCCAAUCCGAUGCUGACCCUUAUGGGAAUAAAUAGCCGUCCUUAUUAUGACUGCUCUACUCACUGAUGGUUUGUCAUGAUGCCUAACUAGUCCACUUAUUUUUUAGAUCUCCUUUCAUUUUGUUUUAACUCCUCAAGUUACUCGUCUCUAACUCUUGCUGCUUUUUCCUCUUUGAUUUCAAUAUCCACCUUCACCUAGUCAUCAGCAGCCGAAUAAGAGUUUAUUAUUGGGUUCCUUAAGUUAUACCACAAUUGCCCUAUCUUUACUCCCUCUUUUAAUCCCUUCAAGGCCUGAAGAUGAUUGAAAGCUCCAUGGUCAAGGAUUGCUUUGUGAUAUCUCUUGAAAAAUCUCUUAGAGUUUGAUUUUCUUCUUACUCAAGCCUCAUUGGCUCUAUCAUGUCAUCCUCUGGUGUUAUUGUUCCUAAAAAAUGUUCAGCAAAGUCUCCAUGCAAUUGAUCAGAAGUUCUGAUGCUUCCCUAUGGCAAUUUGCGAUACCAAUCAUGUGCAUGCUAUUCUAAUGUCAAUGGAAACACUCCACACCACUGUAGUGGUGUCAAACCAUGUUUUCUAGUCAUCUCAUUAAAUCGUUCUAUAUGCAUAAAGGGUAACUCUUUCUGGAAUAUUUGAGGUUUAAAACUAAUCCCUUGAUAUUGUUGAGCUCAUGAUUUUUGCUGAGAGCAAGAUUCAUUAUCCAUAAUUAUUCUCCAGCUCAGUGCUCUUUCAAUCCUAUACUUCUUCAAUAAUUCGUGCUAACCUAUGCACCUUAUCUUCUAAUUUCCCAACGCGACUUGGGUUCUACACCCUUAUCUACUUGCAGUCAGCGUUCUGUUUAUUCCAUAGAUUUUCACCGAAGUACGUUUUGGUUGCUCUCCAAAAAAAAAAAAAGAAAGAAAUCACCUAAUACUUUUGGGGCAAGGCAAGCUUCCAAAUAACAUUGCAAAUGAUUUGGUGAAAAAGCUUUCAUCUAUUCCGGUAACUUAGAAGCACUUUAAUUCGAUUCUCUCUUAAGAGUCCUAUCACUUUAGGAUGAUUUUUAAGUAAAAUCCUUGUAUAAAUUAUAUUUUUGUUAAUAUAACAAACACUAAAUAUUUAUGACCUGAAAGAUAGUUGUUGAAUGGAGAUCGUUUCACACAAAAAAGUAUUUAAAAAGGAUGUGGUAUUGUAAUAUUAAAUAAUUUUUUGUAGUGAUAUAAGAGUAUCACACUAGUUUUUUUUUUUUUUUUGCAUUACAAAAAAUUGAAAAUAAGAUCUAAGUAAUUUCAAGAAUAAAUUAGCAAUAUUAGGAACAAGUUUUACAAAAAGCUUCUGGGACAUGUCAUACAAAUUUGUUAUAUAAGAAAGUCUCUACUAGAUCUUCUUUCCACAUUACAAAAAUUAGAAAUGAGAUCUAAAUCGACCAAUUAUAAAUUUUAUAGUGAGUGGGUCCUAUAUGAAAACAAGGUUUUUUUUUUAUUAUAGUGUAGUCAAUUAUCAGCCAUCUACCCUAAGUUUAUUUUAUAUUAAAAAAUACUAGGAAGAUUUAAUUUGUUUAGUUUUUUACUUUAAUUUUAUAAUUUGUAUUAGUUGUCUACUAAAAAGAUAGAAUUAUCCUUACUAAAUGACAAAAUAGAAACAAAUACAAAUAAAAACUAUGGUCAUUUUGUAAGGGUAAUUCUAUCUUUUUAGCAUCAAAUUGCAUAUUAAACUAUUUUAAGUACUUAAAAUAAUAUAAGUUCUUUAUCAAAUAAAUAAAAUUUUAAACUAUGUAUUUACCAAAUAUUUUAAAAUCAUAGCUCCUCUACUACAUCUCCAAAUAAAUUCUUAAAAUCAUAAAUAACUAAAUUAAUGGGGUUUUAAAAGGACUCUCCGGACUUUGCAUGAUUUCUUUAUGUGUAGGUGCUGGGUGAUCAUGUUGGUUCCUAUAGGUACCAUCAGCUGCACUUUUUGUUAUUGGUGAAAAAAAACUUUUUGGGUACAAUUUGUGAAUUUGUAUAACGUGCGGUAUUAAACAUUUGAAACAUGCACAGACAGUAAUCUAAUCAAUAAUUAAAAAAAAAUUGUAUAAAAUACAUAUGUCGUAGGCAACUCGGAUCCUUUUCUUUAUAAUUCCAUAUCAUGUGAUUAUCAAAAAACUUCUUGAGAUUUUUAAAUUUUGUAAUUGCACUAUCCUUGAAUUAUCAAAAGACUCUUGAUAAUGUUCUUCUUCUUAAAGAUGCCCUUAAUCCGUAAAUGGUCCAAUAAUUAGUUCAUAAAAUGAAUUUAUUACUUUAGACAAGUCUCAAAUAUGCAUACCUCUUAUAACUCCGUAUUGCAUAAUUCCCUACUUAAAUACAUUUGUUUCCUUUCUCUAAAUUUUAGAAUGGCCUUGUCUACUAAAUUUCCUCUUUAAAUUUGACUGUGAACUGGGAAUUUCGCCAAAAUUUCCACCCCAUCUUACUCUCUGAAAUAUGUCAUCCACGUUACUAUAGCAAAUUUAACAUCUAGGAUACUGAAACAUUUUUUUUUUUAAUUUUCAAAUCUUUAGCUGUUGAAAAUAGGUCUUUAGCUGCUCACCAAGAGAAAAUUUUCAUCUAAAACUUUUUUUGAUAAGGCAAGCUUCCAAAUAACAUCCAAAUGGUUUGGUGAAGGUUUUUCACCUUUUUCGAUAAUCCAAAAGCACCUUAUUUAUAGUUCUCUCUUAACAGUUUUAUUACCUCAGGUUCUCUCUUUAUUAAGUAGAACGUCAUAUAUAUUAAUUUGUUGUUAAUAUAAAUAAAAACUAAGUAGUUGUUUGUUUUUUCAACUUAACGAAAAAUUUUCAUUCAUUAAAUUAUUAUCCCAAACUUUUUAGCUUUUUACUUAAUCUAAAAAGUAUGAAUAAUAUCAUUAAAAGAUAUUUUCCAAAAUAUCUCUAUCUAAUUAAUUAAUUUUCAUCGUUACCCGAAUAAAAUUUAAUAAUUAGUAUUAUUACUCAUCUCUAUAACUUAUGAUAAUAUAGUGGUAGACUAUUACUAUUUUUACCAUCUUAUUUUCUUCAAAUUAGAAUUAUUUAUCUUCAUAAUUUUUUAAUGACUAUUCUUAGUAUAAAAACAUCAUAAAUUAUAAUAAAAUUGAUUGACAUAUACUAAUUUAGAAUAUUAAAAGGUUGUGUUCAAUUGAAAAUGAUUUAUUUUAUGAUGAUAUAUUAUCUUUUAUAUGUUCUUUGAAAUGUUUAUUAUUUGAUUAACAUUUACAAUAUAUUAGGGCACAAAUGUAGAAAUACUAAUUUUUAGAUUUUUUUAAAGUUAAAAGAUAAACAACUUAAUAGUUAUUUUUAACGAUUCAAAUAAAAAAACAAACAUAGAAUUAAGAUUUAGACAUUCAACUCCACUCAAAAUUCAGACUAAUUCACACAUAUUUAGAUUUUAGACAAGAAACAUAUGCCACCUAAAUGUUUAUGAUUUAAAAUUAUUUAAUAAUCAUGGCACAUUUAACCUAUUUAAACAUGAAAUCUUGUGUAGACUUAUGUUUAAGCAGGAGGAUAACGUGAGAAAAUUGACACAUUAAUUUACAAUUUGUAGGCCAACUGAAUAAUUUUUGUUUGUUUUUUUGUUUUUGAUAAUAAAACAAGCCUCGCAAGAGCUUAGGUUUUUAGCCAACUGAAUAAAUUUCCCCACCCAAAUUAGAAACAAUAAAAUCUAAUAAUUAUGAGCCCAUCAGACAAACGGUGAGACAUCAUAUUGUUAAUACCUACUCGUAAAAUUAACGGGAUUAUCAAGGUAUUGUUAAUACCUUCUGUAUCGGUAAUUCUUUUUUUCACAACUGAAUAAAUUUCACAAUUUAAAUUAGAAAAGGAUAAAAUUUAAUAAUUAACUAUUUUUUGAACUAAUUCAAUCGGGAGCCAUUAUUUGUAGGCGGUAGCGGUCCCAAAAGCAUAACAUUAUUGUGAGUAAUGUAUCCUACUUACAAAGGGUUAUUUUCAGGGACCUCCCCUGAGGUUUAGUGUAUUUACAGUCGGAUAGGAAGUAUGCAUGUAAUUACAGGGACCUCCCCUGACGUUAGUAUUCAAAUACGUAUGGCAUCAGUAUGUAAGGGUAAAUGUGUAAAAAUAUACUUAAAAUUAAAAACAAAUCAAAAGUGAGAUGAUUUUGUUGAUUCGGCCCUUUCACAGCCCUUCAAAUGAGCCAACAUCAUCGGGACCCUCACCGCUCUCGACGCCGAAGUCCGCUGGUGGUCCUGCAAUAUCUUCUCAACCCAAGACCACGUGGCCGCCGCCAUCGCACGUAACUCCGCCUUCGUCUUCGCUUGGAAGGGCGAGACCCUCUAGGAGUACUGGUAGAGUACUGGUGGUGCACGGAGAAAGCUCUAGACUGGGGUCCUGACGGCAGCCCAGAUCUCAUCAUUGACGACGGUGGUACGCCACGUUGUUUAUCCACGAGAGAGUCAAAGCUGAGGAGAUGUAUGAGAAGACCCGGAAGCUACUCGACCUGGCCUCCACCGACAACGCCGAGUUUCAGAUUGGUUGUACCAGAUGCAAGAAAAUGGAACCCUCUUGUUCCCUGCCAUCAAUGUCAAUGACUCUGUCACCAAUAGCAAGGUAAUUUACUUUGAUUUGCUUCAGAUCUCAAAUUUAUUUUAUUUUAUUUUAUACCAUCAAUUCAUUAAAUGUUUGAAAUAUUGGAAGAAAUUAAAUACUAAUGUUUGAUAAUGCAAUGGGGGAAACAGUUUGAUGACUUGUAUGGAUGCCGCCACUCGCUCCCAGAUGGUUUGAUGAGAGCUACUGAUGUUAUGAUUGCCGGAAAGGUUGCUGUUGUUUGCUGUUAUGGUGAUGUUGGCAAUGGUUGUGCUGCUACUUUGAAGCAAGCCGGUGCUUGUGUAAUUGUAACUGAGAUUGAUCUGUACUAGGGUGUUAGGUUUAAAUUUGUAGGAGUGUGUUUGGGUGGUGGGAAAGUUGGAGGAAAGAAACAGAUUGGUUUCAAUUGAUUGAAGACCAUUUGGGAUUUGAAUAUAGUUAUGGAUGGGGCUGUGUGGAUCAUUUUGUAUUUGAUGCAGUUUUUAAGUUUUGCUUGCUUUUUCCUCAUGAGGGCUUCGGCAUCAUCUACGGAUCUUCUGGGUUUCAGAGACUGGAUUGGCAACUUUAUCUCCCGAAAACGCCUCGUGAAAAAUUUCAUGUUCUUGGCAAUCAACACUAUUAUCACUGUCAAUACCGCCUCAGCCAUUUACGAAGAAGAAAAUGGGAUGUUGAUCAAACCCGUCAUCAAGAAUAAGGCAGCAUUAUUCAAGGGUCCUCUGAUUACAUCCAUUUAUGCUCUUCUUUUGAAUUCACUUGCUUUGGUUGGAUUGUUUUACUCUGUCUAUCAACAUCUAUGUAAUACAGUUCAGCUUCUUCAAAAAAAAAAAAAGUUUUGCUUGCUUUGCUGCAUCUUGUUAUCCUAUUGUUUACUGAUGAAUGAUUAAAAAAUGUUUUUGUUUGGAGGUCAAGAAAAAGCGAGAGGAAGCGAGAGAAAAUUUCAAUGAAAACGGUGAACCAGUCUAAAAAAUAACUUAUUAUUUUGAGGGGAAGGGUACUUUUGUAAUUUUAACGGUCCACUAACAGUCAAACUAAUUGGAUACUAACGGCAGGGGAGGUGCUUGUAAUUGCAUGCAUACUUUCUAUCUGACUGUAAAUACACUAAACCUCAGGGGAGGUCCCUGAAAAUAACCCUACUUACAAAAUAAACGGCAGAAUGCGGUUUGGGGACGGAUUAUCGAGGUAUUUGUUAAUAUUCGGAAAUUUCCCAAAGAAAAGGUCAAAUAAAAUUUUAACUUAUUAUUAUUAUUAUUAUUUUUAAAGAUUGUAACUCAGAUGAAUAGACAAAUAAAGGAGCUAAAGGCCACUUGGCGGCUUCACUAGGAGCUGUUUGAGUUUCUAUUGGUAAAAUUCUAUUUUGGUAAUUCUCUUCUUCUUCUUUUUCAACCCCAAAUAAUCAAAAGCUCUCCAAUGGCUUUCGUAUCCACAACUCGUCCAUUUCAUUUUACUUCAAUUUCAGUAUCAGCUCUUAGAUGUAAUUUCUCAUCUUCGUUCCCUCAUACCAGAAAACCCACAUCUUCAAUUUCGGAAAAUGAACCCUCGUGUCCGACUACAACAGCUAAACUGAAGGAGUCGCUACGGCUGACAGUUAAAGACCGAGCCUCACUCGAAAAAUUCCUCAAAGAAAGGUGCAAAUCAUCAGGUCAAGGUGAUAUUAAUCUUAUUACUCCUAAUGAAGCCUUGUGUAUUUUUUAUUACAUGCUCCGUAUGCACCCUUCUCCGCCUCCUGUCUGUUCCUUCAAUAUUUUGUUUGGUUGUCUUGCUAAGAAUAAACAUUAUGAUACUGUACUUUCACUCUUCAAGAGACUCAAUUCAAUUGGGUUGUUUCCAGAUCUUUAUACUUAUAGUAUCUUGAUUAACUGCUUUUGCAAAAUGGGUCGAGUUUCUCCUGGUUUUGUUGUUCUUGGAAAAUCCUCAGGUCUUGUUUUACUCCAAAUGCUGUAACCUUUAAUUCUUUGAUUAAAGGUUUGUGUGCGGAGAGUAGAAUCAUGGAGGCUGCCGCAUUGUUUACGAAACUCAAAGCGUUUGGUUGUGAGCCUAAUGUCAUUACGUACAGUACUUUAAUUAAUGGAUUGUGUCGAACUGGCCAUACAAUUGCUGCUCUAAAUUUAUUUGAAGAGAUGGCUAAUGGAAAUGGGGAAUUUGGUGUCGUUUGUAAGCCAGACACUGUUACAUACAACACUAUCAUUGAUGGUCUUUGUAAGGAAGGUUUCGUGUACAAGGCCAAGGAACUGUUUCUGCAGAUGAAGGAUAACAAUAUUAACCCUAACGUGGUUACCUAUACCUCUGUGAUUCGUGGUUUUUGUUAUGCUAAUGAUUGGAAUGAGACCAAGUGUUUGCUAAUUGAGAUGAUGGACCAAGGGGUACAGCCUAAUGUUGUGACUUUCAAUGUCAUCAUGGAUGAGCUCUGCAAGAAUGGAAAGAUGGAUGAGGCAAGUCGGUUGUUGGACCUGAUGAUUCAGAUUGGUGUGCGUCCAAACACUUUUGUCUAUAACACAUUCAUGGAUGGGUUUUGCUUGACGGGUAGAGUUAAUCGUGCGAAGGAACUAUUUGUUUCUAUGGAGAGUAACGGGUGCAUGCAUGAUGUUGUUAGUUACAACACAUUAAUAAAUGGGUACUGCAAGACUAAGGAUGUAGAGGAAGCUUUAAAUCUUUAUAGGAAAAUGCUGUCUAAAGGAAUUAGGCCAACAGUUGUUACAUAUAGCACCUUGUUUCUUGGCCUUUUUGAAGUACACCAGGUUGAGCAUGCUUUAAAACUGUUUGAUGAGAUGCAGCAUAAUGAUGUGGCAGCCGAUACAUAUAUAUACAAUACCUUUAUUGACGGGCUCUGCAAGAAUGGUUUUGUUCUAGAGGCACUGGAAUUAUUCCGUGCUAUAAGAAAUAGCAAGUAUGAACUUGAUAUCAUAUCCUACAACUGCCUCAUUGAUGGAUUGUGUAAAAUAGGCAAACUGGAAACUGCUUGGGAACUGUUUCAAAGUGUGUCUCGUGUAGGCCUAUUGCCAAAUGUUGUAACAUAUAACAUCAUGAUCCAUGGGCUUUGUAAUGAUGGGCAAAUGGACAAGGCACAUGAUUUGUUUCUUGAUAUGGAAGCAAAAGGUGUGGAACCCGAUUGUGUCAUAUUUAAUACAAUUAUGCUGGGUUUCAUCCGCAAUAAUGAGACAUCAAAAGUUAUUGAACUCCUUCACAGAAUGGAUAAGAGAAAUGUAAUGCCAGACGCAUCUAUACUUUCAAUUGUUGUGGACUUGCUUGUAAAGAAUGAAAUUAGCUUAAACUCGAUUCCACAAUUCAAGAGUCAAUGAGUUUAAUGCUGAUUACUUGCAUGUUUUUUUCUGCCUAAAAUCUGGAUCUGGAGAAUCCUAUUCUUAUUACAACAUGUAAAGGAGUGUUGUCUAAUGUUGGCAUGUUCCUAGGUUCUGUCCAUGGAUUCUGUUUGCAGACAUGGCUAACUUCUUGUUCAACAGAUAAGUUUUAAAGUCUUUCAACUUUACGUUGUAAAAUAACUUUUUUAUUAUUCAAUUCAUGAGUUUUCUUCUAUAGCACAUCCUUCUCAUUAGCUGGAAGUGCAAAUUUUUUAGGCUUUUCCUGUAUGGCCUCUUUUUCUGCUCUAAAUAAAAUGGCAUUUUAUUUCCCUCCUGUGAGGGUACAACGUUUAUGUUUAAACUUUCUGUUAGUUAAAUUGGUUGUCUUUGAUAUAGGGAACUUCCAGUUGAACUGAUUUGUAAUUUGAGUAUAUGAGAUUACCAACUGUAAUGGGAAUUGAUGCCAAAUUAAUUAUGUCAUCAGGUUUUCCAAUCAGUGUUCAUCAUUUAUUUCUGUUAACAAUUAAUAGCACAGCUUGUCUUCGCAGCUUCAUUGGUUCCUCUCAAAAAAGUAAUGCCAGAUGCAUCUAUAGUUUCAAUCGUUGUGGACUUGUAAAGAAUGAAAUUAGUCUGAACUCACUUCAGUCAUUUCCUGUUCAAGAGCAGCAGGGGGAAGUUGAUGAGUCAAAUGUCAAGUUGUUGGAGCAUGUGCUUUCAGCCUAAAACCCUGAUCUGCAGCAUCUCAAUCAUGUUACAAAAGGACAUGUCGCCUGGUGACACCAUGUUCUCUACGGCACUGUUAAUGGAUCCUGAUUGUUCUUGUGAUCUGGAGAGUCUCAUUCAUAAUACAGAUCCUGAUCAGGACGAGCUAGCAUAUGUGAUCACCAACUCUACAUGGUUGUUGAUGCCAAAUUAAAUAUGGUAUCAUGUUUUUCAACUUGUUAUUUUCUAUAAUCCUUCCUUUGAAUGGCCACAAGAAACUGUAAAAUCACCCUUUGUCUUGUUCCCUCUUAAUGAUCGAUCACUUUGGGAGCUAAUGAAUUAGUUGCACCUUGUCACUUUAUUGGUGAUUGAUUGUCAUUUGUGCUUUGAAUUCACAGCAUAUUUUACCCUUGAUGUACUAUUUCCAUAAUCACCUUUGAGGGCUGCUAGUAUGUAUAAUUGAAAAACCUUAUAUAAAUUCUAAGCAUUUUUAUUUAACUUGUUGUAAACCUCCAGUGUGUGUCUCUUCUGUGAAAUGAUUCAUUCUCUGUGCUGCUAGGACCUAGGCUUAUGACUCUUCUGUGAAAUGAUUUACCCUCACCUGCACACAGACAUUUAUCCCAAUCAAGAAAUCUUCAAACAAUGUGAAAAAAAUUGCUUGAAACACGACGCAGACUUAACCGAUUAAAAUGUCCCUACUGUGAGGAAAGAUGCUAUACAACUGACUCGGAAAAUGUAAAAUCGAUAACGUACGUCCAAGAUGAUUAACUAGAAACACAGUUCAAAACUUGGGCUGUUUUUGGCUGCCCGGCCUUCAGAAGUCAAUAUUUAUAUGAACUUUUGAGGAGAAAUUAUACUAAAGGUUCAGAAGUCAAUAUUUAUAUGAACUUCAGAAGUCAAUAUUUUGGCUGCCCGGCCUUCAGAAGUCAAUAUUUAAAAAUUUGGGGAAAUUACCGAUUAAAAUGUCCGUACUGUAAGGAAGGAUGCUAUACAACUGACUCGGAAAAUGUAAAAUGGACAACGUACGCCCAAGAUGAUCAACCAGAAAGUAAGAGAUUAGGAUCACCAGUCAGUCAGAUUUGGAUAGAAAGUGAGAGAUUGCUAUUGCCGUGCCAUUGCUUCAAUCCUAAAUGCUUUCAUCUCCCUGAAAAGUAUACAAAUAUAAGGGUUAAAACAGAAUAGAUGAAACCAUAUUGAGGAACUCAACUGAGAUAGAUGAUAAAUGAAAACUAACCAACCUUCAGCGCAAAACUCGUACAUAUCCCUUUAAGAGCUGACUUUCUCAGAAGUGAUCACCACAAUCGUUCACAUCAAAAGUCUCCACUUGAAAAUUUUAUAACCAUAGUACUCAUUCCAUUCAAACCAGAUCCUUGAGAUCAGUUCCUUCUUCAGGCAAGUGGCAUGAUCUUCCUCUUUAGGAGACUCAGCAGCAACCAGCUAUAUGCAUAAACUUUCUUUGUUUGGCCUGGCCGGAAAGCCCUGCCGAUUGCCUGGCGGCUCACUGAUGGAUUAAAGAGAACAUCCAGAAUAAUAAUUCAAAUUUUUGUGGAAUUACUUGUAAAGAAUGAAAUUGGUUUAAACUCGAUUCCACAAUUCAAGAGACAAAACUAAGCAGACGGGUAGAAUCUUUGAUUUAGUAGCAUGUCUCUUCUGCUUUAAAAGCAGAUCUGGAGAAUCCCAUUCUUAUUACAACGUGUGAAGGAGUGUUGUGUAUUGUUGGCAUGUUCCCAGGUUCUGUUCAUGGAUUCUGUUUGCAGACAUGGCCGACUCUUUGUUUCAUCGGAUAAGUUUCAAAUAAUUCUGGCAACUUUUUGUUGUAAAAUUACUUUUUUAUCAUUUAAUCCAUAUGCCUCUUUCUCAUUACCUGCAAGUGCAAAAUUUUUAGGCUCGUCCUCUUAGACCUCUUUUUCUUCUCUAAAUAGAUAAAAUGGCAUUUCAUUUUUCUCUUGCGAGGGUGCAGGUUUAUGCUGAAACUUUCGGUUAGUUAAAUUGAUUGUCUUUGAAAUUGGAACUUGUACUUGAACUAGUUUGCAUUUUGAGUAUAUGAGAUUACCAACUGUAACGGGAAUUGGUGCCGAAUUGAUUUUGUUAUAAGGUUUUUCAGUCUCUGUUCAUCUUUUAUUUCUGUUAAUAAUUAAUAGCACAGCUUGUCUUCUCUGCUUCUUUGGUUCCUGUCAAUUGUCAAAUAUAAACUGGUAAAGACAUUUUGUUUUGGCAUGGCACAUGCUAGAUUUUGUUUUUGGUUUGAAUGAUACUACACAUCUAAGUGAUUGUCCAGAUAUUUUUUUCAUUCCUAAUGACAUGGCACUCAAUUGAAUGGUGACUCAUGAAUCAUGAUUGUGUGUGUUGGUAUUUGUUAUACUACGUGUUGGCAAGACAAAGUCUGUUGAAAUUGACAAACUUUUCUCUAUGAAUAUUGGAGACAAUAUGAUAAGAUAAAAUUAAUCAAAAACAUCUUAUACUUGACAGGGCUGGAACGUCUGUUAUUAGUCCUCGCCUUCCAUUCUUGUUUCAUAUUCUUCUGCUAACAAAUCUUGAUCAUGAUAGUCUUCUCUGUUAUUAAUCCUUUUUUUAUGUUUUUUUUUUGGCUUUUGGAUUUUGUUUCCUUUAUAUAUACAUAUAUAUAUAUUGUUACAGUUAUUAGCAUCGACAACUUGAGCUUGCGGUCUUGUGAGUUUAGAACCUACCAAAGUAAGCAUACACAUGACAAUGAAGAAUUGAAGAUUGUGAACGGUUUACUUGUGCGGCUAUGUUAGAAAAAUUUGACUGAUCGUGAAGAUAUUUAGAGAUCGUCCAUCUUGGUACUGCUAUUGUUGGAGCCUUGAAGUGUGAACUUAUCAAUCGUUGCCUACAGUUGCCUCAUUGAUGAAUUGUAGGCAAACUAAAAAUUGCUUGGGAAGUGUUUCAAAGUUUGACCCGGCCCCCGUACAGGCCCAAAUGCCAAAUGUUGUAACAUAUAACAUCAUGAUUCAUGGGCUUUGUGACAAUGGGGCAAAUGGAUAAGACACAUGAUUUAUUUCUUGAUAGACCAUUCUCAGGGCACAAAGGGUGUGGUGCCCAAUUGUGCCAUAGUUACAAUGCUUAUGCGAAAGAAUGAGACAUUAAAAGUUUCUUCACUCAAUGGAUAAAAGAAAUGUAAUGCCAGAUGCAUCUAUAGUUUCAAUUGGUGUGCGCUUACUGGUUAAGAAUGAAAUUAGUUUAAACUUGAUUCCAGAAUUCAAGAGACAGUUAAUUAGAUGAGUUGAAUGUUGAUUUAGUAGCCUGAAAGUUUUGCAAAUGUUUCCUGAUGGAUAAAUUGAACUUGAAUGCACACAUGUAAACUAAAAGAAAAAUGAUUUAAGCAUGUCCUUCGGCAUGAGGUAAUACUAUAAAGUUUUUUUUUUAAGUAAUUUUAUAAAUUCUAGCAAUUGAGUCUCAAUUUGAUAUUAUAUUCAUCUGGUAUAGGGUAGAAUAUUAAUUUUAUUAAUUAUAAAAUUUAUUAUCUAAUAGAUGAACAAUACUUAACAGUUGAGAAUGAAAUGGAGACUCAAUUGUUGGGAGUCCAAUCACUUUUUUCUCUUUUAACUUGCUAUUUUUGUUGUCCGAAAUUAUCUAAAGUUCCAUGCUUGCUCCAAUAGAACAAAUAAUAUAGGUUAUGAUCAACUUUUUUUUUCCAAAUAAAGGAACCACCUACAUCGAUACUCCAUAAGCAAGUUUUUUUCUUUUGGCUGCCCCUUAUAUUUGUCACACUCCUUUUACUAGUGCCCAAUGAAACCACAACAGAAGCAAAAAUAUGGCAAUCUCUCAUAUACUACUGUAAUUGGAACAUUAUCUUCACCUUCAAGUUCUAAAUAAAUAAUUUUCUUUAGUGGUUGUGUGAUAUCAAUUGAGAUACUUACUCCGGCAUACUAACCAAUGCACUCUCCUUCCUCGCCCGCAUCAACUUCUUCAACUAUACCAAUUGCCUCUCCCAAUGCUCUGAUUAUUUGCUGGUCUAUACACCCAACUGGGACAUUAUGAAGUUGUACCCAAAGGCAGCAUGAGUAAAUGAUUGUUUUGUUAUUUCCCCAACUCCACUUGCCUCUUUUAGAACUAUUAGAGCUCGUUCAAAAUGCCACAGCCCACUUGAUAAAAUUCUCAUCUUAUCAACUUCAAAGGCAAAUUUAACUUAAAAAUCUUACUCCCCAUAUUUUCAAUUUCACCUAUUCUACUAUUCUGCAUACUUGUUGUAAUGCUCACUUGAGACCCUCUCUAGUAACUCCUCUUAGAUGUAAGACUUUGCCCAGCAGACAGCCCUCAACUACCUCUCUCUCAUUCCCUUUCAUGACAUUACCAACAACUUCUUUACUCUAUUUUCCUUCUUCUAAUAUAAUAACUUUACACUUGCAAAUUAGUUCUUAUGUUUUCAUUAGGCACUAAAAUAUAAAUCCAUUGUGAUAACUCUUGAGUAUCUACCACUUCCUCUGUAAUUAAGACUCAACAACUCAAAUGAAAAACUUAAAAGUAAAAGAGACACCCAACUCGUAAGCGACUUUCGCAAUCUUAUGGGCUACUGCCAUUUCAUUCUAGAUUCUCGCUCAGAGAGGGAGAACUUGUGAAGAAAGACUUCUACAGGUAGGAGACCGCAUACAUAGUAGAUUAUUUAUAUUUCUUUGGACUGACCUUUUACUUUAUCAAAGACAAAAACAACAUAAACAAAGACAGAAGAUUAACCAAAGCAUCAAUUGCCAAAGAGUAGAGAGUAUUAUUAUAUUUUAGGAACAUAGGUUAUGACCAAUUUAAAAGAAGCAGUUAGGGCUUGUUCGGCACUGUUUUAAAAGCCUUAUUUUCAUUUUUGUUUUGGGAGUACAAAUAUAAUACAUAUUUAGUGGGUUGAAUCCAAAAAAUAAAUCAUAAAAAAGAAUUGAUAUUCACUUUUACAGUUAUAAAAUUAAGAACUUAUUGAACAUGUUCUCAAAUAAAUUAAAAAUUAAAUUAAAACAUAAACCCCAAAAUAAAAUCUAAAAAGUUAUCUUCCUCUCCUAAAAUCUUAUCUCCUCUCUCUCGUUAUCUCUUCACAACUCUUCCUUCUUCAUGGUUGAUACUUCUCCUUUAACCACAACCCACCUAAACUGUGCACCGAUCUCUCUCUUCCCGUCCCCUUUAUCUAGGUCUACUUCACAACUCUCUUCCUCUCGGUGGCAGUUACUUGUUCAUCAACCGCAAUCCAUCGUCGCAAGGUACUACGUCGGAAUAUUUUACCAAAAACAUGUCAGGACAGAGUGAUGUCUAUCAUGGUUUAUUACUGCAAGUGCAUUAUUUUCUUUGUACUAAAGUGAAUCUUUGAUGUAUUUAUUAAAUUUGGUGGAGCAAUCUUAGUUAAUUUUGAUGAUUUAUAUAUGCAUUUAAUUUAAUUUUUAAUAAUUCAUGUGCAGGAAAUAUGGAUUCUUGCCUUUGCUUGGACUGAUGGUUUGCGCAAUUUCAUUUGGAAUCAAUCAACUUCGAGGAUAAACACUUGUAGUUCAUCCUUUGUUCUCUAAUUUUGUUCAUGGGACUUGCUUUUCUUCCAUCCAACUUUUUUGUUCUCUAUUUCUAUGGUAGCAGUUUUAUGUUUUGUGUUGGUGGGAAACUUCAUGCUGCAAUUUUGUCAAAUUCCGUUGACAUACCCUAAUCAGUAAUGACUUUGCUACAUGGUGAAAGCAUAAGCUCAUAGUUGACAUUGUUGUCAUUAGAGCUUGUUUCCAUAAAAUAAGUGUAAUUUGAAAGUACAUUGUACACUAUUGAAUUUGAAUUAUCCCCAACAAGUGUUGAUGCAUGAUGUCCAUCAUGUAAUUUUUUUAUAAUUAUUUUGUUUAACUUAUAUGUGUUGUAAUAAAUAGCUUAAUUAUAGUGUAAAAACGAUGGCAAUGUAAUUUUUUUAUUAAUGCUAAUACUAAAACUUUAUCAUCAUGCAAUGUUUUAUAAUUAUUUUCAUUAAAUUAUUUAUGGUAUAUUUGUGUAUUAAUUAAAUAAACAAUUAGUUUUUAUUAAAAAAAACUAUGACUUACAUGUUUAUUAAAAAUUGUUCAUGAAAAUAGUAUUACCGAACACAUUUUCUCUGUUUUUAUCUUUUUCAAUUGUGUUUACCAAACACAUGUUACUGUUUUCAAUUUUAAAAUACAAGAUAUAGAAAAUGAUAUCAAAUGGCUAUUUAAUUCAAAACGCGGCAACUGCAAAACACUAUCUUUAUUCUCAUUCUUCUUUUUAGAAACUACUAAUUCAGAAACAAUACCAAACAAGAACUUAGUUUUAGUACGAAUAAUGUUGUGUUAGUUUUACAGGCUUACAUGCACCCUUAGAUUUAUUAGAAGUAUCAGCCCAACCCCCUAGUUACUGUUGAUUGAUAUCGAACCCCUUGACUGAUGUUGACUCUUGAAAGUAACUAUAACAUCUAUAUUGUAAUCUCACUUUAUUAACUAAUAAAUUUUAAAAAUAUAAACAGAUCAAUAAUAACAAAAUAAUUAAAGUUGAAAUCUAAGAAAUUACCUAAAAAACCAUACCGAAACCAAACCUGAAAACCAAAAUGCAUAAAAUUUCAUUAAUUUAGGUUGUGACAAUGAGUCGUCUACAUUAUAUGAUGAAGGAAUAGCUUCUAUCAUUUUACCAAGUUAUUAAUACUAUUUUUACGUACUGGAGUGGGCCUGAGAAGUAUAGAUUCCUCACACUCUAGAGUUUAUUUAUAUAUUCUAAGAGGUGUGAGAAUCUCACUCCGUUGAUCCCACCCAAUUUUGAAGUAGGGAGUGUGAUUUCCACUCCCAGAAGGGAAGGUCCACUCCCACAACUUUAUUUUUUACCUUUCUUUUAGUAAAUUUAAUACAAUCAUAUUUAGUAAAAUAAAACAAAUAACAUCAUAUUUAUUUAAUAAAUAUUAUUAUAUUAUUUUAUAAAAUUCUAUUUAUUAAAAAGAAUAAUAUUAAUCUUAUUUAGAUAAAAUUAUUAUUAUAUUUAUUUAAAAAUAAUAGCAUUAUAUUUAUUUAAUAUUAAUAAUUAAUAUUAAUAAAUAGUUUAUUCUAAGAAAAUAUUUAUUUUGCACUAUAUUAUUAAUAAGAGAUAUUAUCAUUUUUCCACCAAAAUUAUUCUGACACAUCAUGUUAGUAGCACGGUUUGGUAAAAACAUCAUUUUACCACCAAAUGUUUAAAUUGUUAGUAUUUUUCCACAAUUCUGUUAAAACUCAGUUAAUAUUUAACGGAAAAUGCAUAAAAAGUCAAAUUUACCCCUGGAGCAUAAAAGACAAUUUUACCCUUUAAAAAGGAAGAACAACAAAAGAUGAUUUAAUUAUAAAAUUACCCCCAAAAGACGACAAGACAAUUUUACCCUUUAAAAAGGGAGAACAACAAAAGACGAUUUAAUUACAAAAUUACCCCUAAAAGACGACACAGCUGGGAGAUUGAGAGAGAUAUGGGUCAGUGACAGUAAGCGAGAGAGGGCAGAGAUGGAACAAAAAACGAGAGAGAGGGUGGUUGAUUUCGAUUUCUAGGGCUUCCAUAUCCAAAUUGCUUGUUUUUUUACAAUUGCAAAACGCAACGUUUUGCCUUCGCAUGAGAUGUCCAAAAUGCCCUUAUGAUGUCAACAUUAUUUUUAUUUAGUUAACGGAAUGGUGGGAAAAUGCUAACAGUAUAAAUGUUUGGUGGUAAAAUAAUGUUUUUAUGAAAUCGUGGUACUGACAUGAUGUGUCGGAAUAACUUUAGUGGGAAAAUGAUAAUAUCCCUAUUAAUAAUAAUGUUUUAUUUGUGUUGCUCUUAUCAAUAAUUUUUAAUUUAAAUAAUUAAAAUUAAAACUAAUAAAAAAUUAUAAUUUACAUAAUUAAUAAUAUUAAUAAUUAUUGUUAAUUUACAAAUACAGUGAAAUAAAUAUUUUAUUUCAAAUAUAUUUUUUAUUAAUUUUGUAAUUAAAAGGUACAAUUCUUUAAAUAAGGGUAAAACUAUAAUUUGAAACCAUUUACUCCGCUUCUCAUUCUAGUAAGAGGAAACAACUUGCUCCCACUCCACACUCUCAAUCACAAGAUUCUCACUUCUCAAGAUUUCCACUAUAAUUUAAAAUGUAAACACCGUUUAGAAUGUCAAAUAAAAUUCUCAAUUAAGUAAACCAUAAGGUGAUUGCAUAUAAAAAAAUUAAUAAUAUUAAUUUUCAUAAGAAUUUAUGCUCGUAGUAUUACUUUACUUUUUAUUAACCGUUGCUUCAACUUAUGGUAGAUUGUAACAUAUGCACUUUAAUUUUCUUAAUUAAGUGUAUUAUUUAAUUUUUCCCAUUCGAUGUUAAUUUUAAAUUUUUCAUGACAUAAAAUUGAGAAAAUUCGAAUACGAUUCAAUGGCCGUGUAGUUGGAUUUUAUUCAACACAGGUCCGACAUUAACUUAGAUAGUAGUAAUCUUUAAAAAAAAAGCUAGUUUCUAUAAAUGGAAUUGGGGGAGCUGAUUUCCAAAAGAGGAAAGAAAGAGGGGCACACGAGAGAGAAGGGGGGAGAGAGAGAGAGAAGUUGACCCGUUUAGCCCGACCCGACUCCAACUCCCGUUUCUGGCCACCAUUCCGAUCAAGCUUGGUACCAAUCUGAAGCUUGAGCGACGCUGGCCAUAUCCCUGUUGUCAUCGUCACCGGAAAACAGCCACAAUGCCGGUGAACACCGGUGAUCGCUGUCAAUCUCGUUGGAAUUAGGUUGCACCAUCAGCUGGGUUCGACUCCUCACGUCACCAGCUUUCAUUUCCGACUAACCCCGCCACCUGAAACCUCUGUUUUGGCCAUGAACGACCGCCGGAAAGCUCACGGCUUUGGGAGCACGAUCUGCCACCAUCGCAGCGUGUGGGAGGUCAUCGUCGACGCCAUUAGGCUCACCGAGGUCAGAACUAUCAGACUUGAGCUUUCCGUCGUCAUUGACUGAAGUCCGGUCACCGUUGAGCAGUGGGGGCAAUUUGGUAAUUUCACAAGACUUUAAGGUGGAUUUGUAAUUUGGUAAUUUUAGGUUAGGGCAGUGAGGUAAUUUAAGACUUUGAGGGUAAUUUGGUAAUUUAAGUUAUUAAGAGCAUUUUGGUAAUUUCGCACUUCGAGGGUAAUUUCUUAAAUUCAAAACUUGUGAUUAAUUUUGUUAUCCAAAUUGAGGACAAUUUGGUAGUUUAAGAUAUUGAAGAUGAUUUGAUAAAUUAUGAUUCCGAUGGUACUUCGGUAAAUUUCGGUGUCAGGGGCCUUUUGGUAAUUUUUUGACAUAAGGGUAAUUUUGAAAUUUUAUGUAUCCAGGAGUUUGGUUUUGAGCUUUAUUUCAUACUGUUAGUCAUAUUUCAUGAUACAGAUAAUAAUUAUAUCGUUUAUUUAAUUAGGAGGACUCGCGAGCAAAAAUCAACCUGCAGAUGUUGGUGAUACCGAGUCUAGACAUUGUCACUGUGAGUGGAAUAUACAAAACAUAUUUUCAUAGUAUAUUUUGAUUUUACCAUAUAGUACAACAUGUUUUGAUAAUAAGUAUUUGAUGCUUUGAUUUAAUGAUUUUCUAGAAAUUUGAUUUUCAUUCUACAUGCUGAUAUUUAUUAUUAUUGAAAAUUAGUUUGAUUAAUGAUUUUAUUGUCAUUUUUUUUAGUAAAUGCAUGAUAUUAGAAUUGAGUGGGUUUGAGAUAUGUUGAAUAAAAAGGAAAUGGGAUUUUAUAUGUGAUUAUAUGUUUACGUGCAUGUGUAUAAAAGAUUGUUUGGAAAAUCAUUGGAAGUACCUUUCCCCUUUCAGAUACAGAGAUACAAAUAAUAUGAGAUGAAUAUAGUGAUACAGAUGAUAUGAGAUGAGAGGUUUUUAGGGUUCGUCUGAACACGCACAAAGACUUUGGGCCGUGUGUUUGGAUGAUUUUGCCUUUUAGGGGCUUAUGCAUACAAUAUGAUGAUUACAUAGAUACAGAUGUUGAGAUACAUGAGAUAUAAGAUGACAUUUUCCUAUAUAUCCGUUGUAGCUCCAAGGCAUGAUGGUUCCCUGAUUGCCCGUUCGUCGAGGUCCGAAUAUGAUGAGAUUAUUCCGUCUGGGUACUUGUUUGAUGAUAGUUUUUUGUAUCUAGUAUUUGAUAUUAUAAGUAUUAUGAUUUCAUUGAUUUUAUGCAGAUUUAUGUAAUAUUAUUAUUUCAGUGCAUGAAUUGAAUUAAAUAAGUUUAUGUAAGUUCUUAUAAAAUUUUGAUGAAAUUAACUUGGAAAAGAUUAAAUCAUUUUAAAUAAAUUUAUUUUUCCAAAAACUACUAUCCACUCACUAAGCUCGCUGAGUUUUAUACUCACCUCAUUUUUAUUGUAUUUUUCCUCCCACAGGAGAUUUGCAGGUACAUCAGUCGACCCGGCAACGAUAGUUAGAUUGAAAUUAUGGCCACGUGAUGGUGUUAGAAAUCAUAGAUGUUUUGUUGGGACAUGUUGAAUUGUAUAAUUUAUUACUUAUUUGUGAUUAAGGAUAAAUCAUUAUAUUCUUGACAUUAUAUGAUUGAAGGAUACUGAUAUUUAAAUUGAGGAAGUUGGUUGUGGAUGUUGAUUAAAUAUUGUAUUAUUUUUGGGAGUAUUAAUUGUAUAAAUUGUAGGUUUGGGGAUGUCAUAAUUAUAUAGGAGACUGUCGAAUUUUUGGUAAAAUUCUUAGAUAUCAAAAUUCUUAUUAGUUCGAUUAGGCAAGAUUAGAUAGAUUCAUCCUGGGGAUUCGGGGCGGGUCCUUUCAUAGAUAUUAAGAGAACAAUAAUAAUAUAGCUAUAAAUGGUUGCAUACUAUCAAUCAACUUAACACUAUAAUUACCAACAAAUCCUUAAUACUGUAAAUAAUUAAAUUAUUGGGGUUUUAAAAUGACUCUCCAGACUUUGCAUGAUUUCUUUAUAUGUAAGUGCCAUGGUUCGUAUAAGUAAUAUCAGCCACGCUUUGUGUUAUUGUUAAAACAAAUUUAUAAGUACAAUUUGUGAAUUUGUACAAAAUGUGGUAUUAUAAAUUUGAAGCAUGAACCGAGAAGACAAUGUUGUGUCAAUAAUAAAGAAACAAAAAAAAAUUAUAUAAAAUACAGAUGUUGUAGUGUAACUUGUAUUCUUUUUAUUUAUAAUUUUACCUAUCAUGUGAUUAUAAAAAAAAAAUUGAGAUUUUAAAAUUUUGUAAUUGCACUAUUUUUGGAUUAUCAGAAGGCUUCCUCUCCUUAAAGAUGCCCUUAAUCCAUAAAUGGUCCAAAAAAUAAUUCAUGAAAUGAAUUUAUUAUUUUAGAUAAGUUUCAAGUACGCAUACCUUUACUAGCUCCAUAUUGCAUAACUCCUCGUUUCAAUCAAUGGAUACAUUUGUUUACUUUUUCUUUCUUGUAAAUUUUUGAAUGGCCAUAAUUCUAUAGAUAAUUAAUUAAGUGUUAUUGUUAUCAUUAUUUUGUAGAUUUUGUAGAUUUACUAGCUCCAUAAUUCUAUAGAUAAGUUUCAAGUACGCAUACCUUUACUAGCUCCAUAUUGCAUAACUCCUCGUUUCAAUCAAUGGAUACAUUUGUUUACUUUUUCUUUCUUGUAAAUUUUUGAAUGGCCAUAAUUCUAUAGAUAAUUAAUUAAGUGUUAUUGUUAUCAUUAUUUUGUAGAUUUAUAUGUGAGGUGGGGACGUUGGGGGGCAUGGAUCUCAAUAUAGCAGAGGGCCAUAAUAUUUAUUCUUUAAGAGGAACCACAACCAACAUCAAUGCUUUAAGUUCCAUUCCAUGUUCCUUCUAUGCACCAAAUUGCAUAAACAACAUUGAUUAUCCAAGGUCAAAGUCUCUUAAAGACUCUAGUUACAAUACAAAGCAUGGGUUAGCGGCCAAAAUUUUCUUGCAAUGAAAGGCUCGUAAACUGAUGACAGCUGCUGGAUUGUUUUGGGCCCCAAUAGUUUUAAUAUUAUUCUCUUAAAAACAUAUAUGUUGAUUAGAGACGAGAGGACAAAGAUAAUCUGAUUCAGCCAGCUGCAGAAGAAAGAGCACGCAGUGGAGUUCAGAUUUUGAAUUCUCUUGUUAAAUUGUUUUUAAUUUACUACAAGAUAGAAUACGUUGCAGUGUUAAAAAAUACUUUGAACAUCCUAUUUUUGUAUUACAAAUAUACCAAGAUUUAAAUUAUUAUUUUUCUUUAUUAGUAUAAACUAAAUUUUGCCUGAAUUCUCAUCCUUGUAAGUGGAAUUUUAUUGUGAAACUAAUAGUCCUUCCUAGUUGAACUAACUAUACGCAUUGGCUUUCAACCAGCCAUAAUUAGGAGGAGGGCAAACUUCCAAAUAACAUUCCAAAUGGUAUUGCGAAAAUUUUUUUACCCUUUUGGUAAUAAAAAAGAACCUUAUUUCUAGCUCUCUAUUAACAAUCUUACCACAAAGUUCUCUCUUAAGUAGAAACAUUAUAUAUAUUAAUUUAUUGUUAAUAAAAACAAAACCAGUAGCGGAUCUACAGCUGGGCUAGGUCUAGAAAAAAUCAUUUAAACCCCUUGUCUUUUGAUUCAUUUUACAUAAGGAUAGACUUUUAUUUUAUUUUUAUAUAAGUCUCCAAUUCAGUUACAAUUAUGUUUUUGUCAAAUUUCAUAGAAUAAUAGAGUUUUUACUUUAUUUUCAAAUAUGUCCUUAACUCAAUUAUAUUUUUUCCCAACUGGAAUUAAUGACUUAUUUUAUAAAAUAAUUAAAUUAUAUAUUUAUUGAAUAGAUUGAAAACAUUAGGGGUUUAAAAUGUUAUUACAACUUUAAUUUGUUUUUAAAAUUUUAAUUUAACAAAGUAUGUGAAUGUAAUAUAACAUCGUCACUAUUAUUAAAAAUACUAAACACAUAUAUAAUAAAAAUUAUUAAUAAUUUCAUAAAUUUUUUAUGUAAAUGUUGACAUUUUAUUUAUUAUUUACAUUAACUUAGAGGAUAGGUUAGAAAGUAAAAUUUGAGUAUUUUAAUUUGAUUUUUUAAAGAGGGUUAGAGUGUCUGGCAAAGAAAUAACGGCACACAAGUACCUUUUUGCUAGGUUAGAAUUUAGUUUAUUAUUGAAACUCUUGACGACUAAUAUUUUUUUAAUUUAAAAAGAUGAAUAGAUUUUAAUUGUUUAAUUUAUUUAAGCUUGGUAACUAAGGUGGCAUUUGUUUUUUAACUUAAUGACUUAAAGUGACUUAACUUAAUUAAUUAAGUUAAUUAGAAGUAUUUGUUUUUAUAACUUAAUGAGACUUUUUAGAUAAUUUUGACUUAAUAAAAUAAGUCAAUUUUUUUUGACUUUUUACUUAAUGGAGAAAUUUGAAUUAAGUCAAUUAUUUACUAAUGUAAAAAAAUAUCCAUAUUUUAUAAUCUAUUUUUCAUGUCUAUCACAAAACUCACCCAUAGACAUUUAAACCACAUAAAAAUAUCCCUAUUUUUUUAUUUCUUAUAUUAUAUACGAUAAAAUUUGAAAUUUAUGGAAUAUAAUUUUACUUAUAAAUGUUAAAAUAUUAUGGUAUUUAAUAUAUUAUUUAUUUGACAUUCAAAUUUAAUAAGGAUACAAAUGUAAAAGUACAUAUUUUCAGCCUUUUCAGUUGAAAAAAACAAACAACUUAAUACUUAUUUUCUGAGAUUCAGACGAAAAAACAAACAUAUUAUUUAGAUUCAAACAUUCAAAUCUAUUUAGAAUUUAGACUAAUUCAGGUCUAUUCAGAUUUCAGACAAAAAAAAAACGCCACCUAAGUAUUUUUCAAACAUAAAGUUCUACUUGCACUUUUUAAAUAAUUAUAAUUACAUUUAUUGAUUUAUUCUAAUUUAAAAUUCUUUAUAGAUUUAUUAAUUCUUAUAUAAUUAGAUGUUAUUAUAGGUUGCAAUGUUAGAUUUCAUAAUUAAAAAAUAGUAUUUUUAUAUUUGAAUUAUCUUUUGUUUUUUAGUAUUUUUGUACAAUUAUUUUUGUUUAGAGUACAUAUUCGUAGAGUUUUUCGUGUCCCCAUUAUUUGAUGUACUUCUUUUUACUUAUGAAUAUUUAUGUUCACUUCAAAAUAUAAAAUUUUAAAUUUAGCCCGGGGUAAUAUAAAAUUUUAGGUCCGCCCCUGAGCAAAACUAAAUAUUUAUGACUUAAAAGAUAGGUGUUGAACAGAGGCAGUCUCACAGAAAAAAAAAAAAAAGUAUUUGAAAGCAGUGGUGAUAUCAUAAUUUUUUGUACUGAUACAAGAGUAUCACACUAGAUUUUUUCCCGCAUUACAAAAAGUUUGUAUUCAAGAAUAAAUAAGCAAUAUCAUGAACAAAUUUUACAGAAAGCCUCGAGGCCAUGUCGUAUGAAUUUUUGAUACCAAAAAUAGUAUACUAGUCAGUAUAUCUUCUUUCCACAUUACAAAAAAUUAGAAAUGCAAUGUAAAUCGAUAUCAAUUACUAAUUUUAUAGUACACAAAAUCAAGGUAUUUUUUCAUAAUGUAAGAAAUUAUUAGUUAUUUACCCUAAAUUUACUUUGUGUCCAAAAAUACUACGAAAACUUUAACAUGUUUAGUUUUUUACCUUAAUUUAUAAUUUAUAUCAAUCGCUCACUAAAAAAAUAAAAUUAGCUCAUAAAAUGACAAAAUAAAAACAAACACAAAUGACAAUACCAGUAAUUUUAUAAGGAUAAUCAAGUCCUUUUGGCACCAAAUUACGUGUUAAAUUAAUUUAAAUAUUAUAAAUUAUUUUUAGAUUGAGUGAGGAACCCUGGUCAUUUUAACAAUUAUGGUCAUUUAAUCUAUCUAAACAUGAUAUUUCCAGUAGACUUAUGUUUGUGUGGGAGGAUAAUGUAAAAAAAAGUGGCACUUUUAUUCAACUGAAUAAAUUUCACAAUUUAAAUUAGAAAACGAUAAAAUUUAAUAAUUAACUAUUUUUUGAACUAAUUCAAUCGGGAGCCAUUAUUUGUAGGCGGUAGCGGUCCCAAAAGCAUAACAUUAUUGUGAGUAAUGUAUCCUACUUACAAAAUAAACGGCAGAAUGCGGUUUGGGGACGGAUUAUCGAGGUAUUUGUUAAUAUUCGGAAAUUUCCCAAAGAAAAGGUCAAAUAAAAUUUUAACUUAUUAUUAUUAUUAUUAUUUUUAAAGAUUGUAACUCAGAUGAAUAGACAAAUAAAGGAGCUAAAGGCCACUUGGCGGCUUCACUAGGAGCUGUUUGAGUUUCUAUUGGUAAAAUUCUAUUUUGGUAAUUCUCUUCUUCUUCUUUUUCAACCCCAAAUAAUCAAAAGCUCUCCAAUGGCUUUCGUAUCCACAACUCGUCCAUUUCAUUUUACUUCAAUUUCAGUAUCAGCUCUUAGAUGUAAUUUCUCAUCUUCGUUCCCUCAUACCAGAAAACCCACAUCUUCAAUUUCGGAAAAUGAACCCUCGUGUCCGACUACAACAGCUAAACUGAAGGAGUCGCUACGGCUGACAGUUAAAGACCGAGCCUCACUCGAAAAAUUCCUCAAAGAAAGGUGCAAAUCAUCAGGUCAAGGUGAUAUUAAUCUUAUUACUCCUAAUGAAGCCUUGUGUAUUUUUUAUUACAUGCUCCGUAUGCACCCUUCUCCGCCUCCUGUCUGUUCCUUCAAUAUUUUGUUUGGUUGUCUUGCUAAGAAUAAACAUUAUGAUACUGUACUUUCACUCUUCAGAGACUCAAUUCAAUUGGUUGUUUCCAGAUCUUUAUACUUAUAGUAUCUUGAUUACUGCUUUGCAAAUGGGNNNNNNNNNNNNNNNNNNNNNNNNNNNNNNNNNNNNNNNNNNNNNNNNNNNNNNNNNNNNNNNNNNNNNNNNNNNNNNNNNNNNNNNNNNNNNNNNNNNNNNNNNNNNNNNNNNNNNNNNNNNNNNNNNNUUUACGAAACUCAAAGCGUUUGGUUGUGAGCCUAAUGUCAUUACGUACAGUACUUUAAUUAAUGGAUUGUGUCGAACUGGCCAUACAAUUGUUGCUCUAAAUUUAUUUGAAGAGAUGAUUAAUGGAAACGGGGAAUUUGGUGUCGUUUGUAAGCCAGACGCUGUUAUAUACACUACUAUUAUCGAUGGUCUUUGUAAGGAAGGUUUUGUGGACAAGGCCAAGGAACUGCUUCUGCAGAUGAAGGAUAAGAAUAUUAACCCUGAUGUGGUUACUUAUAACUCUGUGAUUCGUGGUUUUUGUUACGCUAAUGAUUCGAACGAGGCGAAGCGUUUGUUUAUUGAGAUGAUGGAUCAAGGGGUACAGCCUAAUGUUGUGACUUUCAGUGUGAUCAUGGAUGAGCUCUGCAAGAAUGGGAAGAUGGAAGAAGCAAGUCAGUUGUUGGAACUGAUGAUUCAGAUUGGUGUGCGUCCAAAUGCUUUUGUCUAUAACACAUUAAUGGACGGGUUUUGUUUGACAGGUAGAGUUAAUCGUGCGAAGGAACUAUUUGUUUCUAUGGAGAGUAUGGGUUGCAAACAUAAUGUUU